RNAcentral lists this long non-coding RNA (109991 nucleotides) under Oryza sativa (Asian cultivated rice). RNAcentral's name for it is "long non-coding RNA (OSAT_LNC000262)". The stretch from base 17805 to 18010 matches the Rfam family "MIR812 microRNA precursor family". Lineage: Eukaryota; Viridiplantae; Streptophyta; Magnoliopsida; Poales; Poaceae. The record is from RNAcentral.
UUUAAAAAGGUAAUGGAAAGAGAAGUGAAGAAGAAGAAGAAAAAAAACUCUAAAAUUAACAAACUAAUAGCACUAUCUUUAGGGGCCAUAUGGUUAAUUUAGAGUUUUAUACUUUUUCUAAUCUCUCCGAAGAUCCUACAUCCAUGGUGCUAUCAUCCCACAUGCCAUUCCCCAUUCGCCUCAUAGAAUUCAUCAAUACAUGCAUGCAUCUACAUUUUUUUCUAGCUUUCUUUAUCCAACGAUCAUGCAAUGCUUGAUCGCAUGUCUCUGAUUCUUGAUGCUAAUACAAUAAUCUAUCAAUCGUUCAUACUCCAUGUCAUAGGGGUCGCCGGCCUUGGGAUCCUUUAGAGAGCCCGUCAAUCAUAGCGACAUUGGCUCUAAGCUCCUUGCAGGUGAUGUUGAAUCCGAUGAUGGGGAGAUCAUCAGGAGAAGGAGGAGGAGGAGGAGGCGACAAUGUGUUAAUCGAUGACAAUGUCCUCGACUCAUUGCCAUUGCCACCUCUUCCCAUGCGGCCGACCCCACGAUGCCGACGACAUUCAUCGCGGCCACAAAGGCAUGUCAUUGUCGAAUUCUCAGGGCCAUGGACACUGCAACCGUGGUCAUCAUCACAUCUCAAGGUUCCAUCAUUUGAAUUAUAUGAUGAAUUAAUCAUAAUAAUAAGUGCAAAUCAAGUUAUCAGUAUGGCUUGGAUUGCCAGGAGGAAGAAGAAGCAAAGGACAAAACAACAACGUUGGUUGAGGAGCUUGAGGGGAAGGCGGCCAUGGCAGAGGCGAGAUUGAGGCAAAAAGAGGAGGAGAAUGCUGAACUGAAACGGAAGUUUGAGGGUUACCAUGUUAGGUGGCUGCAACACGAGAUUAGGCUCAGCUCUCUCAAGGAAACCAUUGAUGAACAAAUGAUUUCUCUACAGGUCAGCAUCAUAACACUAUCACCAGCUACGUAAUUAAUCAAACCAUUUUUGCAGCCAUUCACGUGACAAAGUGACAAUAAUCUAACUAACCUCGAUUGAUUGUCUGAAUCUCACAGGUGGCUCAAGAAUGUGUAGAAAAGAGAUCACGUGAAAUGUUAUCACUAUAUGACCGCCAAGAAUCCUCGGAAUCCUACGUGAAGAUGUCUAAGGAAACAUCGGCGAGGUUGGCGCACAGCUCUCGCCAUUAUGCGGGCAUUGCUCGUGGUACAUGCACGGAGUUCCGACAACAGAGCCAAGCACUCGUGGAGUCAAGGGAGCCAUGGCAGCCAAGCACUCAAGGUGGGAAUUCCAUUGAUGACCUCGAGAAGCUCAAGUCAAAUUUUUGCAUGUGGAAGAAGGAUUACAAAGCUCGACUACGGAAAGCCAUGGCCGCUGAGCUAGAUUUAGAGGGAAGACAUCGAAGCAUAUGCUGGAUUUAACCACAUAACGUAUAAUCAUAUAUAUGUGUGUGCUAUUGUUUCUUGUAGUGAUAAAAACUAGUGUGGUUUUACAUAUUUGAUGUUUUUAUCAAGGCAUGCAUUUGAUAUAAAGGUUGCUAAAAUGCUAAGAACCUCCUAUAAAGUGCAGAGUAAAAACACCAAUAGAAAUAAGAAUGUUAUGUUUCAUCGCGUCAAUCAAAUCCCCGUACCAAUUUUAUGGUGCAUCUAUUUAUUAAACAGCAAAAAUCAUUUGGUCUCAUGGUUUAGAUAAGUAAACAUCUCAACGACCUUGUGUUGGAGACGGUAUGAGCAAAUAAAAACACCUUUAAUACCCUUAUGUGAGGAGGAAACUAAAAGAACUUGCUUACGCCUUGUAUUUUAUACUUGUUGACUUGUCAACCGAAAAGAAAGAAAACUUAAAUAUAGAGUUUUUUUUGUUGAGGUCAAUUUUUCAUAUUUAACCUUUAAACCACUCAUAAUACAUAUACUACAUUUUUUUGUUGAACAAUUUCUCACAAUAUCACCGCUAUUAAAGCUCGUGGUCACAUGCCAUGAAGGACUCAAACCAAAACCCAUGAUAGCAAUUGACCUCCUACUACACAACUACACAAGCCAACCCAAGAGAUUUGUAGUGAUAUCCACGUUUUUCUUGUUGCUAACCACAAUUAGGGACGGUGGAGAUUGUAUGGACAGAUCCACAAUAAUGUCCCUUCUUCCUUUUUCACCUCAAACCAACAUCUGAUUAUGCCAUCUUUUACUGUGCUCACAAACAUGAGAUCCCUUUCCCUAAUUGGUGACAACCCUGAUGCAGCCAAGGCAAAAGUUGGAGGAGAUUUGGUGGCACACUGGCACUGGUACUCAACUCAAGAUCAAUCCAACUUUUUUUGACAUCAUAAGUUUUAUGGAUGAAAUCACUUGCCUUUGCAACAAGAUUUGGAUGCAUGUCAUGCUGUGGUUCGAUGUUGAACGGCCGUGUGCUUCAAAGCGGGAACGAAGACCACUGUAGGUGAGGGAGAAAGUUGAGGGAUGGUGAGAUGAGAGGGACAGCCAUAGGUUAUGAGAGGGACAGCCUUCUAUUGUACAUGCUCUUAUACAAAAUUGUCCUAUAAACAAUUUACGGUGCAGUUGUUCAACCACUGAUGUAUAUAUAUAGUGGUGUAGCAGCUGUAGAAUCGCAUGGGUGCAUCAUCAGACCAAAGGUCAGGGUUAAUUUUCAGUCUCAGAAUCUGUCAAUCAACAUAUUAGCUGGACAAAUCCUGUAAAAACUAACCUUUAUUGAAAGGAACAGCAUGAUUUGACAGCCAUGGAGACGCAUGUAGUAACCCCUUUUUCCCGGCGUGGCUGUGUACCAUCCGCUGCCAAUCAGAAAAAAAAAAGGAAAAUAUAUGCUUGCUUUUCUCUAUAUUAUCCGUCCCAGCUAGUACAUCUACACGGUUAUUAGAAAGUUCGCUCAAAAUUAGCAGCAGUGAGGAUAUUAUAAAAAGGUUUAUUGUUUAUUAACCCACUAUCAAAACCAAAUGCCAUUUCAAUUUGGUGCCUAAUUAUUUUUGCCCUGGCUUAACUUGGAUAAACUAAGCAGGCAGUGAACGGAAGGCACUAAAAAGGGUCAAAAAGAUUCAUGCGUACCCCCCCGAGGGCAAAUGUCCCAUUUUUGAAUCGGAUCAAACUUCUAGUGUGAAACUUUAUACACAUAAACUUUAUAUAGAUAAAAUUUAUAUAUAUGAACUUCAAUAUCUAAAUCAAACUUGGUUCCAUUUUAUACAAAGAAACAUUCCACAUUGAAACCUUAUAUACAUAAGGUUUUCCUAAAAUAGUAUUUCUACACACAGAAGACACAUCUAAUUUCGACAUGGCUCCAAUUUCAACAUCAAAACUUUAUUUCUAAUCAAACAUUUUCUUUACAUAGAACAUUUUUACAUAUAAGCUGUGUUUAGAUCUAAAGUUUGGAUCUAAAUUUCAGUCAUUUUCCAUCACAUCAACCUAUCAUAUACACACAACUUUUCAGUCAUAUCAUCUCCAAUUUCAAACAAAAUUUAAACUUUGCGCUGAACUAAACACAAAACACAGCCAUAGAAACAUGAACCGCGCACACACAUGUGCCGUGCGGAACACGCUUGCAUAUUUACCACGUCCCGCGUAAAUGUUUGCAUGCUACACCUCAUAACACACACAAUGUUUGCAUGCACCGUUCCCGCGCAAAUGUCCACGCAUAACACCCAGCGCGCACAUUUGCGUGCACCAUUCCCGCGUAAAUGUUUAAACGUUCGCGCAUUACACUACACACUGUACACACAUUUGCAUAUACCGCGCGAAUGUCCCUUCAUAAACACCCAAAAAAAAGGUGUGAAAACAAAAGGAGAAAAAAACCACGAGGAGGAGGAAAAAUGGGAGGAAGGUGGAGAGGGCCAGCGUGUGAAAAGGGCUCGGCACCGUGCCGGCGACCCGGGCCAAAAAAGGCCCGGGUGAUGCGAAUGUGCGGUGCGGUGCGGUGCGGUGAGCCAGAAGUAGACCGGCGCACCGAGGCUGGGCUGGUAGUACACUACACUGGUGAACCCGUACGAGCCGCGUGUAUUUAGCGAGCGGCAGUAGCACGGUGGAGACGGCACACGCACCGCUUCGCCCCGCCGAAGAGACGGACGCCUCCACACGUCUCUUCCUCUUCCUUGAUACUGAGAGAGAGAGAGAGAGGAGGAGGAGGAGGACCAGCCAUCCACCCGCGCGGCCGCGGCGAAUCCAUCCAAUCCGCGUCGAUGCGGCGGCGGCGGCGGUAGCGGGGAGGGGGUGGAAAUGGUGGGGGAUCAGGAGGGGAGGCGGCAGCGGCGGCGGGGGUGGGGGGAGGAGGAGGAGGACCGCAUCUCGGACCUCCCCGACGCGCUGCGGCUCCAGAUUCUGAGCCUCCUGCCGCUCAAGUCGGCAAUCCGGACGGGGGCCCUCUCGUCGCGGUGGCGGGGGUUGUGGGAGCAGCGGUGGCCCGACCCGUCGUCGCUCGACGUGCGGCUGCCAUCGGGGGGAGGAGCCGCGUCGGCGUCGGUGGCGGCGCUGCGGGCCGAGCACCUCGCAGGCAUCGACCGGCGCGGGAGGCGGCGGAUGGACCUCUUCUCGCUCGCCUUCCACGCGGGGCAGCUCGCGCCCCCCGAGCUGAAGCGGUUCAUCGAGUACGCGGCGGCGUGCGACGUGGAGGAGGUGCGGCUGCGGCUCGACGGCGGCGGCGGGCGUGGGGCGAGAGGGGGCACGCGGCGGCCCGGCGCGCUCGCCGUGCACUUCCCCAUCGGGAGCAAGCUCCUCGCGCGGCUGUCGGUGCGGGGGCUCCACCUCACGGCGUCCGCCAACGCGAUGGUCGCCACGCUCGAGGUGAUCCAUUUCCACUCCGUCUCCCUCACCGACGCCGCGCUGCGGCGGGUGGUCUCCGCCUGCCCGCGCCUCCGCGAGCUCGAGCUCCGGUACUGCCGACACCUCCGCCGUAUCGAUUUCACCGUCGGGGCCUCCAAUCUCAAGAGCCUCACCGUCGUCGACUGCUCCCGCGCCACGGAGCUGCGCGUGCCAUCGGCGCCCCUCCUCCGGUCGUUCCGGUUCAGCGGCGCGUUCCUCUGCAGCAACAUUUUCGGUAGCACCGCGGAUUGUGUCGAGCAUCUCUACCUCUGCUCCGGCGGGCCGGAGACAGGUUUGCCGCGCACCAACUUGCCGUCGGCAGUCCCCCGCCUGUCAAACCUCACCGUACUCACCCUAUGCAGCAUUGCUCUCCAGGUCUGCCCAAGUAUCUAUGCCGUCUUUGGUUGCGUUUCAUUUUGUUGCUUUUGUGCUUAUACUUGCACGCCUUGUAGUAUGUCUCUGCUUCAGUAGCCACCCCCAACGUGGAGAAGAGCUUGAACAGCUUGAGAGAGCUCCAGCUGCUCAUGUUCGGAAUGGCCAACUCCAACCUCGCAGAUAUCUAUAGCUUCCUCAAGGCCUGCCGUUGUCCUCAGUUGGAGAGGCUCUUCGUGCAGGUUGUUAUUUCUAGGCAAAAUGCAUUUUGUUGCUAGUUUACUUAUAGGUGUGUGCCAUUUAUGUACUUAACAUAUUGUGUUCAACAUUGCAGCUCCCAACAAACACUUAUGAUUCGUUCACGACGAAUUAUUUGGAGGUAGCAGAGGAAGAACCGCCUGAAGGCGGAUUAGAAAACCUUCGGUUGGUCAAGAUGACAAACUUCAAGGGUUAUCGCAAUGAACUACGACUGGUGGAUUUCCUGCUGAGGAAAGCUAGCCGUCUUAACAAACUGUUCCUGAUUGCUCCCAAGGAGGUUCACCCACAAGGCCUCCGAAAGGUCCACUCGGAGGCACUGCCCCAUUUUCUCAAGACAGAUGUAUUGCAUCUUGAAAGAGCUUCAGCAAUCGCCCAGAUAAUUUUUGAUGAGUCUGUUAGUCCUCAGAUACUACCCUUGCAUUCGGAGGUCUUUGUCAGAGUUUAGCUGAAAUAAGCAAUUGCACCGUAGUUUAAUUGCUGCUCCUUAAUUAUUACCAUUAUAGCUUUUAGGCAACAGACAUGAAAAAGAUCUGCAAGCAUACAAAGUUUGGUAUAAUAUAUUUGCAAUUUAUGUUUUGAAAUGUCUGGGUAAGAUGGUUGAAAUUUGUGGUAUUCCAGUCCUCUUAUGAUCCUCGUGUUCUGGCAAGAUGAUUGAAACUAUAGUUUGGUAUAACAUAAUUGCAAUUUGUGUUUUCAAAUGCCUGAAUUUUCCUUGUCCAAAAUCCCCUCAAGAGUUAGCUUAUUUAAAAUUUGCUUUUGGCAUGCCAUCUAGCUAAAACAUACACCAAUGUGUGUUAUGAACAUAACUGUGUGUUAUGUGGUACCAAUUAUCUGUAAGAUACCAUUUAUAAAAAUGAUUUACCCUGGAGGUGGACUGGUAUGUUUUGCACUCUAAAAUUGGUGAGCUAUUCUGUUGCCUGAUCUUCAUGACACAUGUAAAAAAAUACAUUAGAGAAGAAAUGAACACGGAGAAAGUGUCUUACCGAUUAUAAAUUUGGACAAACUACAGAAGUUAUGGACAUCAAUGUAGCAUAUUCAAUUGUUCGUGAACGUGAAAAAUAUGGUUUGAACUUAGAUAGGACAGGUGGCACGGAUGACAGAACACGUGUUUCUACAUUCAACUAAUGUGAAUUGAUAUGGGCUAUGUGUUCUUUUUCCCACUCCUUGGACUGUAUGUCACGAAUUAAGUUACCUGUGCAACCUUAAGAGUGGUUUUCAUUAGCGGUCCUCAGAGAAUCCUGGUCUUGUAUAAUGUGUCUUAUACAUCUUUCAGCAUGCCUUUCUUGCCUGUGAAACUGUGCGUAUAUCUUGUUUAAGUUGGUAAUGCACGAAAGUUCCCAAGGAGUUUCUUAAGAAACAAAUACUUUCUUAAAAUUCGUAUUCUGUGUAUAUUCUUGACUUAUGUUCAUCAAUAGCAAACAUAUUUCAGUAUAGAAGCUGAAAAAAAAGUGGCGCAGAUGUACUCAAAUAGGAAUGUAAAUUUGAAUGAACUCUUGCUCUUCACUCUUUAUUCACUAUAGAGGUUCUUUAGUCAGUUGGACUCCAGUUUUUUAUACUUCAUGCAAAUAUAUACUAGUAUAAGCUUGUUUGAUGAUUUCUAGCAUCUAUGCUCAUUUGGUGCUUGGAAUAGAGGGAGUCCUGUACUGAUGUUUAUGCAUUUCUAUUUUGUGUGGUGGUUGCUUGCUUCCUGCUGUUAUGAAAUGCAUCUGAGUUCUGAAGGAGUUGGUUUGAUUCUUCUUUCUCUCCCUUCCUUUUCUUUCUUUCUUUCUUUCUUUUUAAUUAUUUUAAAUGGAUGGAAUGCUUUCUAAAUUCCAACCAAUGUAUUUAGUUUUCUGAUCUACAUUUAUUUUAAGUCAGUGUGACAAAGUUACGAUGAAAGAUAGCUUUGUGUCGGCUUUGUAUGGAAGCUGAAUUACUUGUGGUGUUGGUGGGAGCCAGUUUUACUCGAUACUAGCAACAUUGACUUUUCAUGCAAUCAUAUAUCUGAGAAGGGCACUGAUGAAACAUAUGGUGGUAAGUUAAGUCAUAUGGAAGCGCUAUAUAACUCAUGCUCAAAAUGUGGUGUUGGGACUCUUAUACCUGCUUUUUAUUUGGGGCUAGUAUCAUGGCCUCUUAGUUCUGUUAAAUACUUGAAUGUUUGGGUCAUUUGGAUGCUGAGGGAUGAGAUCAAUUGAUGAACAGUUCUUAGCUAGCUUUGUUUCUUGGCUUUGCAGUGUUGGAGGAGGCAUGACUGAAUGAACCAUUUCAUGCUGAUGAUUUCCUGAUGUAAGCUCACACUGCCCCUAAGAAGGUGGUAUUACCCUUGGUCUGUUGGGUUAGCUGGGGGGACCUGGGUGGAGCAUCUUUAUGAAAUUUCUUAUGUGCUCCUUAUAUGAACUGAAAGUCAUAUCACCUUUUAUUGUUUUGCAUUUGCACCUUAUAAUGCCAGUGUGCCACAUAGAACUAUUGAGCCACACAGCAUUGUGAUUUGUGGAAUGAUAUGGGUAAUGUUGAUAAAGGUAUCCAUUAUGCUACAACCUAUUUUAUGCAUUUUUAUGUUGAAAAGCACUGUUACUAAUGUGUUUGUAUUUUGCUAUAUUUUGAACCCUUUAGGAUAUGAACCUUACAUACAUGUCUAUUGAAUAACACUUUCCUUGCCCCGCAAAAAAAAGAAUAACGUUAACUUUUCUUGGGCUUAGUGAUUUCUAAGCUUUAUGGGAUUCACACUUUCUCUGUCGUGUGUUUCUGUAGUAGUACUUGCAUUUUUCUACCUACUGGUUCACAGGCGUUUAAAGGCUGGUCAACAAACAGUAACAUACCAUGACAAGAAUAACUAGGCUAUUGGUAUUUAGUUGUGAGAUAAUUUUCUGUAAAUAUAUGCAUUUUCAUUUUUUUUUGUCAAAUCCUUCUCUUUGCCUUCCUAGGUUAUGGAUAUUUAGAUAAUUUUCCAUUUUGAUGUCAAAUCCUUCUCUUUGCCUGACACAUUCAAAGAUGACUUUAUUUGAUGACUUUUUCAUGCUUACAUAGCUACUUAUGAUUGUUCUCCAAAGCACAGUAAAAUAUCGUUACAUCCAGAACAAAUUUGAUAUGCCAUGUCAUAAUUUCUGCAAGUUAAUCCAUACUUCUGCUUUAUAUUAAUAUAGAUUCUUGGGUUUUUAUCAGAAGUUGAAAGCAACGUUGAGAAUUCCACCGUUUAAUGUUCAAUGCCUAUUGACUCAAGGGGUUGUACACUACACUACACUAGAAGCACCUGUACAGAUCCGAUUGUGGCUGGGAGGACCAAGGAGAUUUAGUUGUUUGGUAACCUAUUGCACACAAAUACUCACUUUAAAAUCCUAAUACUUUUGGGGUGAUUUGUGUUUAAUUAGACAUUUUCAUGCAAACCUAAUCAUUUCUUGAGAAAUAAUUUAUGGUAGCACCUCCAUUGAUAAAAUUUACCGUUGGUGAUUUCUCAAUACUUGAGAAAUAAUCUAUAUAUUCUUUUAUUUUAGUCUGCAAUCUAUCUAAAAUUAACUUUUCAAAGAUACAUGAGCUACAUAUAUCCUCUACUAACAGUGCCACCUUGCAAAAAAAUCAGGAAGGAGGAGCAGCUUACAAGAUCUCAAGGAAUGUGAUUGGUUACUUGGAACGCCUUCACAUAUGUCGGUGAGGAAAUGAAGGGAUGUCCUACUUUUUGUGAUCUAUGGUGGCAUGGUGGGCCUACUGUGAUUGCCCCUGUAGCAGAGGUACAUGAUUUUAUUAUUGAAGGUCUCCCACAACUUUAAGUUAUUCAGUCUGCAUGUUAUGUUGAAUAUGUUAGGUACAUAUUUACAUAUGACAACCCCUAUUUUCAAUACUAGCUACAAUUCUUUUUCAAGAUGGCUACUAACUUGAUUAAGAAAGACUGGGUAAAGAAUUUCCUGUUACAAGUGUAUACCCAGCCUCGUUAAUAUUUCUUAUAUAAACUGAAGUCAGCCUUUGCCAAUUAGAAUAACAUCUUAGUAGAACACUAUACUACCUCUGUUCUUGAGCAAUAGACAAUUUGACCAUUCCAUGUAGAACAAGGCAACAAAUUUUGUGACCAAUUUGCCCUUGGCAAUUGUUAGGAGAUGGUAUUAAAAAAAAGAAUAAAUGGGAGGUGGGGGGAAAGGAAUGGAUCCAAAAUAGAAGUAUCUAGAGGUUUUCUCUAUGGUGGAAGAUUGAUUUAGACCCACAAGUGUAGCCAUGGGAAAGUAGGGGCAAAAUUGGAUUUUACCAAUGAAAGUAUGGUGGUGACAAAUAUUCUGAAACAAAUGAUUUGGUCAAAUUGCCAGUUAUUCAAGAACGGAUGGAGUAUUAUUUGCCUCUGAUAAAUUCUUUUCUUAUAUCACUCAUUUUGUUCAGUUAAUUUAAUUACAUAAUUUUAAUAAUAAGCUAGUAUUACUUCAUGCUAAUUUUGGGCUUUGAGCUUUAUAGGGUACUUUGUAACAGAUGAGUUGUUCUGGAACAGUAGAUGACUAAUUAGCCAUUAGAAACCAAUGGUUUGGUUUGGCAGUCAACAUGUACAUACUAGACCAAUUCCCUGGACCUUUUGCCCUAAAAUAAUAUGAUGACCAUUGACUAUAUACAUGGUAAUACCAGCACCCUGUCCUUUUGGCCUUUUAUACAAGGAGCUGAAUGCAUUUUUGGUCUUUUACUCCAUAGUUCGAUAUUUUUCUGAUGGUACUUCCCUGGUGUCAAAGCAAAGCCUGCAGAGGAAGCACAAUUCUUAUUCUGUAUGAUAAUGAUCAACUGCGAUGAACUCAUCAAACAUCAGUUGGGGAAACUUAUUCGAGGCUGUUGUUUGGGCUGCUGGUCUUGGAAUCACCUCUUUUUUUGGAUUUCAUUCAUAUAAAUGCCUUGUUGGUGAUCAUAUAUCAUAUAUGGCUCAUCAAGACAUGAAUUGGGAAAGGUUUGUUGCCCAACAGCUCAGGUGGUUUCUACAGUUCUAUUUCCAGUCUUCCAUGAGUAUUUUCAUUGUUCCAUACGUCUAUACUACUGACCUGUAAUAAAUAUAAUAAUAAAUAACCAAUUAUAUGUCUGGUACAUACAUAUGAAUGCUCUCUCAACGUCUCUUAAAUAUUUGUGUCCUUUGCAGUACCUUGCUUUUCUUUUGUCCUUCCAUUUUUCACUGUAUUGUUUGCCUAGUAUACCUGCCUUUUCAUUUCUCCUCCCAUUUCACUGUACCAUUUACUUUAUGAUGAAUGGUAUGUGCACAUCUUAUUUAAAUCAGUGUACAGCAUACGUGCUACUGUGCUAGUGGUGGUCUAUGUUGAAAGUUGAGACUACUUUUUAGUAUUUGUAUUCCUUGAUGUCGAGCUAUGUUGCUACAGGGACUACAGGAUCAAGUUAUUUGAAGUGGCGAUUUAGAGCCAUAAUAAUAAUAAUAAUUAGUCCCCUCUCUUCCAGAAAGUGGUGCGGGCAGGUGGACAUGUCUGGGUAGUGUUCACAAUUCCCUUAAAAGGUGGGCUACAAAAUCAUGGGGAAACUUGUAAAUUAAAAAGGCACAAGCAAUUAGCCAAUUACUGGUAGUCUUUGAGUCCUAUUGGUGCUCUUCUCUUUCUUCACUUGGUGACCAGUUUUUGUAUUUUAUUUACCUUGCUCUUCAAAGGCUCAAAGCUACCAGGUUUCAGCAUGAAGGAGAUGUAUGUUACUUCCAAGUUCAUCCAUAUUAUUUUGGGGGUUUAAUUUUUAAGUAGUGGCAGCUGGAGAAGGAUUUUACAAAGACGACUGGGUAUAUCUUGUUAUCCCAUAUUGGGUUCUUCCGGGAGCAAAACUGCAAAAGCACUGUAUUGCUGAUUGGAUGGCCCCCAUUACAAUCCGUAUGACCUUUUAAUAUCUGAUUCUGGAGGUAGCUGAGAGUAAUAACCUUUGAGUAUCUAGGAGCAGCACUAGCACGUACACUGCACGCUGCAAAUUAUUAUACUAAAAUGAAAUGCAUUUUCUAGGUAUAAACAUACUUCUAUAAAAUAAUAUAGCUGCAAUUUUCUCCUAUGGAUUUCCUUUGUAUGGAGAGGAUGCACCUUUACUUGUUCUUUAUUUACUUACUACCUCUGUCCUACUUAGACUUCAAUUUUUUCUUAUGAAUCUAGACAAAUAUUUGUCUAGAUGCAUAUAUAUCUAGAAAUAAAGUGUGGUCUCAAGCUCCUAGUUUUUUUUUAAUUUGUUCUACAGGGUUAGCGACGACAGUAUGUCUAGCUUAUCCAAUCCUGAAUUUAGGAGGGUACAUCAGUAGUACAUCACAUGGGAGGUGGUGUGCCACUGGGAUAAUUAGGUACCACCCGUACUGGUCAGUGGUCGUACAGUCUCUACUACUCCAGCAUGCUGGUCCAUUUUCCCUGCUCAAUGCUCACACCAACCAAUUAGCUCUUUUCCAGCACGUGCACUUGCUCUUAUCUUAGCUCUCCGUACCGUAUCUAAUCUCUUUGUAACUACCUUUAUAAAUGAAUGCAGUACACAGCUAAACCUGCUGGAUACAGACGAGCAGAGGGCAGCAUGGGGAGAGUCUGAAACAGGUCCAGUACCUCAGGUCCUAACAUGUGAUAAACUUCUUUCACACCCUCUUAUCAUUUCACAUUUGCAUUUUACAGCCUAUUACUGUUAUGCAUUGUUCACUUGAACUGUGAAAGGACUGGUCAUUGGGCCAUGGCUUGAUGCAAACAUUAAUCUUUCCUUUAAUACUUCCAUUCCAAGUUGCUUUUGUCAUGCAUAUUUUUGGGGUCUGUAGGUCCACCAUGCAGUAGCGCUCAGAUUCUGCAUCAUAGAUGACCCCAUUAUACAGUGUUUCUUUCAAUGCAAGUUUGUAUGGUACUACUGCAAUCUGAAAAAAAAGGGAAAAGAAAAAGAACUGUUUGUUUGGUGCCAGCCAGCUUUUUUUCCAUAGGACAAAACAAAGAAGGGAAAAGGUAAAUUGAAUAUUAAUAUUUUACUAAAUAAAGGCAUUUAUGGAAGAGUUGAUGUUUGCACAUAUCACAAUGAGAAGCAGUUUAUAUAUGAUUAUCAGGUGUAAUCAACCCUACCGAGGUUUAUAUUAAGGAUAUGCUUCACACCCCAGCACUCCACCCACCUAUCCCACUAAAUCUAACCCACUUCGGUGCAGCAAAAGAUGCCUCGAGCCUGUGGCAGGCAGAGCAGUGCAAAAUUCCAAUCGAAGAAACCAAAAGGAGGCAGCAAAAAGACAGAUCAAAUGGAUUCACCAACUGAUCCAUUCAUCUGGCCAGGCCAGCUGGGCUUUGCAUAUACAUUGCAGACCACUAGAGCUAUAAGAACCUUAUCAUUAUCAUUUACUAAACAGAAAAACUACUAUCUGCAUAUCUUCAAUUCCAUGUCUCCAACUCCAAGAACCAGUUUUGAUCCCAACAGGAGUGCAGGAAUGGAGGUAGCAGAAUGCAGUGAGAAGCUGCAAAUUUUAAAGGCAUCGGCUUCAGCAUCAAUGGCUUAUUCGAUUGUUCAGUUCCCAGUCAAGUGGCAAUCCAUCAAGUACAAGCUUCAGCAACUCUGUUCCAACCUGAAUGCGCCAGGAGACGACGGCAGCUGCAACGAAAAUGUGAUUCUUGUUCAGUUUCUUCAGACGGCUACAGCAACAGUAAGUCAUAUUCAAGCUAUUGCUUCUCAAUGCAGCGAUGAAUCUUACAAUGGUGGAAGGCUUCGUCUGAGGAGUGAUUUGGACAGCAUCAGCUCCAAGCUUGAUAUCCACCUGAAGGACCUCAAGGAGAUGGUUUCCUCCAGAAUUUCUGUGCGUUCUCAAGCUGUCAUCGCAACGAGGCCUGCCAUUGGUGCAAGCCUAAGCAACAAGAGGUUCUACAUCAAUGAUCUCUUCUUGAGGGUGAGGAUUGGGGAUUUGGCUCAAAGAAAACAAGCCCUGGUCACCAUUGGAGAGCUCCUAUCUGAAGAUAUCGAGUAUGUCAAGAUUGUAGCUCUUGACAUUGAUAAUAGCAUCACUCUCCUGAUCAGCUUUCUUGAAUCAGGGGAUGCAUGCAUUCAAGAACAGGCUGCAAGAAUUGUCUCCCUUAUUGCAGGCUAUGAUUCUUACAGAGGAAUGCUUGUGAAAGCAGGUGUGGUUGCUCCACUUGUCCAGUUACUGGAUAGUCCAAGCUGCACCAGCACUACUGUUUCAUCAAGGGAGAGAGCAGCUCAUGCAUUGAGGGAGCUGACGAGCAACUCCGACAACGUCUGGGCCGUCUGCGCACAAGGCGGUGUCACCGUGCUCCUGAUCGUCUGCGCCAAUGUCGAUAGCAGGGGCAAGCUGGUCAGCUCCGCUUUCGCGGUGCUGAAGAACCUGAGCAGGGUGGAGGAGGUGAAGAUGUUCAUGGUGGAACAAGGUGCAGUUAUGGAGUUGGUGAAGCUGUCCCGACAAAAGGAGGAAGAACGCAAAGUUGGAUCAGUUGAGCUGCUCCAUUACAUGGCCUUGGCUGAUGCCAAUGUCAGACAAGCAGCAAUCAGCAUGGGGAUGAUCCAAUCACUCACUCAGCUGAUGAACCCUGAUCUUCCAUACUCAUCCAAAGCCAGGGAGGUUGCUCUCUCAGCCAUUGCAUUCUUCUGCCUCCCUUCCAAAGCUCUGACAGAUGAUCUCAUCAGCUCCAAUUUUCUUAGCUGGCUUCAAACCUAUCUCAACAAUGUUGACUAUGCUGUCCUGGAAUGCACCCUCAACAUUCUGGUACGGCUAACGAGGAUCUCCGAGGAAUACAGCAAGAUGGUUGGCAGGGCAGGGUUCAUGACUGCCCUGGUAAGCUCACUUGGAGCCAAAUCUUGUCAGGUCAGGGAGAUGGCAGCACAAGUACUCUGCAACCUACUGUUGCUUCACUCUAACCGUGUAGUUUUCAUCCAAGAUGGUGAUAAUCUGAACCGGCUGCUGCAGUCGCUUGAGCACGGUGACGGCAAGACGAUGGCGAAGGAUUUGGCCAUUUCUUGCCUCGUGUCGUUGGCAGAGACCAGUGCUGGAAGGAAGAAGAUCAUAUCGUCUCAACAUUUUGUCAGCUUGAAAGGACUCGCAGACUCCGGUGACCUUCCUGCCAAGAAGAUCGUGAAGAAACUCUGUGCUAACAAGUUGCAAAGCAUUCUUACGAGAAUCCGGAUCACAUGACUUCCUUCUCGCGUUUACCUGAUCGCUCUUCAGUUUUGAACCACAGAAUUCAUUGAUUCAGCUUUUGCUACCCUGCGUGGCUGCGUGCUGUUCAUAGUUCCUCUUUGCCUGUUACAUUCUUGUUCAGUCCUCACUACUCAUCCCUACAAUUCUUUUGUACUAUCCAUGAAAUUCUUUUGUGUAGAUCGCACGGCCUAUAAUCAAUCAAUCGUUUGUUUGUCACAUCCAACUUAUGAUUUUUGAAGCUUUCUGUAGUGUUUCAUACUUUAUUGCCCCCAAUUCUUAGGUGCACAAAAUUGAACACAAGUCGUUAUGCCUUACUGCUAUAAAGCCACAUUCAAUUCAUGACCAGGUGAUUUUACAAAACCAAACUAAAAUAUAACACAAGCUAGUGUUCCUUGGUACAAAUAAAUAAGAACUAAACGAAAUUUCAUCUUCUUUGCAGCAUCCAGCAAAGAUGCUAACUUGUAAACUUGCUAAGAAUGGAAAUCAUUUUUUCUGGUUGACCUUGAAACCAAGGAGACGUCCCUACGAUUUAGGGCGCUCGCGCUCGCCAUGCACCCACCAUUGCCGUCGCGCCGUUCGCCGAGGCCUCCCCUCUCUUAAGUACUCCUCUCUCUCUUCUCUUCCUCCAUUGAUUCCCUCCUCCGCGCAGCUCGCGGCUUCGAUCGAUCGAUCGACCGAUCUCCCACGUCGCCGCCGUUCGAUCGAUCCGCCGCCGCCGCCGCCGCCGGCCGGCCGGGCAAGAUGCCGGGGGCCGUGAUCGUGCACCACCACACGCGGUACAAGACGUACCCCGGCGAGGUCACCGGCUUCGUCUUCUUCUGCUGCCUCAUCGCCUCCGUCGGCGGCUGCAUCUUCGGCUACGACAUCGGCCUCACCGGUACACGCAACCUCACCGGCCGCCGCCGCCGCCGCCGCCAUUACAUACGAUUCUUCUUGGUUGUGGUUGACUGAUCACGUCCAUGGCAGCCGGGUUGACGUCGACGGAGUCGUUCUUGGCGAUGUUCUUCCCGGUGAUCUUCGAGCAGCAGCAGGAGCGGGUGAUCACGAACCAGUACUGCAAGUUCGACAGCCAGGUGCUGACGCUGUUCGGCUCGUCGCUCUUCCUCUCCGCCAUGGUCGCCGGCAUCUUCGCCUCCCCGAUGUCCCGCGCCUUCGGCCGCAAGUGGACCCUCUUCGUCGCCGCCGUCGCCUACCUCAUCGGCGCCAUCCUCGGCGCCAUCUCCUUCAACUUCAUCGUUCUCCUCACCGGCCGCCUCCUCCUCGGCGUCGGCGUCGGCGUCUGCAUCCACGUACGUUGUCAUGUGACAUCGAUCACCUGCAUACCAUAACACUCAUUAUUAUUUGUAUGUGAAUUAAAUAAUUAUAUUUAUUUAAAUAAAACAAUAACAUAAGUUGAAAUGAUAUAAAUCUAUAGAUAAGCAUGUAAGAUUAAAUUUAAUCUACAAUUAGAAAAAAAAAGAGUAAAAUCAAACAGUGAAUAGUACAUUGUAAUUGUAAUGUACAACCCAUAAAAAUUUGUUAAUUUUAUUAUUGAAUUUUAACUUACAUGUUUCUAUAGUGUCUUAUAUCAUUAUAAUCUAUCUUAUCAAACUUUUUGAAAAUUUUAUAUAACCAUUUAAACCGCAUGUAUACAGCUAAGGUGUAGAAAAUACUCAAAAUUAUAUAUCAGUUGUUGAUCGAUCGCCGGUGAUUGGCCUGCAGGCGUCACCGCUGUACAUAUCGGAGAUGGCGCCGGCGCAGCAGCGGGGGAUGCUGAACAUACUGUUCCAGCUGAUGAUCACGGUGGGGAUCCUGUCGGCGAGCCUGACAACGUACUGGACGUCGAAGAUCGCCGGCGGGUGGGGGUGGCGCGUGGGGCUGGCGUUCGGGACGGUGCCGGCGGCGGUGAUCGCGCUGGGGUCGCUGGCCAUCCCGGACACGCCGGUGUCGCUCAUCGCGCGCGGCGAGGGCGAGGCGGCGCGCGCGACGCUGGCCAAGAUCCGCGGCGUCGACGACGUGCGCGCCGAGUUCGAGGACCUGACGACGGCGAGCGAGGAGAGCAAGGCGGUGGCGCACCCGUGGCGGGAGCUCUUCUUCGGCGGCAGGUACAAGCCGCAGCUCGCGUUCGCGGUGCUCAUCCCCUUCUUCCAGCAGCUCACCGGCAUCAACGUCAUCAUGUUCUACGCCCCCGUCCUCUUCAAGACCGUCGGCUUCCGCCAGGACGCCUCCCUCGUCUCCUCCGUCAUCACCGGCCUCGUCAACGUCUUCUCCACCUUCGUCGCCGUCAUGACCGCCGACAAGGUCGGCCGCCGCGCCCUCUUCCUCCAAGGUGGCACCCAAAUGAUCAUCUCCCAGGCAAGCAAGCAACCACCCAUUUCAUCAAACACCUUGACUGCAAAACCAAAGAUUUAAUUUAUUCAGCAAGCACUCACCCAUUUCAUCAAACACCUUGUCUGCAAAACCAAAGAUUUAAUUUAUUAACAAUCUUGUUUGAUUUCUUUGCAGAUCUUGGUGGGAACAUUCAUCGGAUUACAGUUCGGGGUGAGCGGGACGGGGGCGAUGUCGGAGCAGUACGCGAUGUGCAUCGUUCUGUUCGUGUGCGUGUACGUGGCCGGGUUCGCGUGGUCGUGGGGGCCGAUGGGGUGGCUGAUCCCGAGCGAGGUGUACCCGCUGGCGGUGAGGUCGGCGGCGCAGAGCGUGACGGUGGCGGUGAACAUGUUCUUCACGGCGUUCAUCAGCCAGAUCUUCCUCACCCUCCUCUGCCACCUCCGCUUCGGCCUCUUCUACUUCUUCGGCGCCUGGGUCCUCCUCAUGACCGUCUUCAUCGCCACCCUCCUCCCGGAGACCAAGUGCGUGCCGCUCGAAGAGGUGGCGCACGUCUGGAGGAAGCACUGGUUCUGGCGCAAGUUCAUCGUCGACUCCCCCGACCGCGGCGGCGCCGAGAUGAGGAAGAGGAUAGCCCUAGAGAUGAGCUAGAGUUCUCUACUAAUAUACUGACGUGCAAAGCUUUUACGCGUUCGCGAAAAAGAGAAGAGAAUAAAAGCUUAGCUAACAUGAACAAUGUUGAUUGAUUGAUCUAUCAUUUCAGUUAAGCUAAUUGAUUAAUUGCCUGAUUAUGAUAGAAGAAUACACAUACUCUCUUCAUCAAAAAGCUCAUCAUAGUAUUUGGAUAGGACAUAAUCUAUAAUGAAUUUGGACAGGCGGCCUAUCUAGAUUAUGUUGUAUCUAGAUACUAGGUUGGGUUUUUUUUACAGAUGGAGUACUUUUCAUAGCUAGGGGUGCAGCAUGGGUUCACUCAUUGAUUAGUUGGUAAUUAAACUUGUUGCCGAUUCUGAUGUUGUUUGUACUACUGGUAUGUACUCUCUCUAUCUUAAAAAAAAAGGCAAACCCUGAGUUUCCGUGUCCAGCAUUUGGCCGUCCGUCUUAUUUGAAAAAAUUAUGAAAAAAAUAAAAAGGUAAGUCACGCAUAAAGUAUUAAUCAUGUUUUAUCAUCUAACAACAAUGAAAAUACUAAUCAUAAAAAAAUUUCAUAUAAGACGGACAGUCAAACAUUGGACACGGAAACUUAGGGUUUGUCUUUUUUUAUUUUUUUGACAGAGGGAGUAGGACUGAUCAUAGCAUGUCGUUGUAAGUGUACCAUUUUGUUUGUUGUUUUCCAUGUAAGUUUGUCACUUUGAUGUCAGCUUGUUUUAAUUUGUAAAUGAAGAAUUGAUGACAAGUUUGUUUUCCUUGGGGCUUUGGUCCAUAAAUCAGUACUCUCAAUUGAGCUUGUCCGCAGUUUAUUGAUGACAAGUUUAUUUUCCCAUGGAGACCUUGUCUGGCCCAAUUUUCUCAGCCCAUAAUUUCUAUUGGAUGAUUAAUUUAGCUGUAAGAAUAAAGAAUAGAUUUAAAUUAAAAAUAUAUAUAAAUAAUUACAAAAAUGUUGCUUUUUCACACUGCAAUUUUUCCCAUGGAGACCUUGUCUGGCCCAAUUUUCUCAGCCCAUAAUUUCUAUUGGAUGAUUAAUUUAGCUGUAAGAAUAAAGAAUAUAUUUAAAUUAAAAAAAUAUAGAAAUAAUUACAAAAAUGUUGCUUUUUCACACUGCAAAUAUUGGACCUAAAUUAAUUCGAUUUUGCUAUAUCUCACUCGAAAGAUUUUUUCUUAUCUCUCACUCGAUUUUCUCACUCAAAUUUACAGUGCAUUUUCUUGUAAGUUAUAGUGUAAUUUAUGAAACUUACAAUGUAACUUUUAUAAGUUACACUGUAAUUUUUGAAUCUUCGCAUGUAAAUUUUAAAUUUUGUAUUGGAUUUGGUCUUUUUCUUGAGGAUAUGGUAAUUUAGUGUCCAUUAUAGUGUUUCUUAAUUGCUUUUUGCUUUUAUUAUAUCUAUCGGAUUUUAAUCCAAAGAUUAAAAAUAUGUGUGAUACGAUUAUAAAAAUCUUUCGAAAGAUGUAUAGGUACUCCCAAAUUAAUUUAUUUAAGUAUAGUCAGGCCUUUUCUUUUCUUUUACUUUUUUUUUGGUGCUUUUCAUUGUUUCUGUGGGCUUUGGCCUCUCAGAGUAGGAGAUGGUGAGAUGAGAUAUUGCCUCCAUGAUUCGUUAUGUAGCUGUUCCUGCUAUCACAAAUCGGCCCAAGCCCAAGAUAUUUACCAUCCCCGCCUUUUCGCUUUUGCUUAGCCCCUUUUCCCUUUUGCAAGUAAAAAUCUGCCACAAAUAACAGGGCCGAAAAAAUCCGACUGUAAAAGAAGAAAAAAAAGGGUUUGCAUAUGCUCGAGGUAUAAUAAGGAGCACAUAUGUCCAUCGCAAACACAACUGUGCGUAAAUCAGCUCACUGGUAGGCAUGUUUGUAGCUGAUGCAGGAUGAAUUAUUAUAAGUGAAACUGAGUUUAUAAUAAUUAUUUCAAGACAUAGCUGAGUAAAUUAAAUAUUUAACCGUAUACAUUUCUUUUCACAAAAAUUACCGAUGAAGAAAGUUUUUACAAAAAUCAACAUAUACUCUCUUCAUUCAGAUUUAGGACUAGAUUCGUUUAUUAGAUCUAGUAUUAGGUUCAUUUAUUUUCAUUCAGAUUUAGGACUAGAUUUGUUUAUUAGAUCUAGUAUUAGAUUCGUUUACUUUAGAAUGGAGGAGUACUAAUGAUGAACCCUGAGUUCCUCUCGACACUCAAGGCUGUUGUUGGCCCGAUCUUUCGGUGAGUUGAUGAAAACUACGAUUUGGAAGAAACGUUGACGACCCGACUACAACCGUACAAGACGUUGCGUUGCGCCUUAGCGAUCGAUACACCUCUCCGUGAGUUGUUGAUCUUGCCGGUGCAAAUCAACCUUAUUCCUACAAGCAAAUCGAAGAAACAAGCAAGAACAAGAUAAAAGCAAUCUGAAUUGCAAAUAGGAGUUAAAUACGAAUGAUAAGUUGGGGUUCCGAAGAACAAGCAGACGGACGGUCUAUCCGACACGCGCGCUGCAAGCAAGUAGCAAUGGCUAAACUUUAAUCUAACAAAACCCGAGAAACCCUGAAGGGGUAACUAGCUAUAUAUAGGGGUGGGAGGACGACCUAGGGGUGCCUAGGGUCGUGCUCCACCAGCUUAGGGCGCACCCCACAUGGGCCCCACCUGGGCCGGGGUCCCAAAUGAAGUUACAAGCCCAUAGGCCCAUUAUAGGUGAUGCAACACCUUGUUCCUGUGAUUCUGGCCACACGAGAUAGAAUUCAGAGAAGAGGCUGGAUCCGUUAGAAAGAGGGCUCCGAGAGCUUUCCAUCAAGUACUCACGGGCCGAAAACGGAGGUCGUAUGCAGAUUCGGUGGCCGUUUGAAGUCAGCAGUGUAGUAGGUGGCCGAAUCGGAUUCCAGCACUUGGAGUACUUGAUCUCGAUAUCUUCUUGUUCAUCCAUGAUGUGAGCAAUGGUUGCAUCCGUGGUAGCCAUGGUCACAUCCAUGGUAGCCAUGGUCACAUCAACUAAUGUACCGUUUAGAAGCCUAGAAUCGUCCGUGUCUGCGGUUAUUUGUGAUUCUGUGAAUCUUAGCAACCAAACAAAAAUUACCCAAAAUUAAAAGUGGCAGUCUUACACGAUCUGAUCAUUACUUGCCCCAAACUCAAGGCAAAAGUUUACAAGGUAGUAGUACAUGAUUGAUGAUACAUAAGUUUUGCUCCAUAAAAAAAGGACCGAUUAGAACGCAUGUGAUUUUCACGAGGAAAACCACUUGAUUCGUAUGUACAGAAAAACGGUGGAAACCCCUGUAGACUGACCCGGCAAACAAGCAUCAUCAGUGCAUGGAUACUGGACCAAAAACACCAUAAGAAAUUAAAGAGAACGGAGCAAGCGAGCAAUCAGCCAGCUAGUACUAGUACAUAUAUAUUGUACAGCCGUGAUCUGGUCGGAGAUGAGACGAUGACCCGCCGGCGGCGGCCGGCCGGCGCGGCGGAGGCCCAUCGAUCGAUCACUUGGGCCCCCAAAGCAGCAGGUGCAUCACCUUGUCCGCCUUGCCGCCGCCGUCCGCCGCGCGCCGCCCCGCCGUUGCCGCCGGCGUGGCCGCGGCCGCGGCCGCGCGGGGUACCCGCAGCUGCUGGCCGGCGUCGCGCGCCAGCGCACGCAGCGUCGCCGGGAGCUCCCACCUGCUCUCGCGCCCGCUGCUCAUGGCGAAUCAACCACCGCUUUCUCCUUGGCCCUUCUUGCUAUGCUAUCUAGCUCGUGCUGCUCAUCCUCAGUCCGGUCUCUUCUCUCUCCCAGCCACCUCACCUAGCCUCUUAUACUGCCACUGCACUACUCCUGGUCAUGAGUCACACACAAUUUUACAUUUUAGCCUUUUAUGAACAUUUAUUUUAUAAAUAGAUCUUUAAAAAAAACUUAAUCUUUCCAUCCAGAAAUAUAAUAUGGUACUGAAUAUGACACAUUCCAGCAUCAUGACGAGUUUGGACAGAUAUCUUACAACUAAAAUAUAUCCAAUACUACCUUCAUUCUAAAAUGUAGCUAUUUCUAGCACAGUACUUUGUCCCAAAAUGAAGCUAUUUUUCUACCUACCUUCCCCUCUCAACCAAUCACAACCAUUCUUUUUCACCUACUUUCUCUUUUCAACCAAUCACACACCUUCUUCAAUUAUUCUCACAUACUUUCUUAAUACCCGUGCUAACCUCAAAAAUACUUACAUUUUGGGACGGAGGAAGUAUGAUACAAGAUUGCUAUAUCAUGUAACAGAUGAAAUAUUCUGUCACCGAGCUACAGGUUUGAAUAUAACAAUCUAAAGAUGAGAUACUAGUACUAUAUAGUUAGAAUAGACUCCUUUCCGCUCUCUCGGAGAGACUCAUAGCUCUAGUUCUACAUUUUUAUAAUAUGUAACGAAGAGAUUAAGUCCUUGGUUAGUUUGGGAAAAAUUUUAGAUUUGGUUGGUAUAUUGGAUAUACGGACACAUAUUUAAAGUAUGAAACAUAGUUUAAUAAUAAAACAAAUUACAGAUUUCGUCAGAAAACUGCGAGAUGAAUUCUUUAAGUCUAAUUAAUUCAUCAUUAGCAAAUAUUUACUGUAGCACCACAUUGUCAAAUCAUGGCGCAAUUAGGUUUAAAAGAUUCGUCUCGUAAUUUACACGUAAACUGUGUAAUUGGUUAGUUUUUAUCCACAUUUAAUAAUUCAUGCAUAUAUCUAAAUAUUCAAUGUGAUGGGUGAAAUUUUUUGUUUUGAGAGCUAAAAAGGGCCUAAGUUUUUUAAGGAUUUAUUUAUAAAAUAUGUUUUCAGAAAAUGGCUAGUGUGAAAAGCCCAGUCCUGAGUCACCUCCUGCAAACUGCAAUCAACAGGGGCAAUAAUAGUCAGCAAUAAAUAUCAGCCACCAUGAUUGAUGAACCCCUCCAAAAUCGAGUGGCCGAGAGAUACCCAAAGACGGGAUUUUUAUCCCGCACCCAACGCCUCGGCGCGGGAUCACCACGCGCUUGGCGAUCAGUGCGUACAGCGAUCGCGAUCGCCGGUGCGCGCGGGGGUGUAUAAUUUUCCACGGCGGCGAGGGGAGGGGAGGGGAGGUCGUGGAUGCGGCGAGGCGGGCGGUCGGUGUCGGGAAAGGGGCGUGGAGUAAUGCGCGUGUUUGAAAAACGGGGUCUCUCGACCAAUCCGGAAUGAACCAGUGGUUGGAUUUGGGCUCGUUCUUCCGGUAAAGGGCAUGUUAAGAGAAGUUUUUAACCAGCUGCAGGUUCUCUCGGAUUCUUUAGCUAUCCCAAAUAGUCCGCAUUAUUAUUUGGAUUCAGAUUCUGGUAAUAUAUAAUUGUAAAAUCUAAAAAAAUAAAAUAGAAACUGUAUUAAGCUGAAAAACCAAGUUUCUUCAGGUUAUAAGAAGCUGACUAUCAAACUAAGCUGGCUAUCAAACAGUAGAUUUAAGCUCCCUGAACAGGGUUUUUGUUGUGGUAGGGUUUUUGUUCCAUUGUUUGUUAUAUGUCACAUAAAUAGUUAGAAAAAUAACAAGUUAGAUUCAUACAAGAUAUAUCCGUUUAAAUUCAACUUCUAUAAGUUAUAAUAAAAAAACACAAAUAUAAUUGUGAAUUUACGUUAACUCGUUUGAAUUUAAUAUGUUCUUUUAGUUAUAACUUGAAGAAGUGAAAUUUAAAAUUGCAUUUUGUGAGACGAUAUAUCCCAUAUUAAUUUAUUUUAUAAUUUUUUUCUUAAAUUUUUCAGUGUCCAUUUUGAUGAGAUACAAUAAACAAGCAGAUGUUUGGAGUAGGGGUGGACAUUCGGUCUGACCGAAAAUUUCGGUCUCGGUCUUUGGUCUUUAAAAAGUAAAGAUCAAAUUUCAAUGCAAAAAUAUCAGGACCGACAAAUUCAGUCUCGGUCUCGGUCCUGACCCAAAUUCAACAACACUUUCAUAUACGCAAAGAAGCAAUGGAAAUUUUCAAUACAAAAAUCACAGAAAAAAUGUAAGCACUUAUGAGUAAAUACUCUUAUUAGGUUGUAUGCCUAGAAGAAGUAGGAUGCGAAAAAUAGAGUUUAAUCCUAUUGAACAUAGUGAUUGUAUGUUACAUUUAUACUUUUUUUUUUGUUAAUUCAGUCUUUUUGGUCUAUUCGGUGAGACUAACCGAAUUGACCAAAUAAAAUUCGGUUUUUCACUUUCUAGGAUUGAAUUUUUCGGUCUCGGUCUUUUUGGUUCGGUCUUUUUCUGACCACCGCUACUUGGAGGAUGAAAAUCCAUCUCCCGACACAAGUCCCAGCCAGGACGCACUAAGCACUGGAAACAGCUGUGGGAGCUGGAGUACCUUGUAGUCUCGUCCUUUGCUCUAUGCCUGCGGUGACAAUGUGAGGCUAUGAGCAGUAAGCUGGUGUAAAUAAUUGAGUUAGACAAGUCAAUAGAAAUUAGUAGAAUUAAGUAGUAGGAGUAAUGGUAUGUAUGCUUCCGGUCAUAAGGAUUUAACUUGUAAGAUAAAGGCUAAUCAAACUUUUCGUAAGAUCUUGACCAUUAGUAUUGCCGUAAACCUACUAUACUUACAAACUUUUUAAAACAUAUAAUUGUUGUUUAUAGUGUUUGACAAAAUGUCAUCCUAAACGUCAAAGCAACAACUUGUUUAUUUGGUUGACAAAACAGUCUAAAUGCCCUUCAAAACUUUGACCGAGGGUGCAUGUAGCCUCUUUUCUGGAUAAAUUAACAGGAUCUGCUUAUAUGUAGGAGAGUUCACUGGCCUGUUAGAGCCAAUGUGCUUGAGAUUGUUGAUGUGCUCCGUAUUGAAGAAGUGGUUUCGGAUGGUCCAAAAUGUAACAAAGAAAAACUUAUCUAAUCCAAAUUAAAAAGACUGAGUAAAUAAUAGUUCAAAAUAAAAUUUUAAAAAUAAAAGAUGAUCCAAAGUGUAAUUCGCUAAAAAGAAGAAGAAAUCAAGAGGAGAAGAAGAAAAGUACGUAUAAGAACCGCCAAACCUGGAUGCAUAUCACUACCAUUCAGGUAAUACCGCCUUCCUAACCUAUAUGUGUGUAAGUACGUACGUGCGUAAAAGAAAAGUAGAGAAACGCUCAAGGGUUUUCCGACUAGUUUCACAAGGUGGUGGACUAGACGACCUAGAUUCGAAGCCUUACCCAUUCUAAUUAUUUGACAUUAUGUCCUUCCCUAAUAUUCGACCUGAGUUCAAAGCCUCACAUCUUCUAAUUAUUUGAUAUUAUUAGGUCCUUCUAUAAUAUUCGACCUGGGUUCAAAGCCUCGCUCAUUCUAACUAUUUAAUAUUAGGUUCUUCCGUAAUAUUCGUGAUUUUUAAAAAGAAUAGUACGUUUUGAAGAAGAAGAAGAAGAGAGUAGUACUUAGGAACCACCAACGAUCCCCUCCUAUUCGUCCCUAGACUUCUCUCCUCUUUUUUCUCUCUAUUUAUUUUUAAAAAGUCUCCUCUCCUUUUUAUGGUGUAGUUGGCUCAGCAAUAACCAUAGCUGCUAAACUACAAAUUUAAUUUCUAAUUUAUUUCAAUAAUUGUAUUUCUCAUGAUUAAAUCAAUAAUUUAAGAUUAUGAAAAACAGAAAAUGAACCAACACUAUAGCUGUGUGUACAUCAUCCAAUUAGUCUAAAAAAUUCAAGAUAACUUUGCCAGAGUAGACGGCUAAAUUACCACAAUUCAGGACACAUGUAUGUUUUGAAAAAAAAUAGCUUGUAGAUCUAAUAAUUAGAGAAAUUUUAUAACUUCUAAGGGAAAAAAACAAAUAUUAACCAUUGGUUUUCACUUAAACCGGUGGACCUAUAGUUACCACUAGAUUAUGUAUCUAGGAAACAACCGGCUAAUCCCACCUUCUUAAUCCCAAUCCUGUACGUAAGUACAUAUUUAUGCGUGUAAAAGAAAAGUACAUACUUACGAAGUACUGCCAAACCCCAUUCCCGUGCAAUUCGUUCCGUUUGACUCCCCUGCUUUCUAUACGGCAUAGUUGGCUAGUCGGCUAUUUUCUCGAGUAAGUAUCUUCUUGAGUAGGUAAGAAAUAGCCAACUUUGCCAUAUAGAUAGGAAGGGAGUCAAAGCGAGCGAAUUAUUUGCAUUGGCACGGACUAUGGAUAAAGGCGUCGCGGGGUACACAAGGACGACGACGAACAAAAACGGAUUGUGACGAUCGGAAAAAAUGUGUAUCAUUCAAUUUUAAGAUGAAUUCCAAACUAAAAUUGGUAACUUGCUAAAGAUUCGAUGUAAAUUAUAUAAUACAAGAAAAUAAUAUUAUAUGACUUAACUAGGCUAGAAAAAAACUUAGUACUCUAUACAACAUAAUUUUAUCGUGGUAUUAACAUAUUCGUUAUAGUCAUCCAUGUGAGCGGUUUAAUAUAUACAACUAAAAUUGCCUUUCCCCAUUGCAACACACAAACUUUUUUCCUAGUCUUUUUUUUAUUAAUUUAGUAAAAUUUAUCUGAAAAAUGACUGCAUAUUAGUGUUUUGUAUAUAUAUUAGUGAUUUUAAAUGUUGAGGUUUGAUUUAUGGUACGUCUCAGAUAUACACAAUAUCGUAUUAAAGAGAGGGAUACGUGUGAGAUUACAUAGCUAUAAAUACGAUUUGGACCGUUCACCUACAAACUACUAUACUUCCACUAUUUGAUUGCAUGGCUCGGGAUAAUAAGGUUGAAGGACAACAAAUUGGCCUGUGAAACAACAGUUAAUUUGAGUUAAUUAAUCUUAGUAUUUUUAUUUUUAAAACGAAAUUAAUCUAGAUUUUUUAACCUAUAACAUGGCUAGCUAGUGACCAGCGACAAGCUUGAACGGAGUAUACAACCGCUUAGAGCAGGUACAAUGCUAUAAGCCACCUAUAAACACAUAUCGAGAAGAUAAAUGAUGAUAGAGAAGAUUUUUAUCAGUGAAAUAGUGAAUGACGCUAUGAUUAUACAUGUUAAAAAAAUAUGAAUUAUCAACUUCAAAUUAAAAAAAAAGAGCAUUGCCGAAACAUAAUUAGGAUGUGAGUCAAGGAUGAAAAUGAGUUGGAUUCGGACAACUAAUUGAUGUAUCAUAUUCUAUUCCACAGUAUCUUCAUGGAGAUUUAGACAAGGCACAGAUAAUAGAAGGUGUGAAUGUCCGAAACAUUAGUUUUUUAUAUAUAAGUUUUUUGAAAAACAAAUUAUCUAAUUUCAAGUUUAUAAUAAUUAAUAAUUAAUUAAUGAUACGCUAAUAAUUUGUCUCGUUUCAAGUGUUGGCUAAGAUCAAACCGAUGUCCCGAACGCAGCUUUUAGAUUCUGAACUCACGAGAGUCUUUAGGUUAAAAGUCAUGCUGUGGAGCUAUAGCCUAAACAAUAUCGCUAAAUAUCUUUUUUUUAAAAAAUAAUAUAUCCUACAAAUUCUCAAUCACCAAGUAUCCUACAAAAAAUCAAAAUGGUUCUACACUGAAACUGCAUUUUUCUACGUACCCUCACAUAACUGUGGUAAAAACAAAUUGAGAACAUAAAAUACCACACAAUCUACAUUCACACCAUAUGCCCUGAUACUUUUUGAACUUUGUUUUGGAAGCACUCUACUACUCGUCUACUGCAAAAGAUAAAGAAAGAAAAACAAAUAUAGCCUAGCCACAUAUGCUGAACUCAACUCACGUUAAAAACUAAAACAUUUGUCUUUUUCGUUUACCUAGAUUAUGUUUAAAUAUAAUUCUUGGUGGAAUAGUACAUGAUAGUAUAUUUACGUAAAACUCUAUUAUAAUUUUUCACGAUUAUCUUUACUACUUUAACCUCUCCUAUUAUCCAUAAAAAAAGAACCGGCACACUCAAAGGAGUGAAAAAUAUUAUUCUACAUCUUAUUGUAACGUAAGGAUAUGGUAUUAGUUUACAUUAGACCUUAUUCGUUCAAUCAAAAAAAAAUACCGAGGAUGAAAUUUUCACAUCAUAUAUGUGAAAUAAAUUCUACUUUCUUCAUUCUAAAAUGUUGCAAUAUAGAACGUGAUUUAAUGAUAAUAAAUCUGAAACAGGUUACUUCCUCCAUUCUAAAAUAUAAUAACUUUAAAAAACGGAACACAUUAUAAUACUCCAUCCGUCCCAAAAUAAGUGCAGCUAUGGUUUUCCGCGUCCAAUUUUGAUCGUUCGUCUUAUUUGAAAAAAUUUUGAAAAAAAAUUAAAAACAUAAGUCACGAGCAAAGUACUAUUCAUGUUUUAUCAUCUCAUAGCAAUAAAAAUGCUAAUUAUAAAAAAAAUUUAAAUAAGACGGAUGAUCAAAGUUAAGAGUGAAAACUCAUGACUGCACUUAUUUUGGGACGGAGGUAGUACUAGAGGUCACCCCGCGCGUUGCUGGGGAAAUUUAAGCAAUUACAAAUGUCAAAAUUUUGGAUGAAAUAUAAUCACCUUAAAAGGAAAAACCUAACCCAAUUUAUCACUGCGCGUGAGGAAUAUUUGUACAAAUAAAAAUAAUCUUCAACCGUACCAAGUUCAUAGCCUGCAAAUAAUAUUUUUCAAACGUAUGGCUUCGAUAUUGGUACCAUUAAUUGGAGGGAAACUCAACUGGCACUCCCUUCCACUCAUAUUAUACAAAACAAAUUAAGGGAAUAAGUAACAACAAAUUGCUAAAAGAAAUGUUGAUCCGCUGGAGCAUGAGCAUAUAUAUAGCGGCAAAAUAAACGCAGCAGCAUGGCUAACGGAAUGAAGGAUUGAUCGCAACGAUCAAGUAUAGCAACUGGACUCUGGACAGGAGGGCUUGUGGUCAGCAUGUCAAUCCACUGCGAUGGUGUUUUCAGAGGAAUCAGGAAUAAAGGCCGAGUAUUCACCUAAUUCAUUUAGCUAGAGGAUGGAAUAUAUGCAGUGCAAGUGCAGUGGAAGAUGGAAGGCCUGCUGCGUGAGCCAAUGAAUGAAUAUCCAACGUUUUGGUUUCAAUCAGGAGAUGACCCGUCAGGAACAAACGGUUUAACUGUUGAAUAGGCCCCUUUGUUAAUUACUGUCGUGCAUGAUGAUCGGAAUUAAAAAAAAAACGAAGAGGUGCAUCCCACUAUCGCUCUUUACACCCUCAUUUGCAAUCUAGCGGCUAGGUGGAAUCUAUCUGCAAUCCAACGGUCAGGUGGAAUAGAGGUGAUGUGGAUCACUCCUGGAGAAGGAAAUUAGUUUUAAUUGUAGUUAGUGGGAUGACCUAUAUAGAUAUAUAUAUAUAUAGGAUACUGUUCUUAUUCGCAAUAUUAAAAUAUAUUUCAAUUAUUUAAAAAUUGUUUAUAUUUCUGGACAGACGAAAACAAACAAUAAUCCCCGUGUCCUCGCAGUGAGGCUCGCACCGCCCAGCAUCCUUGGAAACAGAGUGAGCGUCCAAAACCGGCGGCGACGCGCUCCCCGUUUCGCCGCUUUCCGCUCAUCUCGCGUAUAAAAACAUGGCGUCUCCCCUGACCACCACGCCUCCACCACCUCCGCAUCACUAGCAAGCGCAAGCGCCGCGCACUGUGACCGAGCGGAGGCGGAGGCGGAGUAGCCGGGUCGGGAACUCGGGAUGGCGAUCUGCGGGGCGAAGGCGGCGGCGCCGUCGCUGGUGGUGGCGGCGAGCAUGGGCGCCGUCGAGGCGCUCAAGGACCAGGCGGGCCUCUGCCGCUGGGACUACGCCCUCCGCUCCCUCUACCUCCGCGCCGCCGCCUCCUCGCCCAGGCUGCGUUCCCCCCUCUCCAACACCGCCGCCGCCGCCGCGCGGCCGCCGGCGGAGGAGGCCGCCGACGUGAGGCUGCGCAAGGUCCACCACCUCGUCUGCUGGGGCCCCAACUGAUUUAUAUUAUAUAUACUCAUCUCACAUCUUCCUGAAGAACAUAUGCCACUCGUCUCGUCGUCUUCCUCUGAUCUCUGUGCAGUGUAGUGCUCUUCUCUUCUCUUUUAGCUGUGUUGCAUCUCGAUCGAUCGCUUGCUUGAUUGCUCCAUCCUCCGUCUCUGUGAUCUGCAUGUUCAGUUUCGUGCAGAUUCGACCCGUUUGUGAAAAUGUUCUGCCGCUUACAUGUAUCUUCAUCCUUAUGCAUGGAGAUCUAGCUAGCCUCCUAUUCCCUCUGUUCCGAAAAUAAAAUCAACUUCGUACGAGAGUAGACUGGAGUCCUUGUAGCCCUCCAUUUUCUCAUUUACUAAUUUUGGAAAAAAAAAUCAGUACCAUCUUGAGAUCUUGAGACUGGACUUAAAAAACCAAAUUAAAGAGAAAGAGAAUAUGUUAGUUAAUUGCAUGGAUAUAUACAUGCUUGUAUUAUAAGACAUCUGAAAAAAUAGUUACGUCUUAUGUUUAUGUUUUGAGAUGAAAGGAGUACUAAUCAAGUCAAGAGCGCCUUAAUUUCAGUUUUGUCAUGUCUAAUUACCAAAUCGAGAUGACAGUAUUUGAAGACAAGAAGGGAUGUGAUAAAGCUACAAACCUGGGACAAGAACGCAUCUUGUGAGAGUGAAGAGAGCUAACUUACCAAAUGCAUCCCUGCAUCCAUCCCCUGGUUCUCAUAUGAACUUUGUCGAAUCUACAAUGAGAAUUGAAAACUAAUAGUACUAUAAGAUUUAUGGAUAUGGAUAUGGAUUGUGUGUGCAUCUGAUGAACUAGCACAAACUAAUUAAUUUCCCCUCAGAGAGAGCAAAGGCGUGAUUGGGUGCAGUGCUGGUGAACCUUUGAGCCAGUUUCAGACUUUCUUGCUAAUUAAUUUAGCCGGCCGGCAGGUUCAUCAACGCUGCACUCAAUAAUGCCUUCCCUUCUCUUCCAUCACCCAUCGAUCUCAUCAUGAAUCUGCCAAUAUUCCUAGCUCUAAAUCUCUAAUCCCAGGAACAGGAUGCAUCACUUGGCUAGGCAGCUUCCAUGCUUGUGCGUGUGUAGCUGCAUCUGCACUGCAUUUGUGUGUGUGUGUGUUGCUUUUCAGACAGGUCACCUCCUCCUUUUGUACUACUGCAUCUGCACCGUGCCUAACGGUGUUGCUUGUACUACCAUGGGAUGCAGCAGCAUCCUCGGAUUGUACUAAUUUCUAUGUGUUGUACUUUGUCACGUCCUGAUCGAUCAGGUAGUACGUACUACUAAUUCAGAGUUCAGACUUUAGAUGAGCUCUCUAAAAUUCCACAUACAUGUAAUACUUGACAGAAAAAUGGGAUUUUUCUUAUGAGUGCAGCAUUUUUCAGAACAAAAGAAUCAUGCAUACGCUUCUCUCCAAUAAUUCAGAGUUGUGGAGAUGAUUUGACCAAUACAACGAUGAAGUUUUAGGCAGGCAGUACAGCAUGACCGUGACCGUCCUGAACCUGGGCGGACACGGCAAGUACAGACUAUAGAGCAGUACAACUACAAACUGUACUGCAUUACAAUUUGCAAGUUCAGAAUAUGAGUGCCUGUCCUUUUCUGAUUAAAGAUGAUUUUAUCUCGGUUUCUGUUAGCAAGCUUUUUAAACUACUAAACAAUGUAUUUUGUACGAUAACUUUCCAUAUAUACGUUGUUUUAAAAUAUCAAAUAUAUUCAUCUGUCAAAUUUGUAGUAAUUGGAACUUAACUAAUCAUGCUUCCGUUUUACAUGCGCUAACUAAUCUUUAUCAAUAAUCUCUUUGAUAGUGCUAGUAGCCUAGUACUAAUACUUUGUCAAGCAGUGUCGCAAACGAACACGUAAAACUAUGAAUACGAUAGUAGGAGUACAGAAUAAUGUGGUACUCGCUGCAUUGAAGUUUCGGGUUUGUAUAGGCUAAACUUCUUCAAAUUUGACCACGAUCACAAAAUAUAUAGUCUCUUCUAGAAGACGUUUUGACUUUGGUCAAAGUCAAACCACUUUAACUUUGAUCAAGUUUGUAGAGAAAAGUAGUACUAAUAUUUUCAACCCAAGACAAAUUUAUUAUGAAAAAUAUAUUCAAUUAUUGAUUUGAUGAAACUAAUUUAGUAUUAUAAAUAUUAUUAUAUUUAUAUAUAAACUUAGUUAAAUUUGAAAUAGUUUGACUUUGACCAAAGUCAAAACGUUUUAUAACCUGAAACGGAGGGAGUACUAUAUAGCAGCAUCUAACCACACCGAAUUAGUUUCAUCAAAUCCACAAUUGAAUACAUUUUUAUUGUGUAUUUGUUUUGUGUUGAAAAUGCUGCUAUAUCUUUCUAUAAAGUUAUCAAACUAAAAAGUAGUUCGACUCCAAAUUUCAAAUUCUAUAUAGAAGUUUAAUAAAAGGAAAUAAAUCUAUUUUUCAAAUUUAUAAUAGUUAAUAUUUAAUUAAUCAUGUGCCAGUGAGAUUAUUUUGCUUCGCGUGUAGUACAAAUCUUCCUCAUCCAGGAGGAAUUAGCUCCAAAGACCUUCUUUUCUUUUCUUCCCACAGAAAAGUUAGCUCUACAGAUUUCAGAACUGCGGAUUUGCAGUAUACCUCAGUCUUGGGUCCAGUACACAGAAAUGAUAAAUAACUACAACUCCAAAUUUGAAUGUGCAAACAUCUCGCUAUUGCCACCAGGGCAUGGAAGAUGCAGAAUUGGUGAGCUUGUACUUAUCUGUUGAGAAUUUACACGAAUUUCCUUUCAACAAAUAAAAACAGCCGUAUGCUAAAGUAGGCUUCUGAACAAUAUACUAGUUUUAAAGUUUCAGAUUAUCUGUAUACUAUGGUCCAAAUACAAAUCGUGCCCAUUGUAAUCAGGAUGUUUCAAGUACUUACAAAUAGUCCCAAUAUCAGAACGAAUCCAGAAGGGGAAAAGAAAAUUCUCAAACGUUAUUAUUGACAAUUGAUAUCUCUGGCAUGGAAGUGUCAGCAGCACCCAGCACAGCCAAAGAAAGUAACUAAAACUAAAAAGGCUGCUAGUUCAUCUAAAAAAAAGACUGCGAGUUGCCCUCAAAAAGGGGGAAAAAGGACUGUUAGUUGAAAGGUAAGUUAUAGAUGGCCAGAAGCUAAUGGUGCAUCAUUUGAACACCUCACAUAGCAAAGAAAUUCCUUUUGAUGCACCAGAAGAUGAUCCUGUUUCACUGUUUGGCACAUAUAUGAACAUACACUGUCACUUAGAUCCUAAAAUUAUGCAUGAAUGAUAAACAUGAAGAAUUAGACUAUGAUGCUGAAUCCUAGUGAGAUUUGGUACCCAGAAUUUGCCCAGAUAUUUGUUUGUAUGUGAAGAGGUCUUGAUGACAAAAGGUUAAUCACAUUACAAUAAUUAUCUACUUCCUAGGCCGCCUUCGCCAUCAACAAUCUACAAAUAUGGUAUCGGUUGCAUGCAAAAAUUUACAUUUGGACUGGCCAACAUCGUUGGUUACACUGAAACAAACUCCUGUAGUGCACAGUUGCUUGACUCAUAUAUACAUGUUCCAAAAUUGACUCAUAUAUACUUUGUAUCCUUAGUAAAAAUGGAAUAUACAAUUAUCAGAAGAAAUACUGAAAUGUAAAGAAGCUAGGGAACAAAAAAAUUAAGCCAAAUGGUACGAAAUGGAGAAACUAGAACAGGGUAAACCUGAACAACGAUCCAAUGUAUGUGAACAAGUUGUGACUCUGGCCUCUGAUGGAACAAGCUCUGCAGCUGAAGUUGUAUUGUAAACCUGGUCGUGGUAUUUGCAACUGGUCACAUGUUUUACAGGCGGCAACUGCGUUGGCAGCCUGUCCUGGCUUUUGUCGGCAAUGUAGCGGAUUAAUUAGCCCUGUGGCUGCUGUGAUGGUAAACGUGACGGCUGCUGCUCUCCUUGCAUUCCUUGCAUAGAUUGCUCAGGUUGCUGGUGCUGACCUCCUUGCCAUGCCCAAACUAUAUCCUUAAGUGCAGGCCUUAUAUCUUCCUUCAUGAGCUUUUGAUAUUCUAUAGUGUCCCCAUUGGACUUUUUAAAUUCAACUAAAUGGAAAGAUGGAGCAAGCUCAAAAACCUCAGCAUCAAGCUCAAGUAAUCCUUUUAUUCCUUCCUUUGGUGCUACCAACCUCAGAACCCCAUUUUCUUUUUUCUUAAUUUUGAGCUUGAAGCGUCUGGCCAAUUCAUUUAGCUUAGCAAAUAUAGCUGCCGCCGGUUGCCUAGUGGUAAAUCUCUCUUCCCUCCGGCCAUAUCUUUCUUCAAACAAAUUGGAUAAGUCAAACCCGGUAGACAGAGAAAUGAUGUCAAACGCGUUCAAGUUCGGGAGGCUUAAUGAAGCUUGCUUUCCAUCGGAAUUACUACAUUCUGGUGAGUCAGAGGUUGUGGCUUCACCAUUAGUGUACACUUUGUCUCUUGAUGACGCACGAUUUCCCUCAAAAAUACUGCAUUCUGUUGUGUCAGAGGUUGUGGCUUCACCCUUAUACACCUUGUCUCCUGUUUCAUGUUUGCUCUUCAGUGCAUUUACAUCACUGGAUUUUCUGUACCAAGCGCUUCUCUUUAUCUUCGGGAUAGAAAUUCUAGUACUUGGAUCUGGAUCAAGUAUCUUAUAUAGCAGAUCCUUCAACUCAGCAGAAAAGGAACGAGGGCAUUUGUAUUCAGCUUUGGCAAUCUUUCUAUACAUCUCUAUAAGAUUUGUGUCAUGGAAAGGAAGGUAGCCAGAUACAAGCACAAACAGAAUUACUCCACAAGACCAUAUAUCAGCCUUCGCACCGUCGUAGCCUCUCCUACUAAGAACUUCAGGAGCAACAUAAGCUGGAGUUCCACAGGUGGUAUGAAGGAGGCCAUCAUGUCUCUUGGACUCAGAAAGGGCACUUAAACCAAAAUCCGAGACUUUUAAGCUCUCAUUCUCAUCUAGAAGUAGGUUUUCUGGCUUCAAAUCACGGUGAUAAACACCCCGGCUGUGGCAGUAGUCUAUACCACUGAUCAACUGAUGGAAAUACCGCCUCGCAACAUCUUCACUGAACUUUCCCUUGGAUAUUUUCUUGAAAAGUUCACCGCCUUUAGCAUACUCCAAAACAAAGUAAAUUUUGCUCUUGCUUGCCAUCACCUCAAAAAGCUGAAGAAUGUUUGGAUGCUUUACUAAUCUCAUUAUUGAAAUCUCCCUCUUUAUCUGCACCAUUAGCCCAACCCUUGUUACCUUCUCCUUAUCAAUCAUCUUUAUUGCAACGGCCUGUCCGCUUGUGAGAUUCCGAGCAUAAUAUACCUUGGCAAAAUUUCCCUGUCCUAACUGCCUACCUAUUUCAUAGCGAUCCAUCAAAAUUGUCCUCCUGUCAUCCAUUGUAGCAAUCUAUUUCAAGAAAAUCCUCUAGGCACUACUUAUAGAACAAUAUAUUUCAAAAGGGAGGGCUUAUAAAUGACUAAAUGAACACUAUCACCACCAAGGUCGUGUCCAUCAAAGAUAUAAUGCCACGAUCUUCAGUGGUUCAGAGACCAGGGUACAGAAAAAAUCAUUAUAACAGCAUGCAGGCACUGCUCUUAUUUGAACUCAACCGGACAGUUGGUGCAAAGCUUUCCGGUGCACUAGCACACAAUUCGGCCUUUUCAAGGACAAAUAUCUUCUAGUGUCACCUGUUGAAAACAAAACGGAGAACGAACAAACUGAAUCAGGGCAAACAUAUAAUGUGAAUGUAGAUCCAAUCAUCCAAAGGUAAAUCAAAUUGAAAACAAUAAUUCACUGUAAAUGCGCAUUCACAUUCCCUUUUUUUUAUACGCAAGGAGCGCAUCUUUGUAUUAAAGAGUAAAAUUAUUUAUAGGCACAUUCCCAAAGUUAGGAUAGCAUUACGAAUUUAGUAAAAAAAUUGCAGGAUUCCCCAUUUCACUAUGAUUUUGAAUACCCACCAAGCAUUCCUUGUAAGAAACCUAAAAUCACACCAAACAAAACAUACUCCAAAACGACAAAAUGACAAGUACUACAAACUAAGCAGUGAUUCAUCCUAAAAAGGUAGAUCACACGACGAUUGAUCUAGUGUUCUAGGACUUCAGGCUACUCCGAUAAAGGAAUCAACAAAUAAAAACCUGCAGAAUCCAUUCAUUCAUCAAUCCCCGGUAGCAGAGCAAUCCAUCAUACUAGGGCGAACACCCAGCUCCCCAAACCCUACCUCACCGGGACACAGAGCUACAAAUCCAGCCAUAAACCAAUCAAACUAACAAGCAAUUUACCCUUCUCAGGCCUUAGCCGCAGAGAUCACAACCACAAAUAACCUAACCAAACCAAGAAACCGCAGGGAGCACAACAUCAGCUGCAGAUCUCUUUGCGGCCACAUCAAAAACAACCAAGCAAUCACCAAGGCUGAUACUACCAACCUGAGAUGAACUGGCCGCGGAGGAGAGGCGGGGAUCCCGAAUACUCAGGUGAAGUCUGCUCCAAUCCAAGCCGGCGCAGCCACAGCGCAGCCGCCCUGCGCUUUGACCUAUUUGCAAGCACAGCCUAUUAAUAUUUUAAUUAAUUUUUAAUUACCUUUUUUUGGUUAUUUUAGUAGAGGAGUGGCAUCUCCGCUCCGCGUCGCAGCCACAUGCUCUGAUGCCUCCAGAGCACAGUCCACGUUCGCACGGCAGCUCAGCUCUAAGCAGCGCAACGCGUCAUCACGCCGCCCGGUGGGCCCCACAGCCGCCACGGGCCUGGUUGGUGGGCCGUAGCCCACGUGGGCCCACCGGCGGCAAGGUGGGCUUUCUCCUCGUGGCCCAACUGGCGGUGGUGGGCGGCGGAUGGCGGAGGCUGGCGGCGGCGGCGUAACAGAAGGAGAAGGUGGCGGCGGUGGGUGCGGGAGGCGGCGGUGGAACCGGCGGCGCCCCCCAACGGCGGCGCACCCACGGCGGCGUCGGCGGCGCACCCCACGGCGGACCAACGGCAGUUGGCGGCGGCGAUAUGCACGGCGGCGGCGGCGGCGGAAAUCUCGCUGGGGCGGUUAGGAUUCUAACCCUAACCCGCCCCCUCCCCCACCUUUUUGCCUGCCGGCCAAAUUGGGCCGGCCUAGUACUGUUCGGUGGUGGGCUGAAACCUAUAGUUUCGGCCCACCACCCAAUUUACCCUUUUUUUGUUUUAAAUUUUUAUUUUUAGCAGCCAUUACACUUUAGUCCCUAUGUUUUAUGCAAUUUAAUAGAAACAGUUCAUCAGUUGUUCACAUUAUUAUGUAAUGGUCCUAUAGAUCACUGAUGUUAUGUGUUAAUUAACAUAGAUGUUUAUUCAAAUACCCCGUUUCACUAAAUUUAUUUGUUGUCUUAAUAACAUGCCUUUUGCAUAUUAUUUCAAGACACACUCUACUUUCUCGCUUCAUUAAUUUAUAAAAUUCUAUAAAUUUUGUACUUUGAUUUAGCAAAUUCUCUUAAUUAUGUGCAACAUGAUUAAUGGAGGAUUUAAUGCAUGUUCCACUUCACAUUUUGACUCGGAAAUUAAUCACAUGUAGAUGGAGUCCUAUACUUUGGUCAUCACGACCAUAAUUUAGGCAGCGAGUAUCUUGCUCAUCAUCAAGUGGUCUACAUUUUGAGAUGAUUACCCGAUGGAGCCCUACAAAUUGGCCGCACUGGUUAUAACCUAGGCAGCGAGCAUCUCGCUCAUCUCACAGAGGUUUACAUCUCAUGAUGAUUACCCACAUGUGUUAUUUUCCGAGCAUAUGUUUUGAAAAAUGAGAUUAUUUGAAAUUUGAUUGAACACAAGGUAGUGGAGUCCUAAACAUUGGCUGCGGUAUAUUCACCAGAAUAUAUUUGCCUGGAGACCAUGUUUUAGGCAGCAAGUAUAACUUGCCCACUAUUAAGAGAUCUACUCCACUGUUUAAUUACUUGGAGAUUAUCCACAUUGUGCCACCUAAUUUCAAAUCCUAACUCAAAUUGUCAGGUCUAUAACCUACAUCUUUUCGAAACAUUACAAGAUAUGAAGUUUUACAUUUCGCAUUGAGAUUACAACCUCAAUAUCAUGUUUUUAUUAAUUUACCUCUGUAAAUUAAUAGUGUUAAUCAUGAUUAUAGGGACACGGCAACUAUAGAGUUCACCGAACUCGCCCUCGAUGGGAGUAACUACCCAAUUUGGGCUUCUGAUAUCAAAAUAAAUUUUUCUUCUAGUGGGAUUUCACAUACAGAUUAAGAACCCAAUGAUUGGGAUCCACCAGUUGAGAACAGAAAACUAUAUAUUACCUUUUUCCUUCUGAGGUUCUAUAUCUAUAAAGAUCUCAAAUAUGAGUACAUGUUGGAGACGAGCCCUCUCAACCUAUGGAAAGCUCUAAUAGAGCGUUAUGAUCAGCAAAAGGAACUCAUUUGGCCAGAGGCUAAUUAUGAGUGGAUUCAUUUACGCCUACAGGAUUUUAAACUGUGGCCGAAUACAAUCAUGUUGUACAUAACAUUUGCUCCAAGUUGAUAUUUUGCGAUAAGAGCCAACGGAAGCAGAGAAGAUAGAGAAAACUCUAUCAACUAUGUUUCCAGAGGACAAGAUAUUGAACCAAUAGUAUCGCACUAAAAGGAUUUAAGGGAAAUUCCUCGAAUACCCCUACGAAUCUGACUGGAAAACGCAAACGCAACAACAGGCGCAAAUCCAAUGGUCGACAGAAAGGAAAUAGGAAGGGUAAGGCACCACAACCUCGUGGCAAUAGCAACAUGCAUUGCAACAGGUGUGUAUCUGACUAUCAUGUCACUAAAGAUUGCCGCAUCUCAAAAACAUCUUGUUCUCCUGUAUCAGAAAUCCCUAAAGGAGAAAAAGUCUUCUGAGGAACUAAGAUUUGAAGCUCACUUCAAUCUUACAAAAGAAAGACCUGAGGUUGAAAGUUCUCACUAGGCUCCUAUUGAACCAGAGAACACCCUCGUUCUUCUCCCAGAGGAUACCACUGCGCUUUCUGCAAUAGAUGAUAUGCUCAUCGAAUACUGCUCAACGGACCCACUUAGAGAUUUAUUGUAAUCUCAGUGCGUCCCACUUAGAGAUAAAGCUGCUUUAAUCUCAGUGUGUUUAAGACAUUAUAUUGAUAUCCUAUAGUUUGUCAAAACAAUAUUGGUUGUAAUAAGUAGAUAAGUACAAACUCCCUUAUAUUAUAAAGUUGUAAGACUUGAUAGUCAUUAGAGUAUGUACUAUUAACCUAUGUAAACGUCAUACUAUGUAUCUGAUGUUUUCAUUAUUGUAUGUAUGUAUAUAUUGUGGAUAAAGAAUUCUUCACUAAGCAAUUCUUCUUUCACUAUAGAUGUCUAAGGAUAUCGCUCUGAAAUUGUCCUUCUCUCAUCCAUUGUAGCAAUCUAUAUCAAGAAAAUCCUCUAGGCACUACUUAUAGAACAAUAUAUUUCAAAAGGGAGAGCUUAUAAAUGACUAAAUGAACACUAUCACCACCAAGGUCGUGUCCAUAAAAGAUAUAAUGCCCCGAUCUUCAGUGGUUCAGAAACCAGGGUACAGAAAAAAAUCAUUAUAACAGCAUGCAGGCACUGCUCUUAUUUGAACUCAACGGGACAGUUGGAGCAAAGCUUUCCGGUGCACUAGCACAUAAUUUGGCUUUUUCAAGGACAAAUAUCUUCUAGUGUUACCUGUUGAAAACAAAACAGAAAAUGAACAAACCGAAUCAGGGCAAACAUAUAACGCAAAUGUAGAUCCAAUCGUCCAAAGGUAACCUAAAUUGAAAACAAUAAUUCACUGUAAAUGCGCAUUCACAUUUCUUUUUUUAUAUAUGCAAGGAGCGUAUCUUUAUAUUAAGGAGUAAUAAAAGUUAUUUACAGGCACAUUCCCAAAUUUAGGAUAGCAUUACGAAUUUAGUAAAAAAAAUUCAGGAUUCCCCAUUUCACUAUACUUUGAAUACCCACCAAGCAUUCCUGGUAAGAAACAUAAAAUCACACCAAACAAAACAUACUCCAAAAUGACAAGGACUACGAAACUAAGCAGUGAUUCAUCCCAAGAAGGUCGAUCACACGACGAUUGAUCUGGUGUUCUAGGAAUCUAGGCUACUCCUAUAAAGGAAUCAACAAAGAAAAACCUGCAGAAUCCAUUCAUUUAUCAAUCCCUGGUAGAACCCGUCAUACUAGGGCGAACACCCAGCUCCCCAAACCCUACCUCACCGUGACACAGAGCUACAAAUCCAGCCAUAAACCAAUCAAACAAGCAAACAAUUUACCCCUAUUAGGCCUUAACCGCAGAGAUCAUAGCCAUGAUUAACCUAACCAAACCAAUAAACCGCAUAAGCACCGCAUCAGCAGCGGAUCUCUUUGCGGCCACAUGAAAAACAACCAAGCAAUCACCAAGGCUAAUACUACCAACCUGAUCGAGAUGAACUGGCCGCGGAGGAGAGGCGGGGAUCCCGAAUACUCAGGUGAAGUCUGCUCCAAUCCAAGCCGGCGUAGCCACAGCGCAGCCGCCCUGGGCUUUGACCUCUUUGCAAGCACAGUUCUAUUAGUAUUUUAAUUAUUUUUUAAUUACCUUUUUUGGGUUAUUUUAGUAGAGGAGUGGCAUCUCCGCUCCGCGUCGCAGCCACAUUCUCUGAUGCCUCCAGAGCACAGUCCACGUUCGCAUGGCAGCUCAGCUCACAGCAGCGCAACGCGUCGUGCCGCCCGGUGGGCCCCACCGCCGCCACGGGCCUGGUUGGUGGGCCGUAGCCCACGUGAGGCCCACCGGCGGCAAGGUGGGCUUUCUCCUCGUGGCACAAAAGUCAGUGUGUGGCCGUGGCGAGGCCGGCGGAGGCAGCGGCGGCGGAGGAGGAGGUCGUCGUCGCCGGCAGCUCAGCUCAGCUCACAGCAGCGCAACGUGUCAUGCCGCCCGGUGGGCCCCGCCCCCGCCACGAGCCUGGUGGGUGGGCCGUAGCCCACGUGGGCCCAAUUGACAAGGUGGGCUUUCUCCUCGUGGCCCACAAGUCGGUGUGCAGCGGCGGCGAGGCUGGCGGCGGCGGAGGAGGAGGUCGUCGCCGGCGGCCGCGCGGUGACGGGUGCAGUGAAGUUCGGCGCGAAACCUCAAGAGCACCGCAUUUUCUACGCUUUUUCUUUGUUUUUUUUUUUGGCUCGAGUGCGCCUUCGCCGAACAGAUAAAGGCCACGUCUUUUCUUUUGCUUUCUCCUCUCCAAGCGAAGCCACUGCUUCUACUGCGUCGACUUGGAAUUUUGCCGAAUCUUUUUUUCCUAUGCAUUUGGCAAGACCAAGAAAACAAAAAGAAAAGAGAUUAUUAAUCAUGGCGACACGAAUGGAAAUGGUUAAUAAUCGCAUUGAAAUCUAAAUCCGAUCCUACUAAAGAAUUAAUUAAAAAAUAGGAGUACUAAUAAUGGGCAUAGAUAGAGGGAGACCUCACUCUCAGCAUAAAAAAAUUCCAUCUUUGCAGGCAGACGCAGGUGCACUUGCUUCAGUCACCACCUCCUCUUCUCCUUUGCCGACUCCUGAGCCAUCAGUGUGGCCUAACUCGUGUGACUUUCAAAGUAAGAGUAUCUACGACUUCGAUUCUUUUAUUGCCUUUCUGAUUAAUGAAUAGUGGUAAACGAAGCAAUAGGAUUUGACUCCUGGAGAAGGAGAAGCUAAGAUAGCACUGAGCUCUUUCUAGAUACACAUCCUUCUCCGCGGCCAUUUCUUGGAGCAAAUCUCAUUUUGCACAGCCCCAAAGAUUUCUUCAUCUUUGAAGGCAAAAAAAAAGAUGGUCCUUUUUCGAGGGAAAUAGGGGGGAAGAUGGCUAUGAAGAGAGUGGUGUUUCUGUUGCUGCUUGUGGCGGCAUCUGCAUUGGUGAAGUCGUCAAGAGGAGGAGGAGGAGGGGAGGAGAAGUUGGGGAAGUUCUAUGGAUGGCGGCGCCAUCUUUCUUCUGGACCAGCUGCCUCUUCGUUGGUUCUCAGUGGGGAUCUCGUAAGGCGUCCAUAAACCUUCUCCUUUGCAUGCUAGAUAGAAGUAAUCGAUUCAAUAGCUCUAGUUUACUUUGCUUGAUUUGGACUUGUUAUCUGCCAAGAACUUCGAAUAUGACUUCCAUUUUGUCUUCUUGAAAGUGAGGCAUUCAGGCCUUUUUUGUUAUUUACCGUUGUUAUGUUUAGUAUAUUUCGUUAUAACAGAAAUAUGACUGAUUGUUUCUUGAUCUUUAUUGUGCUCACUUUAGUCAAUCAGGAUGAGCAGUAAAUUUUACUUAGUUCAUAUAUAUUAUAUGAGAACAAUUUAACAGAUAGCUUGAUGCAUUAACAAAUAAUCCUUACUGUGAUGCAGGUAGACAAAAUAUGGUCAGUUUGCUUACAAGACAUAGUUAGCCCAGAGGAUACAUUUGGCUUUGGGGAAUCAUUUGCCUGGGAUGAGUUAUCGAGUCAUUCCACGGAAGAUGAACUGAAGGCAACACUGUUCAUGGAACUUAUGGCUCUUCUUCCACCUGAGAAAUCUUCUUUUACUUAUGAUUGUAUCCGUGCAAACUGCUUCAGCCUGGGUGUUCCACAAAUAUUCAGUGUUGCACUGAGCAACUAUCUUGAGAGCCAGAAAUCAUUGGUCGGUUCAAACUUCUAUCCGAGACGGCGUUUGGUAGAUAAACUGAUCGGAGAUGCUCCUUCCAUGGCUCCAGCUUUCGCACCAUCCAUGUCCUCUGGCGGUGAAGUUCACUCUCCCCUCUCUGUGGCGGAGGCACCACUUACACCUUCCAACUCUCUGAACAUGGAACCUCCCAGCCCAUAUUAUCCCAGUAAAUCUGCACACAAGCAUCAGGGAGUGGCACCUCCAGUUUCACCUUCAGAGGAGUAUCAUGACUACAUGAAAGUAGUCUUGAUCGCUGUUCUUCCAACAGCCGCACUCUCAUUCCUAGCUGCAUUUCUAUGUUUCUACUGCUGUGGAUGCAACAAAAGCAAGGUCUCGGUUGGCGAGCAACGAGAUGACCAUCCUCUUCUUCACUUGCAGUUCUCUAACUUGCCUGGUGAGGAUACAUCCCUUCUAUCAACAUGGUAGAUUAUUAUUGGUAUGGUAGUAUAUCAUCUAUCAUUUGAAUGGCAGGUUCGUCACCUGAUGUGCAUGUUCCUGCCAGCCCGCUUCAUAAGGAUGAUCAUGGGGUUAGGCCAUCCAAUGCUGGUGUAAGCAUGAGCAAGUGCUUUCCAUGUUGUUUUAAAACCUCAAGUGAUGCCACAACACCUACACUAGUAACUGGAGGAACACAGGAGAACAAUGCCACAAGUGAUGCCCCUAAACUGAUGCCUCCGCCACCCCCACCUCCUCCACCUCCACCUCCACCUCCCCCUCCACCUCCUCCGCGUCCACCUCCUCCGCCUCCACCUAUCAAGAAGGGUGCUCCACCACCUGCACCUCCUAAAGCCACCAUGGCAAGAUUUCCUAAGCUGUCACCUACAGAGUCAAGUCGUUCUGAAGAGUCAUCUGCAAGCGAGCUGGCCAGUGAAUCGUCUGAAACUGAGGUGAAUGCUCCAAGAGCCAAGCUCCGGCCUUUCUAUUGGGAUAAAGUUCUUGCUAAUCCUGAUCAGUCAAUGGCCUGGCAUGACAUCAAAUUUGGUUCUUUUCAGUAAGUUUUUAAAUUUAGCAAUGGCAUGUAUUCUAAGUUCAUUUAGGCUUGCAACUGACGACUGCAUUCUGCAGUGUGAACGAGGAGAUGAUAGAAGAAUUGUUUGGUUAUGGUGCUGGCAACCAAAACAAUGUCAAGGACAAGGAAAUUUCCAUUGCAGAUCCUUCACCUCAGCAUGUUUCUCUUCUUGAUGUUAAGAAAUCAUGCAAUCUGGCAGUUGUUUUUAAGGCAAUGAAUGUGAGGGCAGAGGAAAUUCAUGAUGCUCUGGUUGAAGGUAGUUGAACUAUUGCAUAUAUUUACAUGCAGCCUACUUACCCAUUUGCCAAAAAAAAAAAAAGCUCCUAAAGUUUCCAUUAUCGCUGUAAAUACAAUAUGUUUGCACCGCCAAAGAUAACAUUGCACUUAUAAAUGAGCCUUUUGAAAAAAUGGAAUGCUCGUUGCAUUCUAUUUAACUGAUACAAGAAUUCGACUGCAACUAUAGCAAGUUUACUUAUUAAACUAUAUACUGUGCAUUUCUAAGCACAUGUAUUUGUGGCCAUCCUCUUUUAGUUUCUUGUCUGUCUUUGUGAUUGUGGCCCAUCUCAUUUCAUAUCAGGCAAUCACAGUGAAAACAUGUUUCAUAUUGUGUAUGCAUUGGUCAUUUACUAUAUCAUAUGUUCUCUUGUUCACUAGAUGUAGCUGUUGAGGUCUAAGUAGUACACACAAAGUUGAUGCUGUGCUGGUUCACUUCAAUAUACUUCUGACAUUGUCUUCUGUCACAUUAUGUUAUGAAGGGAAUGAACUUCCUAGAUUACUUCUUGAGACAAUCUUGAGGAUGAAACCGACUGAUGAGGAGGAACAGAAACUCAGGCUUUAUAAUGGGGACUGCUCGCAGCUAGGCCUAGCAGAACAAGUGAUGAAGGCACUAAUUGAUAUUCCUUUUGCUUUCGAGAGGAUUAGAGCUUUGCUUUUCAUGUCCUCUUUGCAGGAAGAUGCUUCAAGUCUAAGGGAAUCAUUCCUCCAAUUGGAGGUAAUCCAUCUGAAAGUAGUUGACUUCUGUAUUAAAUCUGCGAAGUAUUCCAACCUUUUUUCUCCAAGUGUUCAGUUUUUUAUCUGUUUGUGCCAGGCUGCUUGCGGUGAACUCAAGCACCGCCUUUUUCUGAAACUACUAGAAGCCAUUCUCAAAACUGGAAAUCGUUUGAAUGAUGGGACGUUCCGUGGUGGUGCUAACGCGUUCAAACUUGACACUCUUCUUAAGUUAUCAGAUGUCAAGGGAGCUGAUGGGAAGACCACAUUGCUGCACUUUGUUGUUCAAGAGAUCAUUCGAUCUGAAGGUGUUCGCGAAGCAAGACUCGCCAUGGAAAAUGGAAGAAGUCCACCAUUUCCUAGUACUUCGGAUGACAAUUCCAAUGAAUCUCUACAGGAGGAUGGCAAUUACUACUCCAACCUUGGCCUUAAGAUUGUAUCAGGGCUUAGUAAUGAGCUGGACAAUGUCAAGAGAGUAGCAGCACUGGAUGCUGAUGCUUUGUCUACAAGUGUGGCAAAUCUGCGACACGAAUUAUUGAGAGCCAAAGAAUUCCUGAACUCCGACAUGGCAUCGCUAGAAGAGAACAGUGGAUUCCACCGCUCGUUAGAAAGUUUCAUAGAACAUGCAGAGACUGAGACCAAUUUUCUCCUGAAAGAAGACAAGAGAUUGAGGAUGUUAGUGAAGAGAACGAUUCGAUAUUUCCAUGGAAAUGAUGAGAAAGAUGACGGUUUUCGCCUGUUCGUCAUUGUAAGAGAUUUUCUGGUGAUGCUAGAUAAGGCAUGCAAGGAGGUUGGUGCUUCACAAAAGAAGGCAACAAAUAAAUCUCAAGCCAAUGGCAACUCUAAUAACCCAUCAUCCCAGUCAAAUCCUCAGGAGCAACAGUUUCCUGCUGUUUUGGAUCAUCAUUUUGAUAGCUCAGACUCUAAUGAUUGAAGAUAGAUACAAUCUUAGAUACUAAGAUACAUACAUUAUGUUAGAUAUUUUAUAUUUUUUCGCCCGAGACCAUGUAAAAAGUCCCAUUUGCAGAGGCAUUGUUCAUACAUAAUCACAUUCACAUAGAUAGAUUUGAAACUUCAUACAUGCUAUUAUGCUAUAACAUUCAGUAUCAAAUCUGAAGUUCUGAACUCAGCCUAUCGUUAGAUUCUAUUUUCUUUGGUAAGAGUAUUCAUAUCCCGACCCCUCCCCACAUGUGUCAUUUCCCAGAUAUUUUUAUUUUAUUUUUAAAGUCAAACCUUUUCUUUUCAUUUUUUGAAAGCCAAAACAUUUUCAACCGUGUGAUGGAAACCAAAACCUUCAGCACCCUAAAGACGAAAAAAUAAUUAGUAGGAUAUGGUAUAUUUCAGAAAACUGGAUCUAUUUUAUCAAUCUAUCACUUUGCUACAAUGUUAUCCACGUAUUUUAAAGAAUUGCAAUAUUAGUGUAUGGUUUUAUCAAAAAGAAAGAUACAACUUAAUUUGUGUGACAAGUUUAAGUCCACAUACACUGUCCAUUAUAAAUUGGGUAUAUGUCAUACUAGAAAUGUGGUCCCGUGACCAUGGUAGGUUUUUACUCUUUUAGUAGCUUUAUAUAGUCCAGUUCUUAUAAUCAUGUGUAUAGUGUUGGGCAAAACUAUAUCCCAUCAGGUAGAUGAGUUUGGGUCCAUUCUAUGAGCACCCGUCCCGUCUACCAUGGGUAAAAAACACUCGUAGAUCUAGCGAAAAAAAAUUACAGUGGCCUAAGACCAAAUCUUAGUAUGAAAUCAUCUCACCUAACCACCUAUCAAUCCUACCAAUAUUCUCCAUUGCCACACAAACCGCAAGUAAAAGGCAGUGCUCGUGGUGGCGGCUAGAACCACUCAUGACUCAUUAUGCUCGUGAGUUGCUAUGCGACCAAGACAAGACAAGGGAGGUAGCGGGGCUCAUGCGGUUAUAGGGGGUAGGGAAAACGGGAUUGAGGAGUCACACUCUCAUCACAUCUCUAGUCUCCUUCACAUCAGUCUCUUACCAUUUCCCAUUCCAAUCGGUGGUGGAUCCAGGUACGGAGGAAAUCUUGUACCCAUGACAAUUGUGGGUGUUAGAGCAAAAUGUUUUGACUUGCAUAGGUGUGUGCGGGGUAUUAGAACUGGCGGGUGUAUUUGCUAUAUUUAGUCUUACACACAUAGGGGAUAAAUUAGUAGUUAUAUGAUAAAUUCCGUUGCUAAAGUUACAAUUUUAUGAAAAAUAGCCAGCUAAAGUUAUACAAAGUGAUGGUGUUUGCCAAAGGGAGUAUCUAAAGAAUUGCCACAAAUUUUUUGAGUCAAAAACUUUCAGAUAUAACAACUUAUAUAAAACUUGCAUUCAACUAUGGUUUAGUUAGCUAAUAUUGGGAUCUUACGUGUGAUAUGUGUGAAAUUUUUUUUCCUUCAUGCACAAAUCGUAGGACGAUCCGAUGGUCACAAAUUUGGAAGUUUUGGGAGUAGUUAUUUUAGCAAAUCCGUUACCAAAUAAGGCUGUGUUCGGAGGAGGGGGUUGGGAACCCCUCCUCCUCGGCACGCAAAACAAAGUUCAUUUUAUUGCAUGAUCAAUUAAGUAUUAACUAUUUUUUUAAAUAGAUUAAUAUGAUUUUUUUAAACAACUUUCAUACAUAAAGUUUUUAUAUAAACCACACCGUUUAGCAGUUUGAAAAGCAUACGUACGGAAAACAAGAGAGGUGGGUUGGGAAAAUGGGGGAAGAACACAGCCUAAGCAGUUUUGUGAAAUUUUCUCGAUAAUAGGAUAAGAUCUUCUAGGAUGCACAAUCCUACCCGUCCAUUUCCGAUCGGACGGCACCGGUGACACCCAAGAGCAACCCAGGCCGCCUCCUCUCCCCCAAAACGCGCACUCGUGUGCUUUCGCCUUCCAUUCUCCAAACCCUCGCGGGAGAUCGGAAUUCCCCACCCCGGAGCGCCGGAUCCACCACCGAUCGUCGGCGGCGGCGGCGGAGGAGGCUGCGACGGCGGAGGCGGAGAUGCUGGGCCCUCCUCGCCGCGGGCCGGCGUACAAGACGAAGCUGUGCGCGCUGUGGCAGCGCGGCAACUGCAACCGCGACACCUGCAGCUUCGCCCACGGCCACGGCGACAUCCGCCGCCCGCCGUCCUCCCGCGGCGCCUUCACGCACCACCCGGGUAUGGAUUGCCCCCCUCCCCCCUCGCGCGCCCCCCUGUUCGUUGUUUGUCUUCGAGAUCCCCCGCCCCUGGGUUUAGGGUUUCUGGUGUCUAGUGCAGGAGGCGGAGGGCGUUGGAUGUCCUAGAAUUUUUUAUUUUAUCGUCGUGAUUGUCGAUAAGCUUAGAUUAGAUGUAUGCGUUGCUAGAUGGCUAGAUGUGAAAUGGAAGUGCGGAAACCGGACUAUUGGAUUAUGUCAAGAGUAGUAUUUUCACAAAAGCCGAGUGAUAAUGUUAUAAGAGUGAGCAUUGGAAGUUUGGAACUAAGCGGCUGGUUCUGGAGAACGUGACAUACUGGGCGGUAAGCCCGAAUGCGAUGUUUGGCUUCCCAUGCAAAAAAGGAAUGUCAUAAAAAGUGGAAAUUGCUGGAAUGUUGCCUUUUAAGAGGACAUUCGAUACCCAUGAAGGAGUUAGGACUUAGGAGAGAAUCCAGUCAUUGCUGUAAACCUUCUUUAUGAUUCGCGCGAUAGUUUGCUGGCUUUUUUGUCUUGUUCUAUUGCGUUUGUGAUUUUUACUGUAUUUCUUAUACGAGUGCUUGAAUUCAACCACCAGUUGCUGCAGAUAGAAAAUAAUUCUAACAAGUGGAAGCUUGUUGCAGAAUUAGGUGGCAUUCUUACUGGUUGUCUUUUGAUUUAAUUAUCAUUCAAACUAGCAGACUCUGCAGAUAUGUUGACUCAACUGCUGCCAGAGGAUAGCAUGACCUUUUUCAUAAAUUCUUCACUUGGUAUUUCGACGAUUUGUGUUGACGAUAAUGCUUGUGCUGUACCAGAAGGUGAACUUGUGAGGAUCUUGGAUGAUGCCUCCAUUGAAUGAUUGCCAAUAAUAUAUUCAAUGUGAUACAAUCAUGCCAUUAGCUGGCUUUGCAAUUACUGGGUCACACAUUAUAUGAUUAUGGUGCAUCAGCUAGUUCCAUUGGAAGUAUUAUUCUCACUGGUGAUUCAAACAUUUUGUGAUUCUUCACAAGUCGCCAUUGAAGAUAUCUGAGCAAAUGCUAGUAUAUGUAUGGGAUAUUGGGACUAUGCCAUUAUGGAAGACCUUUCUUCAUCAUACUUGCUAUAUGAGGUUAUUUAUGGAGCACUCAUCCAUUUCACUUCAGACGAUCAACAUUAUUAUAUUAAUGGGUGAAUCAGUGGUUUCUUGUCGUAUCUUGGUAUAUGCUUGUGCAUUAUUUUUUGGCCCUACUUUUUUUGUGGCUAAUGGCAUUAUCCUGGAGCCCCAGCUACUUAUUGCUAAUUGAAUAAUCUUGUAGCUCAAUGGUCUUGGUAAGCUUAACAGGAUUAUGGGUGUCCUACUAUCUAUAUAUUACUUCCUUUUUGUUUUUUGUUUCAUAAGUUGCUUCCUUUGUAUAAAACUUGCACCUCCCUGACUUCUAGGGAGAAGAGAUUAUAGAGCCGGUGAUUUCAGAGGCAGGAUUGAUAGGAGGUUUUCACCUCGGAGGAGGCAUUCCCCUGGAAGAGAGUCCAGGGGUCAUCGUCCCCUUUAUGAUAGAAGGCCAUCUUCUCGAGAAAGAGGUAAUAACUGCUUUCUUUCUCUGUCGUGUGUGUAUUUGCAUGUGUGUAUACAACUGUUUCUGGUCGCUUCUACAUACUGAUUGCUUUUAAGUUUAUGCUAUUUAUAAACUCAUAAAAAUGUGAUUUCUUACUGCAGAUUCUAGCUAUUCACGAUCUCCUAGCAGGAAGAGGUACAUAUUUCAUUUCAUCAUAUGAGCAUGAUCUUUUGAAGUUAAAUUCUAAAUAUGCUGUGAGUGCAUGUUAAAGCCCUGAUCAAAGUUCAAUUUAUGGUGUCUUUGCUUAUCUUUAUCAUCGAUUUAUUAGUAUAUUGCCUUGUCGUGUUUCUAUUGGUCUUGCAUUUUAGUUUUUCAUCAUUGUUAAUCACCAUUUGAUAUGCUUGAGUUAAGAUCCACACAAGCUACAAUUUUAGUUCUGUAGUUUUAUAUUAAUGGUGCUGUAAACUAUCAUCAACAUAUUUGUUCCAUUAUAAUGCUAAAAUUAUCUUGCUCAGAAUGGUAAGGUUUUGUAUUCUUCCUGCAGAUUGUACCUGGUGAUACUUACUAUCUAUCACUCAAAUUAUUUGUUUUGUUUUCAUAGUCAUAAGCAUGUUUUCCUAAAGGUCAUGCAAGCACUUGUAUAAGCUGUAUUUUGCGAUCAAAGUAGAACUUGAUAUUUGAACACUGGCAUUUCCGUUGGAAUUGUGGUUGGGUUUACUAGAUUUAUUCUAGAUGCCUUGAACAUGUUGAGUCGUGCUGAACUGGUAAUUUACUUUUCCACAAUCUAUCCUUUAUUUCCAGUGAGAGGAGGCAUGAAAAGAAGACUGACGAUGGAGAAACCAACUCAUCUAGGAGUUUAAGUCUCUCUGAUAACAACGAUGAAAAGAAAAAGGACAAAUUCUCAAGUGGUGAUGAGAAAGAAGACCACGAAAAGCAGGUAUGAGAAAAAUGUAAUCAAAUUCAUGGCUUAUACAAGCACAUUUGGCACAAUCUUCAUUGCAUAAUUAUGAAUAUUGUGCAGCUGAAACAAAUACGGCUGGAUAUGGAGGCUUUGCGUGACGAUAAAACUCAGAUGGAGGUCAGUUUCUAUUUGUCUCGCUAUAUUUGUUACAAUAUGGCACAUGCUACCAUGUUAACAUUUUGACUGCCACUUUUUAUUCACUCAUAAAAAGGAGUUGGUGGUUGUGAUGAUAGGUUCCACCAUCCCAUGCCAUUUUAAAAGAUCUUUUGUGGAUGAAUCUACCUUAGUGUGUGUGUGUGAAUUGUAGGAUCUUUUGUAAAGGAUUACAUCUUCUGCACAUGUAGACAUGCAUAAGAUGAUCGAUUGACGCAAGUCAUAUAUUCUAUUUUAAAUUUGUUACUAAUUUGUCAUAUGUAGACAUGUAUUUUUAUAAAAAAGUUCAAAACUAAUGGCUUAUUUAUCUGUGGUAUGCUGCAAUGAAUGAGCUUAUGAGCACUAUGCUAGUAAUGUGUAAAUUGAGAAAUGGUAAUGCAUGGAUUUCAUCAAGUGUUCAAAGCGUAGGUGACUUUUCACUAGUCCAGUACUGCUGUGCCAACUAUCAACUAAUAGUGUUUGCAUGUAGAACUUAGUAUGUGGGUAUUGUUUAUCAUCUUUAAUUUCAGACAUAUUCUCCAUUCUGUUCAUGUUUGGCACAGAGAUUGCACAUCUUCCAAUCAUUUAAUAGUAGUCAUGCUUGACGAAUUGGUUGGCAGUGCGUCUUUCCAUGAAUAACCCCAAGAGUACCCUCUAGUCUUGUGUCCACUUUGGACCUUCAUUGACUUAUUGUACUUGAGUUUAUUUAUUUUUGUCUUCCUGUCAUGUUAUAUUUUCCGACUGAGCUUUGGAGCGGGUCAGCACUCAGCAGGCACAUUAUUAUAUGGUGCUUGCGCUCUUGUUUCAAAUGCUUUCUAUUUUAUGGCUGUGCUAAUAUUUCAAAUUUUCAAUGGUGCUGCAAGAAUUUGAUUUCACAUUGUUUUUAGCAUCUCGUGAACACAGUACUUGCUAACUACUACUUUAGAAAAGACUCCUGCUUUUUUUUUUGUUUCAUGGAAUGAUAUUACAAAACAUCCUACUUGGCCAUGUCUCUCUUUUAGACUUUUAGAAAAAGUCAAGCUCUUAGAAAUGUUACAUAAAUAAAUGUACACUAAUUUAUAAAUGGUUCCUUAUAAUUUGAAAAAAGUUUGCAUUAAAGACACCAUUUAAUAAUAUUCCUACUUCAUCACUGUUAUGAGCAUGGGCCAGGCCGAUGCAGCAGUUUAGGCACGAUAAAUUAGGAAUAAGUCAUAUAAUGGUAGGAGAUUAUCUAGUUAGGAAAGAGAUGAAGUUUAUUAUCUAGUUGGGAUUGAUUUCUAUGAUACUAUAGACUAUCCUUGGAUGUCAAGCCUGUCCUCCCUAUAUAUAAAGGGACCCCAUGUACUCUAUCAUUAAUCAAUCAAUGAAUCUCUAAAGUUAGCCCUAAUCCUCAGAGCCUCUUUUAGCUGAGCAGGGAGAAGCCUUGCCGCUGCUAUUAGUGAGCGAGUGCCCUAUCACUGGGUCUUCGGACCCUUACCCUAGCUACUCCAUAACAGUCACUACCCAUUGCUUGUACUUAGUUCCAUUCACGUCUAUAAUGUUAGAUCAUGCUGAAUCUUUGCUCCAAACUCUUAACUCUAGUCAACGCACUUACCUAUUUGUAGGUCAUUUUGGAUGAGAAGAUAGAUGAAGUGCGCAAGAUCUCUAGCAAAGUUAAUGAUCUUGAGGUGCAGCUUAGAAGGGAGAAAGAUGAAUGCCAUAGGUACUUAAGCAAUGUUUCCACAUGACAAUGGCACAUUAUCUUGACAGUAUUAUCCAAUAGUUCUAUAUUGUUUUUCUAUACCUUUGUAGGAUGACCUCAAAGAUGAAGAAGUUUAUUAAAGCUCAUGCUCGGUUUUUGAAGGCACAAGAAGAAGUGAAAAGGUGCUUUAUGUUUUCAUCAUGUUUGGCCUUGUAAUGCUAGUACACACCAGAUUACUCCUUUUUGCAUAACUAUCAAUCAAUAAGUGUUCACCAAUUGGAGUUAUGCAGGUCACAAGCUCGUUUCGAGAGGCUUGGUGAUUUGCUUGCUUCAGAUAUUUUGAAGCGUGGUGCUAAUGAAGAGGGGUCCAGUGUCAAUGAAGACCUAAACGAAAGGAGUCCUAAUACUGCAGCAACUAAAAAGAGAUCAAUCCCAUACUCAACAAGUGAAGAAGCGAAAGCUGGUAUGUAGCUUAGUUUCUCGGGACACUCUGAUUGCCAGGUUGUGAUUUGUACAAUAUGGAUCUUGGUGUUAUGCAGCAUCCAACUUUCCCCUUCUGUUAAACUGAUAUAUGUACCUCUUUAUGGAGUAACCAGUCGAUCCUAGUAUGAAGUAGUUCAAAUGUUCCUUUAUUUAAUAUUAAGCAUUAAAAUUGAUGUGCUUAGUUUUCUUACAGUAGCACUGAAGGAUGCCUAGUUUCUUUUAUAAUUGGAUUUUAAUUCUUUCUGCAAAUUGCUGAAGAAGUGUCUUAAUUAUGUACUUAAACCUAAUUGCUUGUCUCCUCAGUGAAGAAGAGAAGAGAGCGAGACUCUGAUACAAUGACUAGGUCAGAUAAAUAUAGGUCAGAUGUUACAGAUUUUGAUAAAACAAGUAAGGGGACUGAGGCAACCAAGUCUUUAUAUUUGAAGAAGAAAUUAUGGGAAGAUGAAAAAAGUAAGCUAGGAGCCAACAUUUUCACAGAAAAGGUGCACCAUUUCUCCCGCCCGCUCUCAAUUUUAUGAUGAACUACAUAUCAUACUUAGUACACUCAGUCCAGUGCUUUGUUUAAACAUUAUCACAUAUUGCUAGCCUAUGCAUUUGAUUGCACUGUAUAUAUCUCUACUAGUGUAAAAGCAGAGUUGUCCUUCCUUCCCCUCUUCCCACCUACCGCGUACAGCGAGAGAGUGAAAAACCGAAAGGCCAAACUUAUUACUUGUCUAAACAAAAAGCCUAGUUGAUAUUUGGAAAGUUCGGUCAUUGCCAGACCUUGUAUUGAAACUGAUAGGCUUCCUUGAUCAUCAGGUCCUAAAGCCCUUCUUGGCUAUGUUGGCAUCUGUAUUUAUCUUUGUUUGAUUGUGCUUAUCACAGGCAAAUAUUUUGUUAACUUGCAGGUCAAAGGUUCUCCCGUCAGACAUGUUUUGCCCUCCACUGGCAUGGCUGCUCAUGCUAUUGAUGAUCUCAACGAAGCUAUUGAACUGGAGGACAGACAUGAAUCCAUAGACGCAUUACUAGAAAAUGAUGCUGAUGACAAAACUAGAUCACCUGCUAUUCCCCUGCAGCCACCACCAGUGGUACAGAAUGCUUAUGAGCAGGUGAUUAAAUUUUCACCUUUCCAAAAAAAAAUAUUGGACCUGCUUACAUGCACGGUCAGCGGCAUGGAACUGGACAGUGCAUUUUGUUUAUAAAAAAUCGUUGUACUAAAAAAGCUCCUUUUUUUUCCCUGUGCAUUUGCUAAUUUGCUGAAAAAGCAAACUCAUAAUUUGUUUCAUCUUUUCCCAGUAUGAGGGUGAUGACGAGGAAGUCGAUGUGGAAUAAGUGGAUGGCCUCGUUUCUAGACAAGAGGCCUCUGAUGAAGCAAUGGCGAGAUUAGCAUCUUCCCCAGCUCCUUAUAAUUAGUACUAUUAGCAUCUUGGUGUACAAAGUGCUAUCUAUUUGACAUUGGGAAUUCAGCUUAUAUUUAUCAAGAAUCCUUUUGUAGUAACAUCCUUGGCGCUGAGACAGCCUUAGUCAACUAUGUGGAGCAGCCGUAUAAAUACUCCAUAGAGUGUCUGGUUUGGCUAAGCUAAUGACGUAUGGUAUGUGCGCUCCUUCUGCCCUGGGGAUUGCGACGCCAGAUGUGUCUACCUUCUUUAUCGCUGCAUUCAGUUAAGAAGAAGAAAUGCCAAAGAUGAACAUUUCAUGGUCAUCUGGCUAGUCGAGCUGAGCGUGUAAACUGGGUAAAGCAAGAUAUCCUGAAUUGAAUUCCUGAUGCCUUUGUACAGCCUCCCCAAGACCCGAAAAAGCUAGGGUUUGCUGCUGGCCUGGUGCUGCGGAGCGGGCAUGAGCGCCAGCUUUCUCCCUCGCUGUUAAGGGUGUAAUAAGGGGUUAAUUUGUGAACCCGCUUAUAAAUCAAAAUCUUCUCAUGGCUGGUCGUCCUCGCUCUCCUGUCGUCGGCUUCUCCUCCAUCGCCGAUGAUCAUCACUCUAUCAUCAGCUCUAUCGUCAAUUCGUCUCCUGUGUUUCGGCCUGGCCAGAUUAACCUAAGCAGAAAGAGCAGUAGUUUUAUCAGUUGGUUAUAUUGACCCAAGCCAGAAAUAGCAGUAGUUUUAUCGGUUGGUUUUAUAAGUCGUAACAAUAUGUAUCUCACGACUUAAAAAAAUAAUAUAUAAAAAUAUCAUGUUGGAAAUAUCCUAAAAUUAACUUUAUAAUUUAAAAUCGACUCAAAUAUCUAAAUUUUAAGUUUAUCAUACCCGGGAGGUUAUCCUCGUCGAGAGAAACCGACCCGGUUGAUUUUCCUGUGUCUAUAUAUAUCGACCGAGUUGAAGCCUCAAGAGGAGGAAAGGAUCGACCCCGACCCGACCCGAAGUCCCGACCCCAACCAGAGAGAGGCGCGCGCGUGCGGGUGCGGUGCGGUGCGGAUCGGAUCGGAUUGGGCCGAGUCCCCGACCCCACACCACACACCCCCUCCUCUCCCCGUCCGCGAGGGCUCCGGCCUCUCCUCCCUCCCGCGAUCCCCUUCCCCUCCGCCUCUCGCCGCCGCGCCGCGCCUCGCCGCGCCUCCAGCCAUCGCCGUCGACCGCGCGCGCGCGCGAGAGGUUCGUCUCCGUCCUCCUCCAUCCCAUCUCUCUCCCCUUCCAUGGAUAUUUCCUUCCUCUUCUCUCGGGUUUCUUCUCUUCUACUUGAUGAGAUUUUGUAUGCAUGUAUGUAUGUGUGUGCGUGGGGGGAUUGGAUUGAUUGGAUUUGGAGCGCGCCUUAGAAAUUCGAGGGGUUUCCUGCGCUCUGUUUGCUUUGCUCCCUAGAUUUGCCACUCCGAUUUCAAACUCUUCGAGUACCAACCAACCCUUGCGGUAUUUUUGCUCUUCGAAUGAGGUUAUGAGAUCUCAUGAGCCACUUAGUUUUCAGACAUGCAGAUGCGCGCAUGUCGCCUCCAUGUUGCCGGCGUACCAUCUGUUUUUUUUUUCUUCUGUUAUUUUUUUCGUUUCAUAAGAUUACCAUGUGCUAGUAAUUACUGUGAGUGAUUUUAUCAGAGACCCACUAAUUUUUUAUGCCUUAAUUUGUUUUCUCUCAUUUUUUGCAGAGCGGCUGUACGCGAUUCACAUGUGCGGUAAUUUACCUGCCUACUGCCGCCAACCAGAAGUGGAAUAUACCCUAUCCUAAUUUUCUUUCUUCGGAUGAAAGGUCUGCCAGUCUGCGUCAGCUAUGGCACAGAGUUCGUCCCGGCUUCACCGCCUGCUCACAUUGCUAGACAGUAUCCUUUCUGCAAGACUAUGGUUCGCUAUGCUUGCAGUUUUACAGAUGAUCACACGCUAUGCUAGGUUAUACUCUGUACCGAUUCUCUGAUAAACUAAGCAAAUUGCCUCAUGAAAUGUGCAAAUUAGCUGGGCUAAAACGUACAGUCUAUGCUUUUGCAGUCGAACAUAUAUCAUUUGAUAUCCCCUUUGGUUUAUCUAUCUAUUGUGCAAAGUUUCCUUUAACACAACUAGCUGGUUCCACGCAAGCGACAAGGUUCGCUGCUGCACGGCAAAUUGGAGAAAUUGCCAAGUCCCACCCCCAGGAGCUAAAUGUCUUACUCAAAAAGGUAUACCAACAAUUCCACCACCUGCUAGUUUUGUGGAUCCUUCUACCUGAAAAUGUUUGCUUAAUAUAAUAUGUGUAAGCUAUGAUGUGUGAUGUGCGAAAUGCCCAACUUUUAGUUUCUUCAAUUCAUGCUUCGCUUGCUUGGUAGCACAAAAAUGAACCCUGCAGUUUUAUGUUAUGCUGAAUUUUCAGUGGUGUUGAAGUUAUAGAUUUUCCUUUUCUCGGACAUGCAGGAUAUCUGCAUUAUCAUUAUAUUAAGAAGGAAAAGGGUAAAAGAACCCUGAUUACAAAACACCCACACACCCCAGCUCUCAGGCUACAUGCCUGUCCGUGCUAACAAGGACCACACGCAGAAAAGAAAACAGCGACCAAAACUGCCCCUCUUCAACCUGAAACUAAACACGAGGCUGUAGACAGUUAAGAAGGAUAGCCCUCUAGCCUCAGCCAAACACCAAAACCGCCCCUCCUCUUCAGCAAGCAGGAUGGCACUAGCCAAGUUUGGAGCAGCACUAUUGAGGGCACAUCGGUUUCGAUGCUUCCAAAGCGUCCAAGCACCAAGAAUGACUAGAGAAUUAAGGCCCUGUUGCACUGGACCGUUGGUUGCCUCGUUGGUCCUGUUCCACCAAAAUACCCUGACCAAAGCGCUGUCGGAGUGAGAACCAAAAUUUCCUCGCGAAGACACAACUAGUGAGUAGAUAGAUGAUUAUUUCAUCAGCUUGGUCGCAAUGAGGGCGUUGAAGUUAUAGAUUAAAUAUCAAACUUUGAGGGAUAUAUGAUUUUGUGUGAUGUCUGUUGUAAGAUGCAAUGCCCUCCCAUGCAUUGAUUGAUGGAUGUUUGUUCUAUGAGAAGUAACUAUUACUGCCUUCAUUAUCUAUUAUAUCAAGGUAGUAACAUGCUCAUCCACUGGAGAACAAGCUUGUUUUCUUUUUACACAUGUUCUGCGGAGAAUGGCUGGCUGAUAUUUAUGCUUUUAUGUUAUGGUUUUAGGUUUCUCCAUAUUUACGUAGUAAGAAUUGGGACACAAGGGUCGCAGCAGCCCAUGCGAUUGGUGCCAUAGCAGAGAACGUCAAACACACAUCGGUGAAAGACUUGUUCGCAUCUGCAGAAGCAGAAAAACAUGCUUCUGGGUUGUCUGGAAUUGGUGAUGUUGGGUCAACGUUGCGGCAUGCUGAUACUACUGCAACAUCUGAGCUUGCUUUUGGAAGGUUUGUUGAGAAUUCUUUGAAACUUUCCUAGUGCUUAGUAGACCUUCCCGCUCUUCUUUUUUGCCUAAUUGGAAAUGGACAAACUAAUUCCGUUUAACUUCUUUUUACAGCUUCGAUAUAAACAGGGUGUUGGAAUUUGGAUCUCCUUUAUUGGCAUCAGGUGGACAGGUGUAUUUUCUUCUUACCAUUAUUUUGCCUUGUCAUAUUUAAUGAAUACAAUUAAAAUACUGUGGUUUUUUUUUCAGGGCAAUGUUAUUUUCAGAUUCAAUCCAUUUUUUUCUUUUCUGAUAGUGUCAUGCAUCCAUCUAUUGUUUGUUUUUCUUUGCCAUAUGUCAACUUCUUGAGGGCUUUCUAUUUUUCUUACUAGGAACAUAGUGAAUCGAAAGCACUUGACACUUAGAAGUAAAAUAGAUCAAGCCUCUUCCAUUGCACUGAAUUUUCGUUUUUGACAUAAAACUGCAUUGAAUAUUGUAAUGUAUAGGUUACUUACUUUGCUGCUAACUCGAGGAAAAGAAUUUUAGUGGAUAAUGUUUAAAUCUAGGAACAUAUUCUGAAGCUCCUCAAUAUAAUUAUUUCUCAAAUUCUGGAGAUACACACAAAAUAACCUCGAAUUUCUUUGUCUAUACCAAGAUUUUUUUAAAAUUUUUGUUUUAAGGUGUACUUGGCAAUUCCAUUCCAUUUCUUAUUUGUUUAUGGUUUCAUGGUAUGCAACAUGUGAAAGCUAAUGGGGAUUAUUGCUUUUGUGCUUGCUACUAGGAAUAUGACAUUGCAAAUGAUAACGGCAAAAAUCCAGCAGAGCGUUUAGCUCGCCAAAAGCAAAAUCUCCGGCGUCGUUUAGGUUAUACUUCUCUCUUACAUCUUAUUGUUGCUACUUUUUAAUUUUCACUUUAUGGCACUCACCGCACCACUGCCACAAGGUUCUUUCUAUAGUGAAGACUGCACCUGUAUUCUGCAAAGUAUCGUUGUACUCUGAUAUAUCUUUGAACUUUUUGUUGUUGUGUUGGAUUUCUCAUUCCUUUCAUGUUUCUGUUCUAGUGCAGGUCUGGAUGUAUGUGAGCAGUUCAUGGAUUUCAAUGAUGUUAUCAAAGACGAGGACCUUCUUGCCCAAAAGAAUUAUUGGGGUGCAAAUAUGCAAAACAAUGGAUUCUAUUCAUUUAAUACUGGUCAGAAUAUUCAGCACUUGGUUGCAUCUAUGGUUCCCAGGUAUCCCAAACAUUCCAAUUUUCGCUCCAGGCGAUUAAGCGCCAGGGAGCUCAAUAUGCUGAAGCGUAAAGCAAAAAGCAAUGCAAAAGAUCAUACAAAGGCUGUACCCGAGGAUGAUGACGUUGUGCCAAAAAGUUCUGGACCGUCUAACGGGGCCUCUUCUGAUCAAGUUGGUUCACACAACACAUGUUCUGUCAAUUGUACUAUAUUUUUCUAAGAUUUUAGUAUCCUCCCGCACAAUUUUUUAUUUUUCUGGGGUCAUUUAUGAGAUGGUCAUUAAUUCCACAUUCUUAAAUUAUCGGGAGCCUUGGUAGAGGUUGUAAAACUUUGUUUCUGAUUGUUCUCAAUUGCUAGCACAAACUAUCAUGUCUGAAUAUGUGGCGCAGUGCAAGUAAGUUAAGUGCAUUUGUGGGUGUGUGUUCUUCCAUGCAUCAUGCAUGUGUGGUUUGUUGACUUGUUAUUGUUGGCAUUCCUGUUUGGCAAUUUACGCAGUUGCACUGGAGCAUUCUGUUGGGAUGGCUUUGUCUUCAAUCUGUGAUGAUCUAAUCACCCCACUUACAUUUUUUCAGGAUACAGUUGAUGCAAUCACAGAUGAGGACAAUCUGGAGUACAGUGAGAAUGGGAGAUGGCCUUUUCAACAGUUUGUAGAUCAACUUAUUCAUGACAUGUUUGACCCUAGUAAGUUCAUUAUCUGUCUUGUCUCUGAAAUUUGUCCCAUUCUUAUCUCGCUUACAAUCUUUUUACUGAGUGUUGUAUUGUAGUUUGGGAAGUUCGCCAUGGCACCAUUAUGGCUUUGAGGGAAAUUUUGACGCAUCAAGGUGCUUGUGCUGGAGUAUAUUUUCCUGAUCUGAACUCACCUUUCGCUGACCUUGAUGAUAAAAACAAUUUGGACUCCCUGAAAAGAGCACAUGGUAUUGAUCUUAAUGAAGACAUUGAUUCGGGACAGCUCGAGCCAGUUUUGAAAAGACAAAAGAAAGAGGAGUCUAAUCCAGAGGUUAUGGACAUUCAGUUGGAUAAGGAGCCAAGUAACGGUGAUUAUUCCAAAACAGAGGCAAGUCUGAGUACUGAGCCUACUGUAUCUAGUGGUGAACCAAAUCUUGCUCAUGCAAAGGUUGAAUCACCCUUCCAGGUUGAUGGUUCAGCUAACCCAUCUAAGGUGGAUCCAUAUUGUACACCACCUCACGAAACACUCAACUCCAUGCCCAAACUGAGUUCUACCCAUCUCCCUGAAAAUUCAAAAUUUAUAAAGCUGAUGAAACUAGCGAACUACUCAGCGGUAAAAAAUUGGGAAUUUCUUCAAGACUGUGCAAUUCGUUUCCUUUGUGUACUUUCAUUGGACCGGUAUGUAUCUCUGGACUUAUAUACUUUUUGUGUGUAUUUGGUUGUCUUGGCUAUUAGUCUUAUUAUUUUUUUUUGCCUUUGUUCUUCCUGUAGCUUUGGUGAUUAUGUAUCUGAUCAAGUGGUUGCUCCUGUUCGUGAAACUUGUGCUCAAGCUCUUGGUGCAGUUCUGAAGUACAUGCAUCCGACUCUAGUAUGCCAUACACUGAAUAUUUUGCUGCAAAUGCAGGUGUGUCCUGUAGUAAUUAUUUGUCUUGCUGUUGUCAACUUCAAAACAGUACAUUCUCUGUUGUCAUCAUCAUCACCAUUUCCGUCCUUUUCUUUGUUCUUUCAGCGCAGGCAGGAGUGGGAAGUUCGUCAUGGGAGUCUCCUUGGAAUUAAGUAUUUAGUUGCUGUUCGUCAGGUGAUUGCUAAUGAGAAAAACUAUAACCUAAUAGGCUAAUUCAAUCGUCUUUGUGCAUAUAUGACCAGAGGGGCAGUAGUAGUUGGCUUGCUACCAAGUCAAGUUUUGCUUUUCAUAUCUCUACACUAGAGGAACUUAGGAGUUCUGAGAAACAUCCUCUUCUGUUUACUAAUAUUUGUUUUUGACGCCUAAUUUAUGUGUAAAAUUGCUAUAAUAUUGUUUCCUUCCCCACCAGGAAAUGCUUAAAGACUUGCUUAAUUAUGUUCUUCAUGCCUGUAAAGCUGGUCUGGAGGAUCCAGAUGAUGAUGUCCGGGCUGUGGCUGCAGAGGCUCUGAUCCCAGCUGCUGCUUCUUUAGUUAGACUAAAUGAUCAAAUGCUACAUUCAAUUGUGAUGUUGCUUUGGGAUAUAUUGCUUGACCUUGAUGAUCUAAGCCCUUCUACAAGCAGGUAUGUUCAAUCAUGCUUUCCUCAUUUAGUAAACACAUUGUUUGCGUAAUGUUGAACACUGAGCCCAUGUUAUACAUUAUAUGGUCCAUCUACUUCCGAUUUCUAAUCUUAUUUUGAAUCCAGUCACCUGUUCCCAGAUAAGGAAUUUAAAAUGUUGGAUAGUUGUUCGUUGCUCUUUUAUUCCGUUUAAAGUUGACUGUACUCAUGCCACAAUAAAUAUUCUGUAUUUCUCAUGUCCAAAUUUCAUUUUUGUUUCAGUGUGAUGAAUUUGUUAGCUGAGAUAUAUUCUCAACCAGAGAUGGUUCCAAAGAUGCUUGGCACAACAGCCAUAGGUGGAGACAACGAAUUUGAUCUAAACAGUGUAACUCUGGUUGCCGGUGAAGAAAAAAUGGGUUCUAAUGAUAAUCCUUAUGUCUUAGCCGCUCUGACACCCCGAUUGUGGCCUUUUAUGAGACAUAGUAUUACAUCAGUCCGGCGUUCUGCUGUACGAACAUUGGUAAGAAUUACAUGGAAUUUGAGAUCCACUGUAGUUUGAUUGUGCUGCAGUAUCAGGUGCCCAUUCGAGUUGAGUAUGAGUUAUAUAAAUGAGAAACAGAAUUGUAAUGAAAAAUAUCUGCAAUAAUUUACCGGGUGAAAUAGCAGUUUUGAGCCAUCUUGUGUAUGUUUUCUACAUUGUUUUGCCAAGAAAAACCAACCUAUCCUUGGGAUUUUGCCAAUCUGGAGUUGGAUAUUCCACUCUGUUCCCAUGUGCAAUUGGUUUUUGCUGUAAGCUUCUGAAUGCCAUUUGUUAUGCUUUCCUAGUUAAAAACCGUGAAGUUCAAACUUUUUGUAGGAGAGGCUUCUCGAGGUUGGGAACACCAGGAAUUCAGCUAAACUAUGGCUUGCAUCUAUAUUAGGUGAUGCGCUGCAAGUUGUCUUCCAGAAUCUUCUUUUGGAGUCAAAUGAUGAGAUUAUUCGAUCUUCUGAAAGGGCUUGGAAACUUUUACUUCAGGUUACUGAUGUUCUGGCUUUCCGGGUGUUGUGAAUUUACUCAAUUCAUAGAAAUUUAAUGAUCAUGUCUAUUACAGGAUUAUAGUAACAAACAAAAAUAUUUCUAUGCUUGUAGUGCCCUACGGAGGACCUUGAGUCUGCUGCAAGUUCAUAUUUUAGUAAUUGGGUGCAACUUGCCACUACUCCAUAUGGCACAGCAUUGGAUUCUGCAAAAAUGUUUUUGCCAGUUGCACUUCCACGAGGAAGUCGUUCAAGAGCUGCUGCAAAGAUCAAAUCUGCAAGGUUAGAACAUGAAAAUACGAGAAUGAUAUCUUUUGGUUCUACCGGAGAGAACACUUCACAGGAAAAGCAUUCUGAAGCUUCCUUGAGUGUUUCAAAAAUAAUUGUGGGGUCUGAUUCGGACAAAUCUGUUACUCAUACGCGAGUGCUGACGUCAAUGGCCCUUGGUCUGUUUGCCUCUAAGUUGCCAGAGGGGUCGUGGCAAGUUGUUCUUGGUCCACUAGCAAGCGAUCUCAUGUCUCUCUCAGGAGUCCAGAGACAGGUAAGAAAAAACCUUAUGUUUUAGUGCAUAAAAGCAUUCAAUUCAACUACUUGUUUUGCACUCAUAAUUUUCUAUCGCUCCAGGUGGCUUCUAUGGUUAUUGUUUCUUGGUUUAAAGACCUCAGAAAAAGUGAUCCUGCUGCGGUGGGUACAUUGCUAGCUUUCUUAUCCUCCCUGAAAGGGUGGAUGUUGGACUUACUGGCUUGCUCUGACCCUUCAUUUCCUACAAAAGAUUCUCCGCUUCCAUAUGCUGAGCUUGCAAGAACAUACAGGAAGAUGCGCAAUGAAGCCAAUAAUUUGUUCCAGUCAAUAGAAUCUUGUGCUCUUCUUAAAGAGUAUACAAGCAACUUAAACUUUGAAGCUGACAUGCUGAGUGUUGAUGAUGCUAUUAACUUCACUUCAAAGCUUUUGUUACCAUCUGAACCUGAUUUUAGUUUGGACAGUGAUAAAAUUGUCUUGAACAAUAUAGAGUCAGCAAAACAAGGUCUAUUGUCUACGUCAGGCUACUUGAAAUGUGUUCAGGUAUGUGAAAUUUCUAAUUAGGGUGUCUUCAGAUUUAUAUUAAUGUGUUAGAAUUACUUGUUGCAUCUGUCUAGUUCUGAUUUUUUUUAUCCUUUUUAUUAGCAAUAUCAUAAAAUAGGUUUCCUUGUUUGAUGAUGUUCUGCAGAAUAAUUUGCAUGUGACAGUUUCCUCUUUAGUGGCCUCUGCUGUAGUCUGGAUGGCAGGGCUGCCUAGUAAGUUGAACCCAGUCAUUUUGCCUUUAAUGGCUGCUGUAAAAAGGGAACAGGUACGACAUAGUAUUCUUAUGCUCUUAAAUUUUGUCUUAGAUGUAAGCUCAAAUGGUUCCAUAUCAUUUAGGAGGAAAUACUUCAGGACAAAGCUGCAGAUGCACUUGCUGAGCUCAUUUUUAGUUGUGUUGGCCGCAAACCUGGCCCAAACGACAAACUAACAAAGAACCUCUGCACGUUAACAUGCACUGAUGCAAGUGAGACACCUCAAGCUGCAGUUAUAAACUCAAUUCAGGUUAUUGAGGACCAAAACUUGCUGUCGAUUGGUAAGCGUUUUAGCAAUCACAAAUCCAGGGGCCAGAUGACUUCCGGUGGUGAAUCGAAGUCGGAGGGUUUUAUAAGCCGGCGUGGAUCGGAGUUGGCUUUUAAGCAUCUUUGUGAGAAAUUUGGAGCAUCCUUAUUUGAAAAGCUUCCCAAGUUAUGGGAUUGCCUUACGGAGUUUCUUAAACCCGUCAAGACUGGAGAUGAUCUUAUGAAAGAAGAUCCAAGUAUUGCGCAGUUAGGAAGAUCUUGUGAGGACAAGGAACCGCAGUCCCUUAUAAAUAAUAUCCAGGUUUGUUUUAUAAAUUAAUUUGAAUUCAAUUGGUUCCCUUUUGUUUUGGCAUAAAACUGCUACAUGAUGUUGGAUUAGACCAUCAUGUCAUAUCAAUAUGAAUCAAUAUAUCUUUGGUUACUUGCUACUAUUUAGUAUAAACUGGUUUGGUUCCAUUUUCAUCUCUUGCCAUAUUUCUAAUGCCAUUUCUGCUCCUCCUCACAGGUUGUUCGUUCGGUUACACCUCAUUUGGCUGAGCCCUUGAGGCCUCAAUUGCUAAGUCUCCUUCCCUGUAUUCUUGGUUGUGUGCGCCAUCCUCAUGUCGCUGUCAGGUUAGCUGCUGCAAGGUGCAUCACAUCAAUGGCAAAAUCAUUGACUGCUAAUGUAAUGGUAAUUGUGAUAGAAAAUGUCAUACCGAUGUUGUCAGAUUCAUCUUCUGUCUGUGCAAGGCAAGGAGCUGGGAUGCUUUUGAGCCUUCUUGUUCAGGGUUUGGCUGUGGAGUUGGUUCCUUAUGCUCCUUUCCUUGUUGUUCCUCUUCUAAGGUGUAUGAGUGAUCCUGAUGGUUCUGUUAGACAGACUGUAACUCACAGUUUUGCUGCUCUGGUUCCUUUGUUGCCAUUAGCAAAAGGUUCUUUGUUACCGGAUGGACUGAGUGAACGCUUAUCUAGCAGUGCAGAAGAUGCGCAGUUUCUAGAGCAGCUCCUCGACAACUCCCAAAUUGAUGAUUACAAGCUCAGCAUUGAUCUCAGUGUUGAACUGCGAAGGUCUGUAACUAUCUUAAAAGCUCCUUUAUUGGAAUGUGGCUUGACGACGUUAUUCUACUUAGUUUGAGAUAGUGUAUUGAGUGCUAUUGUGGAUACCAUACAUAAUAAUACUUGUUAUAAUGAUUAUUAUUUGAUGUUCUUUUAACAAAAUGUUGUGGAUCGCUACAGGUACCAGCAAGAAGGAAUUAACUGGCUAGCAUUCCUUAGACGGUUCAAGUUACAUGGAAUUUUAUGUGAUGACAUGGGUCUUGGCAAAACACUCCAGGCGUCUGCUAUUGUAGCAGCUGAUAUUGCUGAGUCACGUGCACGGAAUGAUGAGCAAGAUCCGAAAUCUUUGAUUAUCUGCCCUUCUACAUUAGUAGCACACUGGGAAUAUGAAAUAGAGAAGUACAUAGACAGCUCUAUCAUGAAACCUCUUCAGUACAUCGGUUCAUCACAAGAUAGGAUUAUCCUCCGUUCUCAGUUUGAUAAGUUCAACGUAAUCAUAACGUCAUAUGAUAUUAUACGCAAGGAUAUUGAUUUUCUUGAGAAUGUCUUUUGGAACUAUUGUGUGCUGGAUGAGGGGCACAUAAUAAAGAACUCAAGAUCUAAAAUAACAUCUGCUGUGAAACAAUUGAAAGCACAACACCGUCUUAUCCUCAGCGGUACUCCAAUUCAGGUAAAAUUUCAUUCAUGAAUCUUGUUGGUAUGCUUUUCGUCUAGCUGUUGCGGUUCGCUUUACAUUGCACUUUUUAUUUCAUUGUUCAUGUUCUUUGUAGAUAAUUCCAUCGAUCCAGUACUGAAAUUGGUAUUACUAUUUAUUUGACACAUUCCACUAUAAUUGCAGAAUAAUGUAUUGGAGCUCUGGUCUCUAUUUGACUUUCUUAUGCCUGGAUUUCUUGGGACAGAAAAACAGGUAAAUGUGCUAUGAAUUCAACUUUACUUACAGAACUGAAAGCUAAGAAUUUGGUCGUUGACAUGAACCAUGCCUUUUUUGUUCAAGAACUUAGUUUAGUUUUUAACAUGUUCCUGAUUUACUCUUACGCUAGCUUCCAAGCUUAUUAGUUAGUUCAGGAAUAAUAUAUGGAUCUAUGGACUUGCUAGUUAGUUCCAAGCUUAUUAUUAGUUAGUUUAGUUUUUUUGUUAUUCACUGUGGACUUGCUCAGAGCGACAGGUGAUAUAUGGAUCUGCCUUAUCUGGGCCGUUACACUUUCUUACAUAUGAUGCUUGCAAAUGAUAUCUAUGUUUAGUUGUGUUAUAGGUGCUAGGCUGCUUGAUAAAUCAUUAGUAGUUUGAUGACAUGCAUCUGUAGAAAAAGACAUUGGUGACUAUAUUGUAUUAAUGUAAGUGGACAUAUAUGGCUGUGUUCGGAUGAGGGGGUUCCCAACCCCCUCUCCCUCGCAUUCCGUGCGCACGCUUUUCAAACUACUAAACGGUGUGUUUUUUGCGAAAAGUUUAUAUACGAAAGUUGUUUAAAAAAAAUCAAAUUGAUCCAUUUUUGAAAAAAAAUAGCUAAUACUUAAUUAAUCACGUGCUAAUGGACUGCUCUGUUUUCCGUGCGGGGAGAUGGGUUCCCAACCCCACAUUACAAACACACCCAUAGAAUGUUUUAACCAACCAAAGAUGAAAUUGUUUCUGCUUUCAUGAAGGGGUGGAUUUUUACUAGUCCUGACUCUUGAUAAUUACCUUGGUCUAUUCUGAUAUGAAGUAUUUGUGCUGAAAUUAAAUACAAUGUUAAUUAUGCAGUUCCAAGCUACAUAUGGAAAACCAUUGCUAGCAGCAAAAGAUCCAAAAUGUUCAGCAAAGGAUGCUGAAGCUGGCAUUCUUGCUAUGGAGGCACUGCAUAAACAGGUUUUUAUCUUCUGUAGUAGACUUGAAGUCUUUAAAAAUAACUGGGGGUUUUGAGUCUUGUGACCUUUGUUGACAAGUAAAAGUCAUUUUGCUAUACUAGGUCAUGCCGUUUCUACUUAGAAGAACAAAGGAUGAAGUUUUAUCUGAUCUUCCUGAGAAGAUUAUCCAGGAUAGAUAUUGCAAUCUCAGUCUAUUGCAGCUCAAACUUUAUGACAAAUUCUCCAACUCCAAUGCCAAACAAGAGAUUUCCACUAUAGUAAAAGAAAAUGAAUUAGAUCAAUCCACUUCUCAACCAAAGGCAACUCGUCAUGUGUUUCAGGUACUGCAGUUAGACAAACAUUUUAGCUUUCUCAUUCUGCAUUUCUUAUGUGGUAUCGUGUUUGCGUUUUAAUUGAAUAUGCUUUUGUAAUGCAGGCACUGCAAUAUCUAUUAAAACUUUGUAGCCAUCCUUUACUUGUAACUGGGGAAAGCCCACCUGAUUAUCUUGUGGACCUUCUAAAGGAAAUCGGUAUGGGAACUGGUGAUGAGCUUCAUGACCUACACCAUUCCCCUAAACUUGUUGCUCUCCAAGAGAUACUUCAGGAGUGUGGUAUAGGGUCAGAAAUAUCAAGCCCUGAUGCUUCUGCAGCUAUUGGGCAACACAGAGUUUUGAUUUUUGCUCAACACAAGGUACUGAGUCUGUUCUCUUAUUGAGACUAUGUAUCCCUGUUUCUUUUGGUAUAUUUUCAUCCUUGUCAUGUUUAUAAACAUUCUUUUCUCCAGGCUUUGCUUGACAUUAUUGAGAAGGACCUGUUUCAAUCCCAUAUGAGAAGGUGAGUUUUAUAUAUUGUGAUGUACAUCAGCUUCAUGAAGAAUUCAUCAUGCCAGUGUGUUGUCUGUGUUGCAACAGAUUUGAAAAAAAUAUAUCAUGAGUUCUAAACUGAAAAAUUAUAUAUAUAUAUUUAUAUAUUUUGAAAAAUCAUAUAAUAUUCAAUCAAACAUCAAUCAACAAAAAACUCAAUCCAUAUGCACAAAAGACAUUUAUCCGGUCCUAGAAGAUACGGUGAGAUCGCAGUUUCACCACCACCACCAGUAGCAGAUUCUUUUAUAUAGUAGAGAUUAAUAUUAGCUGAUGCAAAUUAUUUUAAGCAUCUUGCUUUAUGUUGUUUUAUCUUGUGUUUUAUUAUGCUUGGAUAUUUGUACUUUCUAGAGUACUGCAGUGCUGUUUUAUCUUUGAGUAACUGUAAAUAUAAGGUUGUCGUUGGCCUAGUUGAUAACUGACUAAAAAUACACACUUCUGUUUCUCAGUUUCCUGCCUGUGCUCAUCUAAUCAGCAAACUUUUGAUAUUCAUUCAGCGUUACAUAUUUACGGUUGGACGGCUCUGUUGAACCAGAGAAGCGAUUUGAAAUUGUGAAGGCAUUCAACUCAGAUCCAACCAUUGAUGUGCUCCUAUUAACAACUCAUGGUAGGUUUGGAGAAUGCCAUAUGGAUCAGGGAUUUACUCCUAGAUAUAUAUACUAGAAAAGCUAUAUCUGAUUCUUUCCUGUUGCAGUCGGUGGGCUUGGAUUGAAUUUGACAUCUGCUGACACAUUGGUCUUUAUGGAACAUGAUUGGAACCCAAUGAAGGAUCUUCAGGUUUGCUUUUGCAUAUUUUAUCAACGAUAAGGCUACCAUUAAAUUUCCUCCACCAUUUUCAAGCUAUCCUCUGUGAAACAAACGAACAAUACUCCCCUCUUACAGGCAAUGGACAGAGCACACCGUCUGGGUCAAAGGAAAGUGGUAAACGUGCACCGUCUCAUCAUGCGCGGUACCCUGGAAGAGAAGGUGAUGAGUCUUCAAAGGUUCAAGGUGUCGGUGGCCAAUGCGGUCAUCAAUGCUGAGAACGCCAGCCUGAAGACAAUGAACACUGACCAACUGCUUGAUCUGUUUGCUUCGACGCCUGCUUCCAGAAAAGUAAAUCCCUUGUGACCAUAUAUCUCGUAUAGAAAAAACUUUUGUAAUUUUUAUUCUUUAUUUGGGUUUAUGAUCCUUUGUCUAUGGCCAUACGCAGGCGUCUGUACUCCCAAGCAGUUCGGGUGGUGAUCAGAGUAAAGAUUCCAAGGGGAAAUCUGGUGGGAAGGGUUUGAAGUCCAUUCUGAAUGGUCUGGACGAGCUAUGGGAUCAGUCUCAGUAUGCAGACGAGUACGAUCUCAACCAGUUCUUGGCGAAGCUCAACGGCUGAACACACGAUCACCGGUCCUGUACAGUGUAAAGCGAAUUGGGGCGUGUGAUGAACAGGUUGGCAGAUUUUGUUGGCAACCACAGGAGUCAGAAAUUUUUUUGUUGUUUCAUACGGAAGAAGGGAAAAAAAAAGGAAGAUCGCAAGAUCUAGAGCAAUGUGGCUAACAUAUAGGUGCUUGAGAUGGUGAUCUCAAAUUUUUGUCUUUUGAGCUUUUGGUUAGGAGGGUUUAGAGAGAGAUAGAGCUAGUCUUGAGAGGAGUUGUAUAUACUAUCUGCUCAUUAUAAUAAUUAAUCAAAGGCUGCAGCUCCUUGUAAAUUUUGCCUUGAGUUGCUUACUGUUUCUACCUUUUACUUGGCCUAGUAACUGAGCUAUCCAGUGGUGUAGUAAGCCUGCCUACUGGGAACGCGGAUCAUUUUUGUCUCGCUAACAUGUGAAAGUAAUAGUAAGAUCGGGUAAAAACGGAAAAGGGGUGAUACAUUCUUGCCUAUCAAUCCUUGCUCGUCUGAAUCCCGUUUUGGCCGCUAAGGAAGUUCCCAAAAAUUUUUCCUGUUCAUUGUCUGAAUCCCGUUUUGGCCGCUAAGGCCGUUUUGGACAAAUGUAUAGAGCACAAAAUAUAUAUUAAAAAAACUAAUUGUACAGUUAUGGAGAAAUCGUGAGCUUAAUCAGUUCAUGAUUAGCCAUAAGUAAUACAGUAACCCACAUAUACUAAUGACGGGUUAAUUACUUAAUUUGGCUCAAAAGAUUCGUCUCGCGGUUUCCAAGCGAGUCAUGAAAUUAUUUUUUUCAUUCGUGUCCGAAAACCCCUUCCAAUAUUUAGUCAAACAUCUGAUGUGAUACCUAAUUUUUUUUUCGUGAACUAAACGGUCCCUAAAAGGAAGUCAUCUCAGCCAAUGUGAAACUGAUGACCUUUCAUUCCCUUCUAUUCUUUCAUCGUUGUAAUUGUGACAUGUUAGACUAUAACUUUCAUCAGUUAGAAAUUGAUCCCUUGGUCUCCCUUUAUUAUUAUUUUUUGUUCGACCCUUGCUUAGGCCAUGUUUAGUUUCAAAGGUUUUCUUCAAACUUUUAACUUUUCCAUCACAUCAGAACUUUCCUACACACAUAAACUUUCAACUUUUCCAUUACAUCGUUCCAAUUUCAACCAAACUUCUAAUUUUGAUGUGAACUAAACACAACCUUAGAUGCAUAUCUUUUCAAUGUCCUUUGUUUCUACAUAGCCUACAUAGUAAGGGUAGAAGCGGUGUGGAAAUUUUCUAACCAUACCGAUACAGUUUCCCUAAAAUAUUACAUAGUCAUGCUGUAGCAGCACUCGGAAUAUAUAUGAUCUAGUUAGACUAGUUCUUCUCUCAACUUUCUCAGUCUCCCCUUUAUUUUUCACACGCACGUUUCCCAAACUACUAAACGAUAUGAUUAUUUUUUUUUGAAAAUUUUCUAUAGGAAAUUUGAUUUAAAAAUCAUAUUAAUCCAUUUUUAUUUUUAAACUUAAUACUUAAUUAAUCAAGGGGGUCAAUCCACUGUUUCAUUUUUCGCAUAGGGAGGAGUUCCCAACUACUCCCUCCGUCCCUAAAUAUUUGACGCCGUUGAUUUUUUUUAAUAUGUUUGACGGUUUGUCUUGUCAAAAAAUUUAAGUAAUUAUUAAUUCUUUUCCUAUCAUUUGAUUCAUUGUUAAAUAUACUACUAUUACUCAAGUUUUUGAAUAAUAUUCACAAAAGUUUUUGAAUAAGACAAACGGUCAAACAUGUUUAAAAAAGUCAACGGCAUCAAAUAUUUAGGAACUAAAAGAGUACUACAAACGAACGAAGCCUAGGCUUCUCCAUAUAAGGCUGUGUUUAGUUCACAGCAAAAUUAAAAGUUUGGUUAAAAUUGAAACGAUAUGACGGAAAAGUUGGAAGUUUGUGUGUGUAGGAAAGUUUUGAUGUGAUGAAAAAGUUGGAAGUUUGAAGAAAAACUUUGGAACUAAACCAGGCCUAAAUGAACAUUCGAUGGCUCCUCUAGAAACAUUCUUGAUCUUAGCAUUCAGUUUGGAAGAUGAAAUGGCAUUCACACGAGCAUUGCAGAUUUUCAUGGUCCAUCUGGCUAGCAGAGACCAGAGCGUCGUCUGCAAAUGCAUGAUCUGAGCAAACCUUUGCAGUCUUUGCUGCGUUGCGUUGACGGUCAGUCAACCCACACACACACGCAUCAUGCAACACAUUGACAGAUUGGCCUUAACUUCACUCGGUAAUUUAUUUCAUCGCUGUAACUAUGGCAUGUUAGACUACAACUUUCAUCCGUUAGAGCAGGUACAAUAGCAGGCUGUAAACAUAUUUUAAUAAGAUAAAAGAUGAGAGAGAAUAGCAGUGGGCUAUAGAUCUAUAGCCAGCUGCAGCGUGGACUCCAAGACACAAUGUGUGUAUGACAGGUGGUACCAUAUAUUAAUAGUAUAGUAAACAACUAUCGUAUAAAUUACCUAUUAUAUUGGCUAUAAAUAAAUUAAAGUUAGUAGUGGGUUAUACUAUUAAACUUGCUCUUAGAAAUUGAUCCCCUGGCCUCCCUUUAUAUUAGUUGCAUUCCUUUGAAUGUUCCACACUUGUUUAGCGAAUUAAAUUUAAAAAUAUACUGUUAAUUUAUUUUUUUUUCUCGAAAUUUUCAGGAUAUAUUUUUUUAACAGAAAUAUAUCGUCGUUCUGUCACAAACAUUACACGAACAUGACGACGCGGGCGAGACGGCGCUACCUCACACGAUGAAAUAGCUAGACCGAGCAGUACCAGCGAGCGAGACCGAAUGGCUGGCCGAUUCAAACUGUUUAAUUAUCUGAUAUUAAUUAAUCGCUAAUUAGAAUGAUUAAUCACUUGUUAUUAUUAAUUAAUUGCUAAUUGGGUAAGUCUCUAAUUAUGCGGCAGCUCACUGGGCAAGCCGUUCGCUCUCUGCUCAUUCAUUGUGCGAGAUUGCUUGGUCUCGUUGUUUCGUCACGUGAGACCGCGCGAUACGCUAUGGUUGCGCACAGUCACCGUGCAAGACCGUCCGCGUCAUCACACCUCACGUUGUUUGAGAUCGACAGUUUAUUUCUAUUAAAAAAAUAAAUCAACAGUAUAUUUUUAAAUCAAAUCUAAUUACUUGUUUAGCUGUAUAUCUUUUCAAAAUCGAUUAUCCCUACAUAGCAUAUGUAGUAGGGGUAAAAACGGUGUCGAAAUUUUCCAACCGUACCAAUACCAUUUCUAAGAAAUAUUACAUGGGGUGUGUUAUGUUGGGCUUUUCAACCUGCUUUUACUUUUGCUUUUGCAAAAGUUAAAAGCCAACUAAAGGGCUCAAAAAUCAUAAGUACUUUUGCUCCAAAGCUGCUUUUAGUGCAGUACAAAUCUAAAAGCACCCCUACCCCUGCUUUCAUUGGCUUUUGAGUAAAAAAAAAUUACCCGCCUCUCUCAUUAUAAAGAAAACGGUUCGACAAAAAUAAAAAUUAAUUACACAGAUUACGUGUAAAUUACAAGACGAAUCUUUUAAGCUUAAUUGCUUCAUGAUUUGACAAUGUGGUGCUACAGUAAACAUUUGCUAAUGAUGGAUUAAUUAGGCUUGAUAAAUUCGUCUCGUAGUUUACAUGCGGAUUCUGUAAUUUGUUUGGUUAUUAAACUAUAUUUAAUACUUUAAAUGUGUAUAUGUAUAUUUGAUGUGACACAGUAAAAAACUUUACCCAUAAAUCUAAACACAGUCUUAAUAUUCUACGCGUGUCACAGUGUGAAAUUUUUUGUUAUGAACUAAACAGUUUGGAAGAUGAAAUGGCAUUCGCACGAGCGUUGCAGAUUUUCAUGGUACAUCUGGCUAGCAGAGACCAGAGCGUGGUCUGUAAGCCAGACAGCCCAUAUGCAUGAUCUGAGCAAACCUUGCAGUCGUUGCUGCGUUGCGUUGACGGUCAGUCAACCCACAGACACACGCAUCAUGCAACGCCAUUGUCAGAUUGGCCUUAACUUCACUCGGUAAGGCCUGGUUUAGGCCAUGUUUAGUUCCAAAAACUUUUUUUCAAAAACAUCACAUCGAAUCUUUGGACAUAUGUAUAAUAAAAAACUAAUUGCACAGUUAUGGAGGAAAUCACGAGACAAAUUUUAUGAGCCUAAUUAGUCCAUGAUUAGCCAUAAAUGCUAUAAUAACUCACAUGUGCUAAUGAUGGAUUAAUUAGGCUCAAAAGAUUCGUCAUGCGGUUUCCAGGCGAGUUAUGAAAUUAGUUUUUUCAUUCGUGUCCCAAAACCCCUUCCAACAUCUGGUCAAACGUCCGAUGUGACACCAAAAAAUUUUCUUUUCGCGAACUAAACAUACCCUUAAGUUUCCCAAAUUUUUUUCCAAAAAACAUCACAUCGAAUCUUUGGACACAUGCAUGAAACAUUAAAUAUAGAUUAAGAAAAACUAAUUGCACAGUUAGAGGAAAAUCGCGAGACGAAUCUUUUGAGCUUAAUUAGUUCAUAAUUAGCCAUAAGUGCUACAGUAACUCACAUAUGCUAAUGACAGAUUAAUUAGGCUCAAAAGAUUUGUCUCGCGGUUUUCAGGCUAGUUAUGAAAUUCGUUUUUUCAUUCGCGUCCGAAAACCCCUUCCCACAUCCGAUUAAAUAUUCGAUGUGAUACCCAAAAAUUUUCUUUUCGCGAACUAAACAGGCCCUAACUCGACUCAUUCACUCGCGAACUAAAUAGGCCCUAACUUGACUCAUUAAGGCUGUGUUUAGAUCCAAAGUUUAGAUCCAAACUUCAGUUCUUUUCCAUCACAUCAACAUGUCAUACACACACAACUUUUCAGUCACAUCAUCUUCAAUUUCAACCAAAAUCCAAACUUUGCCCUGAACUAAACACAGCCUCACUCACUCUAGUCCCAGUCAAUCUAGGUGGCUAGCUGACAGCAAAAAAUUUUCGCCAUGUCACAUCGAACGUUUGAACAUCUGCAUGAAGUAUUAAAUAUAGGUUAAAAAAUCACAUAUUGCGACUAAUUUGUGAGACGAAUCUUUUAAGCCUAAUUGCUCCAUGAUUUGAUAACGUGGUGCUACAGUAGACAUUUGCUAAUGAUGGAUUAAUUAGGCUUAAUAAAUUCGUCUAUCUGUUUACUGACGGAUUCUGUAAUUUGUUUACCUGAAUACCUCAUAUGACACCCCGCCAAAACUUUACCCCCUCGAUCUAAACACCCCUGAAUUUGCUAUACUAGUAUAUAAUAUUCUCCAGCCGGAUCCUUCCUCUCGGACGCAGCAAUGGCAAUGACGAUGCUCUUCAGUCUGCUGUUUUGCACAGCUAAGGCUACUGAUGAUUCAGGAGCAGAAACUGAAGCAGAAGCACUCCUCCGAUGGAAGUCCACUUUGAUCGACGCCACCAACUCGUUGUCGUCAUGGUCGAUUGCCAACUCCACCUGCUCUUGGUUCGGUGUCACCUGUGACGCCGCCGGCCAUGUCACUGAGCUCGACCUUCUUGGUGCCGACAUCAAUGGUACGCUUGACGCUCUCUACUCUGCUGCAUUCGAAAACCUCACCACCAUCGACCUCAGCCACAAUAAUCUUGAUGGUGCCAUUCCAGCAAAUAUUUGUAUGUUGCGCACCCUCACCAUUCUGGAUUUGAGCAGCAACUAUCUUGUUGGUGUUAUCCCGAUAAAUAUUUCCAUGUUGAUUGCUCUCACCGUUCUAGAUUUGAGCGGCAAUAAUCUUGCUGGUGCCAUCCCGGCAAAUAUUUCCAUGUUGCACACCCUCACCAUUCUGGAUUUGAGCAGCAACUAUCUUGUUGGUGUUAUCCCGAUAAAUAUUUCCAUGUUGAUUGCUCUCACCGUUCUAGAUUUGAGCGGCAAUAAUCUUGCUGGUGCCAUCCCGGCAAAUAUUUCCAUGUUGCACACCCUCACCUUUCUGGAUUUGAGCAGCAACAAUCUUACUGGUGCAAUUCCCUACCAACUCAGCAAGCUCCCUAGGCUCGCCCACUUAGGUCUUGGAGAUAACCACUUGACAAAUCCAGAAUAUGCCAUGUUCUUCACACCCAUGCCUUUUUUGGAAUUCCUAUCUCUAUCGAGACCUUUUACAGUGUUUACAUUCCUAAAAUGGCAUAGAUCUAACGGUUCACGAUGAAAGGUACCUUAUGAAAGGUAUCAGAGGUAGAAAGGUACUAAGUAUUAAAAGGUAAUUGAUAACAGGGCAAUUAUGUCUAACAACGUAUGGACGUACCGAAAGGUACGGUGUAAGUGGAUUUGAAGGUACCACAAGGUACCACGUAAGUAGUUUUUAAAGGUAACGUAAAAUAUGAUUUAUGUGGUGGGGACAAAAAUUACAUUCUCUUCUAUUCGGUUUCCAAUCUUCGGUCGUUCUGUUUGCGUCGGUUUCCAAACUUUGGUCCGAUUUACGUGGUACAUAUCAUAUUCGCAUGAUCUUGAUAAUUAUUUCCAGAUAGUCAUUAAUUUACAUAGCAAUUUGGUGAUCCAUCGUUUGAUGAAUGUAAUCAAAGAUCGAAAGGACAACAAAUUGAGAAGAUUUACGCACCUAACAAGAACAAAACAAGUUCAAUGAGGAAGAUUUGCGAAAAAAAACUAAACAAAUCGUCUGACAGAUCGGGACCGUGCGGCCGCUUCUAGCUCCGGCGAACAUAGGCAGUCCUGGACCACUUCCUCCGGGUCCUCUUCCUCCACCGCCCCUCCCUCCAACCACCGCCUCCGGCCACACGUCCACCGCCGGCCCUCAAUUCUCCUCCUUUCAACUUAUCGAAGAACACGUAAACCUUACGUACGAACAGAACGUAUCUAAGAAUGAUGCAACGCAACAUGCUACAAGCUAAUUCCUUCGAUACCUUCUCAUACCUUUUUAUAUGUGUAAAAGACACAUUUGUCAUUCUAAUAUCAUCAUAUUUACAUUAAUGCCACCUAUUACAAUAUUUUCUUUCCAUACCUUGCCCCUCGCAGAUCAACGGCUCACGUCGCCCCACCUCCUUUACCUCGCAAACAUCGUAAAAUCCCUCAUCUCUAUCUUACAAUUAUCUCAACGGUACUUUUCCAGAAUUCAUCCUCAAUAGCAAUAGUUUGAGGAUGGAGCACCUCGAUUUAUCGUAUAAUGCCUUCUCAUGGUCCAUACCAGAUUCACUACCAAAUUUGAGGGUUCUAGAACUGUCGAACAAUGGAUUCCAUGGGACCAUACCACAUUCACUCUCAAGACUACAAAAGCUCCAAGACCUAUAUCUGUACAGAAACAACCUCACCGGAGGAAUCCCAGAGGAGCUUGGGAACCUAACCAAUCUUGAGGCCCUGUACCUGUCCAGAAACCGGUUAGUUGGAAGUUUGCCUCCCUCUUUUGCCAGGAUGCAACAAUUAUCAUUUUUUGCGAUAGACAGUAACUACAUCAAUGGUAGUAUCCCGUUGGAGAUAUUUUCAAAUUGUACUUGGCUCAACUGGUUUGAUGUUUCCAACAACAUGUUAACUGGAAGCAUCCCACCACUAAUCAGCAACUGGACAAAUCUACACUACUUGGCCCUCUUUAACAACACAUUUACCGGUGCAAUCCCAUGGGAGAUAGGAAACUUAGCACAAGUAUAUUUAGAGGUGGACAUGUCACAAAAUCUAUUUACUGGAAAGAUACCAUUAAAUAUCUGCAAUGCAACUUUGGAAUACCUUGCGAUCAGUGACAACCAUCUAGAAGGCGAGCUCCCUGGAUGCCUGUGGGGUUUGAAAGGUCUCGUUUACAUGGAUUUGUCAAGAAACACUUUUUCUGGGAAAAUUGCACCCUCAGACACUCCUAACAAUGAUUCCGACCUACUCGCCCUGGACCUGUCAAACAAUAACUUUUCGGGUUAUUUCCCAGUCGUACUGAGGAAUCUCAGCAGACUAGAAUUUUUGAAUCUUGGAUAUAAUAGGAUUUCUGGUGAGAUUCCUUCGUGGAUAGGGGAAAGUUUUUCUCAUCUGAUGAUUCUACAGCUAAGGUCAAACAUGUUCCAUGGAAGUAUUCCUUGGCAGCUAUCACAACUCCCCAAACUACAAUUGCUUGAUCUAGCUGAAAAUAAUUUUACAGGCUCCAUACCAGGUAGUUUCGCCAACUUAUCAUGUUUGCACUCAGAAACUAGAUGUGUGUGUAGCUUAAUUGGAGUAUACCUCGAUCUAGAUAGUAGACACUACAUUGAUAUUGAUUGGAAGGGAAGGGAGCAUCCAUUUAAAGACAUAAGUCUACUUGCAACAGGUAUUGAUUUAUCAAACAAUUCUCUCUCUGGUGAGAUCCCUUCAGAAUUGACAAAUCUUAGAGGUAUUCAGUCCUUAAAUAUUUCUAGAAAUUUUCUACAAGGAAAUAUCCCAAAUGGAAUUGGCAAUCUAACACAUUUAGAGUCUCUUGACCUCUCUUGGAAUAAACUCUCAGGCCAUAUUCCUCAUAGCAUAUCAAACUUAAUGAGUCUCGAAUGGCUUAAUCUCUCGAACAACCUUCUAUCGGGAGAGAUACCUACAGGUAAUCAACUCAGAACACUUGAUGACCCAUCGAUUUAUGCCAACAACCUGGGGCUUUGUGGAUUUCCUUUGAAAAUUUCAUGCUCAAACCAUUCAAGUUCUACGACUACACUAGAAGGGGCAAAAGAACACCACCAAGAACUGGAAACUCUAUGGCUGUACUGCUCAGUAACUGCAGGAGCUGUCUUUGGUGUUUGGCUGUGGUUUGGAGCACUGUUUUUCUGUAAUGCCUGGAGGCUUGCUUUCUUCUGUCGCAUCGAUGCCAUGCAGCAGAAACUUAUGUAAAACAUAGCUCAUCUGAGUAAUAUGCUCUGCUUCUCAUUGAGUCCACCUGAGCGUGUGUAUUAGUGUCACAUUAUGUCAGCACUGCACUAAGAUCUAAGGUUCAGUAGGUAUUAUCCCUUUAUUUCAGCCAUCGAUGAGAUGUAAUUUGCUGUUGCCAGAUUUAGCUUGUUGUUGUUGUCAUGAUGAACUCUUGUUAUAAGCUUUUAGUGUAAGUCGGGUAGCAUCCUUGGUCAGAAAAGAAAAUUUACAUGUUUUGAUGAUGAGACCAAUUUCCUACAUGGUUGUGUUUGAAGAUGCAAGUAGCAUGUAAUCAAGGAAGUUCCAAAUAAAGUAGAAUACAUCAUGGCUGUCUUUUGAUGUAUUUGCAAGCUUUGUUAUUACCUUUGGAUGCAUACAGACUUCAUUUGACGCUAAUUUGGAGAAUUUUGUCUUAUUUUCUGUUCAUACUGUAAGCUGUAUGUAUUCUGUUUUUUUUUUCUCAUCAGCUAUAAAUUACUGCAGUACACUUCUAAGCAAAAGAACACAGCUUUGCCGGUUGCAGCAACAAUACUGAACACAACAAGAACACGCGUGGCAAAAUUUCUAUUACUAGAAUUUCACCAAAUUCCGACAAAAAAGGUGGAGAAAUCAUAAGAACAAAAUCACGCUAUCCACUGAAAAUUUCCAGGAAGAAUUGCAAAUCAACUCCCCUUGUGAUCAGUGGCCGCUGUUCACGACAGCGCAGUUCCUCCUGAUCUCCCCCUCCGAUCCGGUCUUGACCUGCACCGCGCCCAGCGUCGCCAUCGACCGGCCGAACACCUGGAAGAACACCUCCGGCGGGCUCGCCACGACGCCGGCGAUGUCCGCCCGCCCCGCCACGUCGGUGGCGAGCGCGGCGUUGGACCGGAGCAGGCCGCGGUGUUAGAGUAUAUGAUAGUUAAAGUUAUAUUAGGAUAUGAUUGGUUUGUUUGGAUUCCUUCCAUAUCUAUAAUACUUCCUUAUUUCUUCCUCCUAUAUAUAUUGGAUCCCCUGAGACUCAAUACAAUAUGUCCCACGUUACGCAGUAUACCUCUCCUAUACUAUACAACAUAGUAUCAGAGCGGGUGAUCUAAGGCCAAUGCCGCUCACGCUUCCGCUCGUCCCCCCCGGAGGGUUUCGAUCUCCCGGGGGCGGCCACCCGUUUCCUUUUUUUUUCGCUCGUCGAGUCUUCGCGGCCUGCCUCCCCAGAGGAGUCAAUCUCCGGGCUGCGGCCGCGGCCUGUCCGUCGUCAUCUUCGCGUCAGCAGGCCCUCCGUCACCGUCCCCCGCGCCCUCAGAUUCGUCUACACCGCCAGCGUGUACGUCGCCGGGUCACCCCUCCACCGGCGCGCUGCUCCCAACGGCGCCACCCCCGUGCCGGUGGCUCCCGACGCCACCAGCCUCCUCGACUCCGCCGCGACCACGUGGUGACCACCGCGCCAACGGCCGACCUCAGCUCCGCCCUGCCGGCAUCUGGAGGACGCCAGCAGGGCCCUGCGCCUCACCACUGCCGGCCGCCACCAAGCUCCGGCUGCGUCGGCUCCCGGUCCCUGCCGGUCAAGCACGCCGCCCUCCCCGCGCCACGUCUCCAGGAACAACCGGUCUCCUCUCAUUCCCUUCCAAUGGUCUGUCUGCACGUGUCACAUGUGUGGGUGGAUAAGUUUUGGGGGGAUAGCUGGCUACUGGUACGGCUGAGGCAAAAGGUUAGCUGGACUUUGGCCUAUGUACCGGACCAUCGAGCAACAGGGGAUGCUACCGUACUGUUGCUGCUUGUAUUUUUUUUUCGCCCACAAGAGACAAUUCUUUUUAGCCUCUAAGAGACAAAAAGAAGAGCCUAACAAGGACCUUGAGAUAACAGCCCAUUCAUAGAACGGGUUUGCGUCGCCCACCGCCUCGUCGACAUCUACGCGUCUCCGAUAUCGGUAUCGACUCUGCUUCGACUUUAUCGUUCCGCCUCGCGCAUCUUCGGCUUGAUCACCCGUUCAAGCGCCCGGCUACAACGACUUCUACAACCGAUCGGCAUCAAGCACGCGUCUACACUAUCAAACUUCGGGUUGCCGCUGCAUCGCCCUCUUGGGCUGCAGUGUCGCCGCCCAUGGUCCACCUCCACUGGUUGUUGGAACACUGAGAGGCAACACCUCCACUGCCUCGCCCGCGCGGUAUUGGCAACACCGGCGCGCGUGUUCGUCCCGAGUUGUCCCCGGGUCUGGCAAAUCCGGCAUGACGUCUCGUCUUUCACGGUUCGACUACAUCGGCUCUUCGGCAUCAUCUUCCUCAACGACUGCCGCGAUUGUGUCACCGUCUUCGUCUCCCGCGCAUCCUCGCGCACCUUGGUCCACGAUGCCCCUCCCGUGCGUCCACGACCACUCUACGACGGCCCAUGCGCGCUCCGCGGCUCGGCUACCUCGACAUCUAUUUUUCGACCACAGCACUCUUGCCGGUUUCUUCUCCAGUCUAAGUGUCCGCACUGCUCACGCUUGGACUGCGGGGGGAUGUUAGAAUAUAUGGUAGUUAGAGUUAUAUUAGGAUAGGAUUGGUUUGUUUGGAUUCCUUCCAUAAGUGUAAUCCUUCCUUAUUUCUUUCCCAUGUACUCCUGUAUAUAUCGGCCCUCUGAGGCUCAAUACAAUAUGUCCCAUGUUACGCAGUAUACCUUUCCUAUACUAUUCAACACGUGGUGCCUGAGCACCGUGCGGUAGUAGCCGAGGUCGAACGUCAGGUGGCUGCCGGGGUCCAUCUCCACCACGCCGUCGCCGGCUGUCCUGCACUUGCGCUCACGCAGGUUGGCGGCGUCCAGCGGCGGCGGGUCGGUGCUGUUGCUGUUGGCAUUGCCAGCGCCGCCGCCGCCAUAGAGGCGGUCGGCGAAGGAUGGUGUGCGCACCUGCGCGAUCGGAUGCAAUUUUUCAGAAAUCAUUUUACAUCCAAGAAUUCAUUGUGAUAAUGUCACACAUGUGUCCUCAUUCUUGCACAAAAACAAGCUUGAAUUUUUAUGAUGUUGGCUUGCUGUAGAUCGCCAUUUUCGGGACAUGAAUCGAGCAUCCAAACGAUUGGGUUGAAAUGCAAUUUUUUUAAUGAAAAAAUCAACGUAAUUUUUCCCCUGUUGAUUGUCAACAAAGAAUCUAUAAAAUUUUCUCAAGACAUGCAUGAGAGAGUCUGCAGCUAAUUUCAAAUUUUCGGUUGAUUUGAUGCUCUAACAUAUGAGAUUAUAUAAAGCUAAUUUUUGUUCAGUUUAUUAUACCAGUCAUAAAUCAUAACAGUAUAAAAUUGACUAUAGUCACCAAUUAUAGUGACCCUCCCCAACUAUUGAAACCAGGGUAAUUUAACUCACAAUACAGUAUUGAUAGUGGUAUUUACUAACGUGACUUCUACGUGGCAUCCCAAACAUCAAAUAAAUUUAAAAACUAAGUAGGGCUCGCCUGUCAACCCCCCCCCUCCCCUCCCCUCCCUUCUACCCCUCUACUAACCUCUGUCCACCUCUCUCUCCCCAUUUCUUCUUCUUGGCCUAACAGCAGCAGGGUGCCGAGACGACGACGGGGAGCAGCGGGAUGAUGGCGAGGCUCUCCUUUCUCUCCCACCCCGGUCCCUUCUGUCCAGGCGCUAGUGGAGGAGUGGCCGGCCGAGUGAGAUGCGGGGUGGCAGUAGGCAGCGAGCCCGGGUGGUCCUCAUCAUCCUGGCCGGGUCGCCUGAGUUCGAGUUCUUGGAUGGUGGGGAAGAACCCCUCCUCGUUCCAGUCCCUAGAAUUCGAGUUCAAGUUCUAGAUAGUGGGAAAGAACACUGCGAGAUGACCACAGCAUGCCUGCUGUCACCGUCGUGCGGGUAUCACGGCCCGAUUGGCUCCGCAAAGCCAUUGCGUGGGUGUCACGGGAGCACGAAUGAGCCGCUGUGGCACGUCAUCCUCUCUCCCCUCUCCCUCGUACAUCUCCACCUCUUUCCUCAUAUAUCUCCACCUCUUCCCUCACUCUUCUUGUGGGCUCUGGCGGUGUGACGACCAGCAAGACCAUGGGCAGUGCCUAGCGGAAGAUGAACCAAAGAUGGCAGCGACCAUCGCAAGUCUCAACUUAAGAGUGAUGAGCAUGCUCUCCCUCCUCCCGACCACGCGCCAACCAUGACGCUGCCGCCAUCACCGCCACCGCGCCGCGCCGUGCUGCUCGACCAUUAUCCUCCUAGUUGUGCGUGCACCCUUAUAUCUCCCCUCCCUUCCCACUCGGGGAUUCUCUCUCACUUUCAUCUAGUGCGUGACGGAGCGCUGGCGGUACACCAGUCCCCCAGCCCCUUCUCUAGCGUCGGUGGCACACUAGUCCCCCAACCUCCUCUUUGGCGCCGGUGGCUACCUCCGGCCCGGGCCCUUGCCACUGCUCCCUCCCUCGCCACUGCCGAUGGGGGGGGGAAUGGAGAUAGAUAUUAGAUAGGGAGGGGGAUAGUGAGUAUGACAAGUGGGUGAUAUAUUUUCUUUUUAAAAAAAAUAUUUUUUUUAAAAAAAAAUCUCUAGUCACUUACAUAUGGACCUUCAAUUUCUACUUUGUGACUAUGCUACCAUAUCAACACAGAGUUGACCAAGUCAACGAGCAAUGUCAGCGAAAACCGUUGAGAAAGUCAAAUUGUACCGGUUUAAAUAACUAGAGGUCCAAGGUAUUCAAGAUCACUAAUUAGCGAUCGAUCGCCCCAGACGAUCAUUUUUCUUUUCAUCACUUUCCCUUUUUUACACCAUAUAGUUUUUCUUUUGGUAAGUUUAUAUACUUAAAGUUUCUACAUCUAAAGUUUACGCACCUAAAUUUUAAACACCCAAUUCAAAUUUAAAUUCGGAUUUAAAUUUGUAGAGCGAAUAUUUAUAAGUCAAAAGUUUAUAUAGCCGAUUUAAAUUCAAAUUCGGAUUCAAAUAAUUUAUAUAUAGAAUAUUUCUAUACAUAAAGUUUAUGCGUGCAAAGUUUACGGUAUAACCUAAAGUUUAUCCGUUUGUAGAGCGAAUGUUUAUAAGUCAAAAGUUUAUAUACCUGAUUCAAAUUCAAAUUCGGAUUCAAAUAUUAUAUAUAUAGAAUAUUUAUAUACAUAAAGUUUUAUGCGUGCAAAGUUUUACGGUAUAAAGUCUAUGCACAUGAAUGAGAGUAUUAGAUGAAAUUUAUGAUGAAAGGAGGGAAGGGAGAGGAGUAUAAGGGGUUGAUCUCCCGCCCAUUUGGGGCUCGGUAUUGAGGUUGUGGAGUACGAUUAAGAUUGGAGCCGUAUUUGAGGGAGUCAAUGUGGACUUAUUGCAAGCCAGAAAGCCGACGUUUCCGCGGAGUUCUCAAUUGGGCCCACAACGGCCCAUAUAACUUGGUCCGGAACGGGAUUGCAUGGUAGGAGCGGCCCACGUUGUGUGUGACGACGCCGACUCCCUCGACAGGCCGCCGCAGCGUGGCUUGCCACUACCCCCGCGCUUCGCUGUGUCCGCUUUCCCAGCACAGAUCAAAUGGCCGCCACCUCCGGCGAGCUCCUCACCCACGCAACCAUGGUGCUCUCGCUCUCUCCGAUUCUCCAGCACAAACCGACGGCGAGCUGCCCUCCUUAUCCUCCGAUGUCGGAUUUAAGCAAAGGCGAGAUAAGGAUCUGCCAUCUCCUUAUAAUAAAUAGUACUAUUAGCAUCCAUUUGAUAUUGGCAAUUCGGCUUUGUGUAUAACAUCAUUGGUGAUGUGGAAUGGUGACGCUGUCAGUCAGUCAGUCAAAGUAAUCAACCGCGUGGGGUGCUUUUAUCUCGUGAAUCUUUCCUUUCCAAGAUGGGUGGUGAGCUGCGCAAUAGAUUAGAGAGUUGGGUGCCCAUUAUCAUUAUAUUGUCAUUAUAAAUUCAUCCAUCCUGCAAAGUUUUUCUUGACGCCGAGCAUGUCAAUGGGCAAACCAAUCCUCACUCAGUCUCGGUCUCUUCGCCCGGGUGACCGAUAGUGGCAUGUUAAUGCAGCUUUAGCUUCCAACUUUCAGUUAGAAAUUGAUCCCACGGCCUCCCUUCAAUUUUACUUUUUUUCUUUUUGUUUAACACUUGUUUAGCUUGCAUAUGUUUUUUAAAUAUUUCGUCAGUACAUAGUCAUCCUGUAGCAACACCCAGAAUAUGUGUACAAAGUGCUACCUACGGAGUAUUUGACACUGGGAAUUCAACUUAUUAUCAACAAUUCUUAUCUAUACUAACAUCCUUGGUGAUGAGACAGUCAAGUCAUCAACUAUGUGGACUGUGGAGUGUCUUUAUUCUGUGAAUUUUCCCCCAGCCAUAUAAACAUUCCAUGGUCUGGUAUGUCCCUCAUGGUCCAUCUGUCUAGCCGAGCCCGGAGCUUUACUGAGGCCGUUUUUAGUUCCUUUUUUAUUUUUUUUAAAGUAUACAGACACACAUUUGAAUUAUUAAACAUAGACUAAUAACAAAACAAAUUACAGAUUCCACCUAUAAACUGCGAGACGAAUCUAUUAAGCCUAAUUAAUCCGUCAUUGGAAAAUGUUUACUGUAGCACCACAUUAUCAAAUCAUGGCGUAAUUAUGCUCAAAAGAUUCGUCUCGCAAUUUACAUGCAAACCGUGUAAUUAGUUUUUUUUCCACAUUUAAUGCUUCAUGCAUAUGUCCAAAUAUUUAAUGUGGUGAAAUUUUUGAAAGUUUGAAAGGAACUAAACACGGCCUGAGUCAUCUGUACGCCUGCCAGCCCAUAUGCAUGAUCUGAGCAACCUUGCAGGCUCUGCUGCGUUGAUGGUCAGUCAACUUCACUCAACAAGUCACUCACUCCAGUCCCAGUCAAUCUAGGUGGCUUACAGUAUUUGAAUGAAUUUGCUAUACUAUUAUAUAGGAGUAUUCUCCAACCGAUCCUUCCUCUCGGACGCAGCAAUGGCAAUGGCAAUGACGAUGCUCUUUAGAAUCUGAGUCUUUCUGCUGCUGUUUUGCACAGCUAAGGCUACUGAUGAUUCAGGAGCAGAAACUGAAGCAGAAGCACUCCUCCGAUGGAAGUCCACUUUGAUCGACGCCACCAACUCGUUGUCGUCAUGGUCGAUUGCCAACUCCACCUGCUCUUGGUUCGGUGUCACCUGUGACGCCGCCGGCCAUGUCACUGAGCUCGACCUUCUUGGUGCCGACAUCAAUGGUACGCUUGACGCUCUCUACUCUGCUGCAUUCGAAAACCUCACCACCAUCGACCUCAGCCACAAUAAUCUUGAUGGUGCCAUUCCAGCAAAUAUUUCUAUGUUGCACACCCUCACCGUUCUAGAUUUGAGCGUCAAUAAUCUUACUGGUACGAUCCCCUACCAACUCAGCAAGCUCCCUAGACUCGCCCACUUAAAUCUUGGAGAUAACCACUUGACCAAUCCGGAAUAUGCCAUGUUCUUCACACCCAUGCCCUGUUUGGAAUUCCUAUCUCUAUUUCACAAUCAUCUCAAUGGUACUUUUCCAGAAUUCAUCCUCAAUAGCACUAGUUUGAGGAUGGAGCACCUCGAUUUAUCGGGUAAUGCUUUCUCAGGGCCCAUACCAGAUUCACUACCAGAGAUUGCUCCAAAUUUGAGGCAUCUAGAUCUGUCGUACAAUGGAUUCCAUGGGUCCAUACCACAUUCACUCUCAAGGCUGCAAAAGCUCCGAGAACUAUAUCUGCACAGAAACAACCUCACCCGAGCAAUCCCAGAGGAGCUUGGGAACCUAACCAAUCUUGAGGAGCUGGUCCUGUCAAGCAACCGGUUAGUUGGAAGUUUGCCACCAUCUUUUGCCAGGAUGCAACAAUUAUCAUUUUUUGCGAUAGACAAUAACUACAUCAAUGGUAGUAUCCCGUUGGAGAUGUUUUCAAACUGCACUCAGCUCAUGAUUUUUGAUGUUUCCAACAACAUGUUAACUGGAAGCAUCCCAUCACUGAUCAGCAACUGGACACACCUACAGUACUUGUUCCUCUUCAACAACACAUUUACCGGUGCAAUCCCAAGGGAGAUAGGAAACUUAGCACAAUUACUUUCAGUGGACAUGUCACAAAAUCUCUUUACCGGAAAGAUACCAUUAAAUAUCUGCAAUGCAUCUUUGCUAUACCUUGUAAUCAGUCACAACUAUCUGGAAGGUGAGCUCCCUGAAUGCUUGUGGAAUUUGAAAGAUCUCGGAUACAUGGAUUUGUCAAGCAACGCUUUUUCUGGAGAAGUUACAACCUCAAGUAACUAUGAAUCCUCCCUAAAAUCACUGUACCUGUCAAAUAAUAACUUAUCGGGUCGUUUUCCAACGGUAUUGAAGAACCUCAAAAACCUAACUGUGUUGGAUCUUGUGCAUAAUAAGAUUUCUGGUGUGAUUCCUUCAUGGAUUGGGGAAAGCAAUCCUUUGCUGAGGAUUCUCCGAUUACGAUCAAACUUGUUCCAUGGAAGUAUUCCUUGUCAACUGUCAAAACUCUCCCAACUCCAACUGCUUGAUCUGGCUGAAAAUAAUUUUACAGGUCCUGUACCAAGUAGUUUCGCCAACUUAUCCUCCAUGCAGCCUGAAACAAGAGACAAAUUCUCCUCCGGUGAAACAUAUUACAUUAACAUUAUUUGGAAGGGAAUGGAGUACACUUUUCAGGAAAGAGAUGAUUGUGUUAUUGGUAUUGAUCUUUCAAGCAAUUCUCUCUCUGGUGAGAUCCCUUCAGAGUUGACAAAUCUUAGAGGCCUUCAGUUCUUAAAUAUGUCAAGAAAUGUUCUAUAUGGUGGCAUCCCAAAUGACAUUGGCCAUCUACAUGUUGUAGAGUCUCUUGACCUCUCUUGCAAUAGACUCUUGGGUCCUAUUCCUCCUAGCAUAUCAAACUUGACGGGCCUCAGCAAGCUUAAUCUCUCGAACAACCUUCUAUCAGGAGAGAUACCUAUAGGUAAUCAACUCCAAACACUGGAUGACCCAUCGAUUUAUGCCAACAACCUGAGGCUUUGUGGAUUUCCUUUGAAAAUUCCAUGCUCAAACCAUUCAAAUUCUACGAGUACACUAGAAGGGGCAAAAGAACAUCACCAAGAACUGGAAACUCUAUGGCUGUACUGCUCAGUAACUGCAGGAGCUGUCUUUGGUGUUUGGCUGUGGUUUGGAGCACUGUUUUUCUGUAAUGCAUGGAGGCUUGCUUUCUUCAGUCUCAUCGAUGCCAUGCAGCAGAAACUUAUGCAAACAUAACUCAUCUGAGUAAUAUGCUCUGCUUCUCAAGUUCUCAUUGAGUCCACCUGAGCGUGUGUAUUAGUGUCACAUUAUGUCAGCACUGCACCAAGAUCUAAGGUUCAGUAGGUAUUAUCCCUUUAUUUCAGCCAUCGAUGAGAUGUAAUUUUCUGUUGCCAGAUUUGGCUUGUUGUUCUUGUGAUGAUGAACUCUUGUUACUAGCUUUUAGUGUAAGUCGGGUAGCAUCCUUGGUCAGAAAAAAAGAACAUGUUUUGGUGAUGAGACCAAUUUCCUACAUGGUUGUGUUUGAGAUGAAAGUAGCAUGUAAGCCAGGAAGUUCCAAAUAAAGUAGCAUACAUCAUGGCUGUCUUUUGAUGUAUUUGCAAGCUUUGUUAUUACCUGUGCAUGCAUACAGACUUCAUUUGACGCUAAUUCGGAGAAUUUUGUCUUAUUUUCUGUUCAUACUGUAAACUGUAUGUAUUCUGUUUUUUUUUUCUCAUCAGCUAUAAAUUACUACAGCACACUUCAAAGCAAAAGAACACAGCUUUGCCGGUUGCAGCAACGACACUGAACACAACAAGAACACGCGCAGCAAAAUUUCUACUAGAAUUUCACCAAAUUCAAAUGACAAAAGUGAAGAAAUCGUAAGAACAAAAUCACGCUAUCCCAGGAAGAAUUGCAAAUCAACUCCCCUUUUGAUCAGUGGCCGCUGUUCACGACAGCGCAGUUCCUCCUGAUCUCCCCAUCGGAGCCGGUCUUGACCUGCACCGCGCCCAGCGUCGCCAUCGACCGGCCGAACACCUGGAAGAACACCUCCGGCGGGCUCGCCACGGCGCCGGCGAUGUCGGCCCGCGCCGCCGCGUCGGUGACUAGCGCGGCGUCGGACCGGAGCAGGCCGCGGUGCCUGAGCACCGCGCGGUAGUAGCCGAGAUCGAACGUCAGGUGGCUGCCGGGGUCCAUCUCCACCACGCCGUCGCCGGCCGUCCUGCACUUGCGCUCACGCAGGUUGGCGGCGUAGGCGGCGUCCAGCGGCGGCGGGUCGGUGUUGUUGCCGUUGGCAUUGCCGGCGCCGCCGCCGCCGUUGUAGAGGCGGUCGGCGAAGGACGAGCAGUGGGCGAUGCCGAUGGUGUGCGCGCCUGCGCGAUCGGAUGCAAUUUUUCAGAAAUCAUUUUACACCCAAGAAUUCAUUGUGAUAAUGUCACACAUGUGUCCUUAACUCCUCAUUCUUGCACAAAAUCAUGCUUGAAUUUUUAUGAUGUUGGCUUGCUGUAGAUCGCCAUUUUCUGGACAUGAAUCGAGCAUCCAAAUUUUCGGUUGAUUUGAUGCUAACUUACGAGAUUAUAUAAAUCUAUUUAUUUCAGUUUAUUUACAUUGGUCAUAAAUCAUAACUGUAGAAAUUAUGACAUUGCUGAACAAGUUAAGUCAGUUCAAUGGUAGAUAAAAUUGACUAGUCAUCAACACGAACUGACAGAUAGAAAGCAACUAUUAUUCGUGCUCCUUUUGCAUGCAGACAUGCAGAUGCCUAGUCAGCAAACAAAGGAUUGGAAAUUCAGACACAAAGCUUUCCUCUCUGAAAUUAAUCUUACAGCUUCUACAUUAUGUCUCCCACCGACAGUGCAGAUUAAUUACAUGCUAAUAGUGUAGUUUGGAUCUGAUUAACUAGAGUAAUCUGUUUAGUUUAGCUGAUAACUGAGAUUAAUUACAUGCUAACAGUGUAAUUUGGACCUGGUUAACUAGAGUAAUCCAAGUUGUUUAGUUUGUGCAGAUAAGUGGUACUAAGUAUCCUCGGUUUCAUAAUAUAAGUUGUUUCGAAUUUUUUUUGUCAAAUUUCUUGAAAAUUUGAUCAAAUCUCUACAAUUAUAAAAAUUAAAGAUAUUUCCGCGAUCUGUUAUCUGUGUUUGAGUCGGUUUUAAUUUUAUAUUUUGAUUUUAAUCUAUAACUCUAUCUCUUGUCUACUAUUAUAAAAAUUGAAGAUGUUUUUACCGGUACUUUGGUACGUCAUCUUUGUAUGAGUCGAUUUUUAAGUUCGUUUGCUUUUGGAAAUACAGAUCCGUAUUUGAGUCAGGUUUUAAGUUCGUUCGCUUUUGGAAAUACAGUCAUAUAAGAAAUCUCAAUAAAAAACUCACAUGCUAACUUGGCAUGAUUUUCUAGAAAAAUAUAUAUCCAAGCGAAUUCUCACGGUGAAUUUCAGAGUGAACAAUAAUAAGAUUAAAAUAGACUUCACCCAUUACAACGCACGGGCAUUUUUUCUAGUUUAUAAAAAAAAUAUAACACUCAUAACACCAAAUUAAUUUCAUUACAUCUAACAUUUAACAUAUUUUGAUAAUUUCUUUGUUAUAGGUUAAAAAUAUUGCUAUGUUUUUCAAACCUAAAUAAGUUUGGCUUAGAAAAUAAUCAAAAUGACUUAUAAUAUGAUGAAACGAGGAUAGUAAUUAAUAAUGUGAAUUAAUGAAUUCGUUCAUAAUCGUCACGUACCUGACAGCCAGACAAGGUCACGCACGCUGAGGCCCUUGGUGGCGAACAAGCCGGCGAGCUCCGGGAAGCUCAUCGCCGGCGAGGGGAUCUCCGCGAGCGCCUCCUGCAUGCUCGACACCGUGCCAUCCCUCCUCCCCGUCGGCACGCGCCACGACGGCCCUCCCUGCAGAGCAUGUUCAGCAUCGUCAGGCUCCGGCCAGUGCGCGCGGCGCGCGGCGACCGUGGCGAGCGCUCGAGAGCUUACGAUGGCGGCGACGGCGUCGCGGGCGGCGAGCGCGAGGACGUCGGCGCAGGAGACGACGCCCGGGCAGGCCGCCUCCACGAGGCCCUUGACGCGGUCGAUGAGGUCGAACCCUCGCAGCGUCUGGUUCGGCGCCGCGUCCUUCUCCGCCGCGCCGCCAUUGCCGGUCGAGUUGAGGAGGAUGGACGCGUCGCAGCCCUUUUUGACAAACGCACAACACAUUCCAUCAAACACAUUGCAGACAUUGCACGCGCAUCAAUGGCGGCCGCGCGGCGCGGCGCGGCGCACGUACCCUGACGAAGCAGUCGUGGUAGUGCAGCCGGAGGAGCGCGGCGGCGACGGUGGGGACGCGGCCGACGUGCUGCCGGACGUACUCCCCGACGAUCCGCUCCGCCGCGGGGCAGCUCUCGUCGUAGAACCCCAUCCUGAGCUGCGCGCGCGCGCCGCCGAUCACGCCGGCGCCGAGGACGACGAUGGCCGCCACUCCGAGCCGGAUCACCGCCAUUGGCACGCCGCCCGCGCGUCGCCUCCUCGUGCUCGCCAUUGCCGCCCACUCGACUACUCAACUCAACUUAACUCAACUCAAAACUUGUGAAGUGAACCGCUUAUAUACACUAGUAUUUAUAGUCCUGAGCUUACUUAACAGACAUUUCUUCAGAGAGUGAGAUUACUUCAAACUUAGUUCGAAAUCUAUUUUUUGAGAGAAAAAUGCAGUAUAAAAAGCAGGGUAAUUUAACUUGGAUUCGCCAAUGAUUUUGAAAGGAACAGUGAAAAAUAUGCCUCCACAUGCACGCACGCAAAAUGGAACCGGGAGAAGCGUGUGACAGUGUCACUUGAUUCCUCUAUCUAUUUCUUUCGCUUUAAUUUCUCUGCUUUAUAUCUAGCUUCUUUUAGUCUUUUUCGAAUCAUGUUUAACUUUUGCAAUCUUGAUGAUGAAUUGAUGGGUGAUCGAUUGGUACAUCGUGGGUGGAAGAAAGAGCAAGAAAAGAACUUGAUCCUUUCCUCCUCUUUCCUGCCAUUGCCUUGCUUAGGCAAGGUUCCAAAGCUCUGAAGCUUCCUCCUCCCUUUUGUCAGACUUUUGGCUUGGAUCAUUUUUUGGAUUGGAAAGUAUUUGUCAUUGCUUGAUAGGUUGCUGUUUGGUAAUUUUUAGUGCCACCACCGACAACAGGGUUGAUCGGGAUUGUUAAAUCAUGCAUUCCUGGUCACAAUUCGCAAUCACAUUCAUGUGGAAUAAAAUUGAUGAACACGCUUUGCUGAGAAAAAGGAAGAAGAGUGAACUAAUACGUUUUUCAAUUUCGGUGUAUACAUUAUAAGCUUUAUAUUACCAAGGGGCAAGGGAAAGUUUAGUAAAUUAUCGCGUAUGGCACAGCCACGGAUCAAAAACAAUGUGAGCUCAAAUGCUAUGUCUCGGAAACAUGUCCACCUCUCCAUCUUCUAUUUGUGUUCCAAUGCUUAUGUCAAUCAAUCAGAUUUUGGUGAUGCACGCAUCAGAGAGAAUUUUUCCCCUAGCCGUGAUUUUCCUUUCUUUCUAACGGUUUUGAAAUUGCAAGUAUUGGAGUAUAUCAUCAUUCUACUAUUAUCUUCCAAUGCUACGAAAUAGAGAAAUCAAGCAGCGAAGAAACAAAAAGAUGUUACAUGAGAUGACAAAUUAAAGCCCAAUUACCUCGAAUCAUAUAUCAAAUUGAAUGUCGCAAAGAUUUCAACACACGCCUACAGCGUUCUGAAAAGAAAGCCCAAAUGCUCAUAGUGGCUCCAAAUAUAAAUCAGGACAGCAUAGUCCUUCCAGCAUCACUUCCCUCCAGAAUAAUCUUUUAUAUCCCAUAGGCCAUUGCAAAGCUCAUUAAGAUAAAAGUAAAUGACGAUUUAAUAAGAAUAUGCAGCAUUUUCAAACUUGCAACUCAGAUAAAACAUCAACAGGAAUGAGAUGCAAAUGAGCAAAUUGAGCACAUAUUUAGGUUCAAAUCCAACUUAUUCAUAAAGCAUACUGCUGUCCCACAGGAAACUGUUUCAUAAAACUAACAUAUCAUACGGACUCGAUGGUCCAUUAAACCAGACACAAGUAGACAUCAGCACCACAAAUACUUGACGAACAGAGGCUCGGGACGACCAGGCACAUCGGCAGCUCCACCAAACUGGCUGAUUACUGACCACCACGGAGGCGGAGCACCAGGUGGAGGGUGGACUCCUUCUGGAUGUUGUAGUCGGCGAGGGUGCGUCCAUCCUCCAGCUGCUUGCCAGCGAAGAUCAGACGCUGCUGGUCUGGGGGAAUCCCCUCCUUGUCCUGGAUCUUGGCCUUCACAUUAUCAAUGGUGUCGGAGCUCUCAACCUCCAAAGUGAUGGUCUUCCCAGUCAAGGUCUUCACGAAGAUCUGCAUACCACCACGGAGACGAAGCACCAGGUGGAGGGUAGACUCCUUCUGGAUGUUGUAGUCGGCGAGGGUGCGGCCAUCCUCGAGCUGCUUGCCGGCGAAGAUGAGACGCUGCUGGUCUGGGGGGAUGCCCUCCUUGUCCUGGAUCUUGGCCUUGACGUUGUCGAUGGUGUCCGAGCUCUCAACCUCCAGGGUGAUGGUCUUGCCUGUGAGGGUCUUGACAAAGAUCUGCAUACCACCACGAAGGCGGAGCACAAGGUGGAGGGUGGACUCCUUCUGGAUGUUGUAGUCAGCAAGGGUCCUGCCAUCCUCCAGCUGCUUGCCAGCAAAGAUGAGGCGCUGCUGGUCCGGGGGAAUGCCCUCCUUGUCCUGGAUCUUGGCCUUGACAUUGUCGAUGGUAUCAGAAGACUCCACCUCGAGGGUGAUGGUCUUGCCGGUCAGAGUCUUCACGAAGAUUUGCAUGCCUCCCCUGAGACGGAGGACAAGGUGAAGCGUUGACUCCUUCUGGAUGUUGUAGUCAGCAAGGGUCCUGCCGUCCUCAAGCUGCUUGCCGGCAAAGAUGAGACGCUGCUGGUCCGGGGGAAUGCCCUCCUUGUCCUGGAUCUUGGCCUUGACGUUGUCGAUGGUGUCAGAAGAUUCCACCUCGAGGGUGAUGGUCUUGCCGGUCAGUGUCUUGACAAAGAUCUGCAUGCCACCACGGAGGCGGAGGACAAGGUGGAGGGUGGACUCCUUCUGGAUGUUGUAGUCAGCAAGGGUCCUGCCAUCCUCCAGCUGCUUGCCGGCGAAGAUGAGACGCUGCUGGUCUGGGGGGAUGCCCUCUUUGUCCUGGAUCUUGGCCUUGACGUUGUCGAUGGUGUCAGAAGACUCCACCUCAAGGGUGAUAGUCUUGCCGGUCAGAGUCUUGACAAAGAUCUGCAUGCCACCACGGAGGCGGAGGACAAGGUGAAGGGUCGACUCCUUCUGGAUGUUGUAGUCAGCAAGGGUCCUGCCAUCCUCCAGCUGCUUGCCAGCGAAGAUGAGACGCUGCUGGUCCGGGGGGAUGCCCUCCUUAUCUUGGAUCUUAGCCUUGACAUUAUCGAUGGUGUCAGAGGACUCCACCUCGAGGGUGAUAGUCUUGCCGGUCAAUGUCUUCACAAAGAUCUGCAUCUGCAAGAAAUAAUCACCAAACAGAUAGGGUAAGAACUAGCACAAGAUUAAGGACACAACAACGGAUCAAACAGCAAACAUAUUCCAACAGAACAUACAUGUAUUCAAAAAGAUAGUAACAGGCACAUCACACAUGUAUUCAGAUAGGUAGUAACAGCACACGUAUCCUGAACUUCAGAAAUAAGUAGAAUGAACUAGUGGCAAUAAUCUUCACACAGAUAGUAAAAAGAAAUUACCACAAUAGAUUAUAUAGAUGAACUACAGAUUGUAACAUGAUAUUACUACAGAUUGUAACAUGAUAUUCUAAUAUAGUUCUUAGCAUAAAUUACUGGCAGAUAGUAACAUGAGAUCAUUAUGACAGAUAUAGCGACAAGACUUCCUAUUUACCAUUGACAAUUAAUUAAAAGAGUUCAUCAUUAUCUAAUCUGUGAACAUAUGAAAUCAAAUCGAAACGCACAAGCUACAUAAUUGAACCAUGUCUAAGAAGAACUACCCUACAGAUCUACAUCAAACACAAAACAGAUAUAACAUAUUAAAGCCUGUGUUUGCACCAACCCAUGGCACCAAUAACUCAAUCAAGAGCGGAACAGUAGAUCUGAACAUGCUCGCAACAAGGCCUACAAGAUGGAACACGCUACAAAUCGCACCAAUCACUCAGGCAUGACUAGUUCCACAAUUCCCCAACAGAUCUACACCGAUUUCCCCAAUCGAAUCAUCCAACAAUUCAUCUAACCGUAAAAAUUCCCCCCAAUCAUCAGAACCAACAUCCAAUCCCAAAACCUAACCACGAUUCCACCUAUCGAACCAACCGUGCCCAAAUCACAACCAUCAGAUCUACAACCCCUAAACAUCUCACGAUAAUCACAUCGACAACCCUAACCACCAAUCGGAUCUAGCAACAAAACAACCUCACCCGUCCGAAAUCGAAUCGAAACGAAGCGAGGAGAGGAGAAGCAGCGUACCUUGAGGACGCGAGAGGAUUCGAUUCGACGACGAGAGCCUCGCGAGAUUGGGGAGAAAUUUUUCGGGGGUGGAGCUGAUGCGAGGAGAGGAGAUGAGGGGGCUGGUAUUUAUGGCGGUUGGGUGGUGGGAGGAGUCCCGUGCCGUGACGUCUCCGUCUGCUUGGAGAAUCCGCCACGCUGAAACCACCGCGGUUUCCGGGAAGACGAGGCGGGCGAGCGAGCGGUUGGGAAAUUUCGAGAAGAUGCCGUUUGUCUCCGUUUGGUACACGUCUCGUUGAUUUUUUUUGAGUGAAUUACGCUUUGGACCACAUUUUAUUAUCUAUAAGUUUUACUUUGGACUACCUUUAAACAUAUCUUUUCACUUUGAACCAGAUAAAUUUGCUAUUGUUGCGAUUUGGAUUUUUUUUUCUCGUGCAAUCAACGACCUUAAACACAUCAGCUCUAGUAUACGGCCGAUCUCCUCUAUAUAUGGUUCAUAUGUUUGCUGAAAGGGAAGUUAGACAUGACGAAAAGUUGUUCAUGGUAGUCCAAACCACAACCCGGCCCAAAUUGAAAAGAUAGGUUUAAGGGUGAUCCAAAUUGAGACUUAGGUAAUAAAAGGUGGAUCAAAGUGCAAUUUACUUUUUUUUUACUGUAAUUUCUUCUGGCUGGUUUGUUGGUCGCCGUUAGGACCGGGUGACGCCGUCAACCCCGCGCCUCCGUAUUUGCUGACGUGGGGUGGCGCGCUGGCUUCCGCCUUGACCCGAAUUUGUUUUCCUUCCGUUAAAAAAAUGGUUUUCCUUUUCUUAAAAAGGAAAUAGUUUGUUUUUUAAGUCUGUGUAUUAGGAUUAUUACACUUGAAUUUUGGUAUAUGUGUAGGAUAAUUUACUGCAUGUUUAUAAUAGAGUUGUACUAUAGAUGAAAUAACCCAAUUUUUGGUAUAAUUCGUGUUUGGUUGGAGGUCAAAAUAACAGGUUAUUUUGUGAAGAAAAAACUCCGUAGUAUAGUACCAUAUCCAUCAUGAAUACACAUACUGCCUAGACGAGUGAUUAGGAUGAAUCCAUGUUAUAUUCCUCAAAAUAAUAUAAACCACUUGAUCUUAUGAUCUUAUCCAAUCUGUUCAUAUAAACUGGAGAUAUAAGAUGGUGCAUUUCCCUUUUGAUUUCUUUUGUUGACGGCCAUGAGAUAGGUUUGCAUCCACUGCAUUUAUAUUUCGGACCAAUACAAUGCACCUAUUGAUACAUGGGGACAGCUCAACUAACCAUGAUGCAAAUUGCUGGUUGGUGACCAGUUCUUGGCAUUAUGAUAAUGAUAGGAUUAAAAAAAACAGUGCAAUGUCUCGGAAAGAAACCAUGACAAAGGGUACAUGUUGCAUUCCAGUUUCUAAUGAUAAAAUUAUGUGCCAGCAAUUCAAAAAUCAUGCGUGUUCCCUACGCACCAUUCUUUGCAAUAAACAAGUGCAUGCACAAUAUGAUUGUGCUAAGGGUCAAGAACUUGUUGCAGUGGCUAAGUUUUGGAUAAGACCAAUGAACAAACAGUACUAGUAGUUUGUUUUAUGAAAUUUGCAUUUCUGCAGCUGUUUUCUAACAAUUUCAUACGGCAGCCUAUGCUGAUUCACUUGGACAUUGCCCCCUCCAUAAUUCUAAUCUUUGGUUCCAAAUAAAAUCAUGUGUAACCAAACUGUUGUAGUAUGAAUUAUGGAUUGGUGUCCUUUUUUUUCCCUCCGGACUCCUAUUGGCAAUGUAAGACUAUAUGAAGUAUCAGAUGCCACUCGGUUGGAGAUUUAACUGAAUUUGACAUGAAUAGGCAAGAUCACACAAACUAAAGUGCUCCAGAACAAAAACAUGCAGAUUAGGCUACCAACACCAGCCUGAAACUGUUCAUGGACUUGCUGCAUACAAACAACACAGUAUAUACCAUGAGCCCUACAAGGCUAUAUGAAUACUGCUGAGAAAGGGAGAAAAAGGUGAGGUAAGAAUGUAGAAAUUAAUAGAUACUGUAAACAAACUGAUAUUCCAAUACUACCAUCAUCUUGACAACAGCUUGCUUAAAUCAGAAAUCCACAGUUACCAACAGUAAUAUAACAAGAGUUAACUUCAACAGUAUUUAUUUGUGCAACUUAAAAGACACCAUAGGAAGCCUUGAAGCUAUCACCCCUAUGCUGAAGUACUGAAAUGAGAGGAAACCAUGUCGUUCACUCCUUUUUCCCGACUCCAUGAGACAUGUUGUACACCCCACGGCCCUGUUUAUAAAACAAGAAACAUGUCACUGUCUGAACGUAAACAAGACCAGAGAAAACAAGCAACGCAGGAAUCAAUUAAAAGAACCCCAGACUCACUAUCAUAAACAAGCUGGAGGCGGCAAGAGCGAGGGGAAUGGCAACGGAGGUGACCACAUCAUAACGCCCUUUCAGAUACGUGUGCUUGGUCAAGUUCUGAAAAUACUGCUGCUGCUUAAAGAGCCUCUCGCGCGGCAAAAACGGUGAUUCUGUCAUUCUGCAUCACAACAGAAGGAACCAAGACAAAUCUAUAUCAAUAUGGAAAGAAAUUUAUCUUUCUUAUGGACAUUUUUGCAUAUAAAGAAAAACAUACAGAAUUAGUAUAAUUACUGUAUUUGACUUUGAGAACUAAUGACACUAGAAAUCAUCACUGUUUUCCUUAAACUGCUUACUUAGAGGAGUACUAACUAACUGCUAUGCAGCCAUAUAUAAGUUGUUAAAUUUCUCUCAUUAGCACCUAAGUUAAAAUAAUGUUUUUUACAAAUUAAAAUACAGCUUUAAACAUGACACCUAAACACAUUUCUUCAUGUGAAGCAAAUCCAUGUGUUGUAAAGCAUACAAAUUUUUUUUCUUUCAUGAUUUAAGCCUAACUAGCGAAAGUACCCCAGACAGCGUGAACUGUGAUGCAGAAAGAGAUUUUAAGCCAAAGAGGUUUCUUGGUCAUCAUCGCAUAGUUUCAUGGCUGAACAUGGCUCAUGACCAGGAUUUUAUAGAGUUAACAGUUAGUCACUCACAAUCUUCAAAUCACAAAACCUAAAAAAGGAGGUCUGAAGUAUCAAGUAUGCAACAAAGCAUGCAUAUGUUACUAAGCAACAUUGUAUCCGAACAGUCUUACACCUAUUCAAAAUUACAUGACCUCAAACAUACAUGACAAAUUAUACACCUAGAGCCUACCACUUCAUUCCUACAAGCAUAAUACAAGAAGUUGACUUGGGCCCAAAACAGAAACAGGUUCGUCAUUUGUCAAGCAAGAUUGGGCCACACCAAUACACAAGAAUAUUUUAUUAUGUGAGCAUAGCUGAACAAUUUCUGCGGGGUUCUGAAAAUCAUAUUGGCAUCAGAGUCAACCAAAGACAAACAGAUGCUAAACACAUACUGGUACAGAUCCCCUAGAUGUAGCCACGUCACCUUCUUCUCCCCUUUAUGGUGAACACCCCUUCCUCCAUGCACGAUAGCUGAACACCUCUCCCUCUAUAUGGUGUUGCAUAAUUUUUCAUUCACGCAAUACAUCUAUCACAUUUUAUCGGUGAGGCAAUGAGUUAUAUAUUCGUAACUAAUAAGACAAUGAAUAAUUUUAAGUUACGGCAUAAUGCUAUUUUGUAAUUUUCACUGUUGAUCAGCUAAUGAAAUACUCCCUCCCUUUUAUAUAAGAGAAAGGCUCUUUUGUAUCUAAGAAAAAGGAGAUAGUACUAAAAUUAAUUCAAUUGCAGUAAACAUUAGUGUCCAAAGUUUCUGAGAAACAAGUAUAUAACUACUAAUAUGUUGCUGUUUCCAGUGUGAUAUGUUUUCACACAAGAUGUUCCUUCUCCAAUCAAGGAUUGGUUGUCAACUAUUGAUAGAGCCCCAGAAGCUAAUAAGAUACAGAUUACAGAGUGGCAUGUCAAAAGGCAGUAUAGGUCCCGGAUGCAUCAUGCAUAUAGAUUGAUGUGUUGCAGCGGAGUAAGAAUAUCAGGAUCGAAAUGAUGUGUGACCCGCUAGAAAUCAACCAAUGGCUUAGAUCAGCUGAAAUCCACCAGAUUGAUUUGGAGGCAACUCCAGGGCAUCUGCACCCAAACUGAUACAGCGAGAUACACAUACAAAAACACGCGAGAAAUUCCAUCCACGCAUCACCAAAAAAAAAAAAAAAGGGCCUCAGAUUAAUAACGCUCCACGAAUCGCGCAGGUCGCACCAACAUCAAUCGCGUCAGGAACUCAAGAAACACGAACAGAUCUGCUCCGCCAUUAAAACCCCUCCUCUCUCAACUCCCAAGCCUCCCAACCAUCACAUCGAACAUCGAAACAACGAGGCGGAAAUACAGGAGGAGGGAAACACCGCACCUUGAGACGGAGGCGGAGGAGGAGGACGACGACGGAUUGAUUGGACGAUCCUUGCAGCGGCUUGGGGGAUUUUGGAUGGAUCGCGGCGAGAGGUGAAACGAAAUGGGGGGAGGAGGAGGCAACGACGAAGAAGCAGGAACGGCGACCGAGUCGGGGAGGAGACGUCUUGGGAGGAAAAUGGGCCGGAUUACUUCUGGCCCAACACCAAAUUUUGGGCCAAUAAUAAGGCCUAGUAGUACUAUCAACAGCUGAGGGCGUGUUUGGUUAGCUGCAUUUAAGACUAUGGCUAAUAGGUGGACGAUUAGCUGGUAUAGACGUGGAAGAGGAAAAUCAGAUGUGAGAGAAAGAAGCUGGCUCCUUUACAAUCGUCCGCUUGGCAUGAGCGUCUAGGUGCUUUGACAACCUAGAUCCACGUCAAGAGAUGGGAGAUAGAGUGUACACUAAACCCACAUAAUAUUAAAACAAAAUAUUAAUACUAGAACAAGUGUGUAGAGCCUGCUAUAAUAUAAGAUUUAGAGCCGAUGGUGGGCUCCUAUAUUAUUCUUGAUCUAAGGGUGGCUCACACCUAUGUGUGACAGUUAUUUGGUUGUCAGUAUGACCGUCGGGGUCUAGUUCCAGCAUUCCAUUCAUGCGAAACAAACACCUGAUCCAAAAUCGCUAGAAACACGAGGAGGUGAGCUUCGUUCCUCAUGUAGGUUAUGCUCGUGCAGGCACCAGGUCGGUGUAGGAGGUGAGAUAGGGUCACACAUUGAGUCAUCUCUCUUUCUCCAAAUGCUAGUUUGUGCCUCCCAAUUUGUUGUCGCCUCCAUCGUGCCCCCUCACCAGUGGAUCCCCUUCCCCCUCCUCUUUGGCUAUUUGUAGUAUACGGUGAACCACAACCUCACAACCACUAGAUCUGAUGGUCGUAAGUUCAGUACUAUUGGAUCUGGUAGUCCCGACCUCAGUUUGGAUAAAACAUAUGAGCCAAGCUAAAGGCAUUCGGGUAACCAAACAUACUCUUAAAAUGUCAUGAAUUUUCAUGUGGGGAAUAAAUUGAUUCAUGUGAAAUUUGUAUUAAGGGAUGGUUAGGUUCUCUAUUCUAUAAAGAUUCAGCGGCACCGUUACCUUUUCCCUUUAAGGUUGCGUUCGUUUGUGUCGGUUGGGAGUCUAUCCCUCCGGCACGAAAAACGGAACAGCUUAUUAUCGCAUAAUUAAUUAAGUAUUAGCUAAAAGUAGCUUUAAAAAUAGAUUAAUGUGAUUUUAUAAGCAAUUUUCCUAUAUAAUUUUUUUUCAAAGAACACAUCAUUUAGUAGUUUGAAAAGCGUGCACACGAAAAACGAGGGAGAGGGAUUGAAAACCUGCAAUGCCGAACACAACCUAAGAAGGGCUUGAUUUCUAUUAGUAGAGAAAAUGUGGCCAACAUUUGAGCCCGAUUUUAUUAGCAUUAUCAAAAAUUGUGUUUGACUAAAUUUUGAUGAGGUGUUUAGUUUGGUAUUACCAAACUGGAUCAAGAACCAGAAAAUUGCUCAUGCCAUCUCUACUAGACGUCUUUUUAUUGUGAUGCUUCUAAUUAAACUGAUGGAUCCUAAACCUCUUAAACCAACCGUGUCAUGUGACUAAGUGACAACUAACAAAGAUCUCUAACCAGCUAAGUUCCACAAAAAAAAAAGGUGAUUUUUUUAUUUGAAACGAUACGCAAAAACAAGAAUAAGCCUUCAGAAAAAGAAAGAAAAAAUGGAGCCGAUUUGCCUGCCAACAGCUGAUCCAAGCCUAUCAGAGCUGAUCACACAUGAUGAUCAUGCCACGAUUGACUUGCAAAUUUAACGGUUAUGGAUUGGUAGGUGCGAGGCAUGACCGGAUCCUGUCUCAUUGGCGUCCAUCAUUUCCCAAAAUCUUAUCCAGCCAAAUGUUUCUCUCCUCUCCUCUUCAUAUCACUGUAUCAAAAUGCAUAUAUGAUUCUAAAUUUCUAAUCUCUGUACCUAUCCUAAUCCGACAGGAAACAGCUUAAUUAUCCUACACUUACAUGCCUGCAACACCACAGAAAAAAAAUAGGCCAAAAUGUAUUGAGGGGAAGGGCUUAGCUGGCCUCUUUUCUGUGCCAAGAAACAAUGCAUCUCUAUCUAUAGCUUGCAUAUAUCAACAUAUAUAUUAUUUUUAUAUGGAUCAUAAUGGAGGUUUCUUUUUGUGUUAAAAAGUUCAGAAAUGAGGUGUUCAUUGCUGUGAUGGUUUAAGGGUAGAUUAGUACUAGUGGAUACAUCAGUAAGCAAAUCAGAGAAGGCUGACCAAGUUUAGACAGAUUACAGAUGGUAGACACCUGUUAUUUCUGCGUGAUGAAAUGGCAACUUGAAUUUUUUUUAUUAAAAAAUGAAAUGAAGAGAUACUUCAGAAAAGUUUUGAUGAAGAGCACCAGGUUAAUUCUGAUAUAUUCUGAUAACAGAACGAUAGUGAUGCCUAAUUUUCCUUGCGUUGUGUUUUUAAUUAGCUUGCAAGUGAUGUUAUUAUCUGAUACACCUCCAGCCACAAAUGGAUAUUUAAUAUCAAAUGGUAACACAAGCAACCUCUAGUGAUUGGUUGCAGCUUGGUGGAAAAUUUCAUGGUGUGUAUAGACCCUAGAAGAUAAACAAAACUUGUUCAUAAUACAAAAUUAAGUCAUCAGGAUCAGGAAGAGAUAUCCAGAGAAAAAUUCAAACACAUAGUGAAUUAAGUGGAAUGGGACAGAUCAUCAUCCACCAAGUGUAGGAAAUACGUUUCUUUGAGCCAUAGAGGAUAAGGCACUGAAGAAGUAGGUCAUACUAGUUCCAUUUGAAAUGUCUGCAUGUGUUGUGUUAUAUUGUUUUCUUAACUAACAAGCUUAGGCAAAAACAAUGAGCAAGCAAUGACAAAAAAAUCCACUGGUUUUCUUCUUUAUCCAAUAUAAAGAUAUGCAGCCCUCCUGAAAGUUCUAGACAAAAAUGUGAUGUAAAACUUCAUCUGUUAAAGAUAAAAUUGGAUAUUUUUUAAAUAAGAAGAUGAUUUGCUGCCAUGUCAGUACCACCUAAAAAGAGCCAUUCUAUGCAAUGAUCCUUAAAAGUACUAGGACUAUACUAUACAUCUGAUAUGUACCAUAUCAUCUAUUACAGAGUUAACCAGCCUAUUGGCCUGAAAUCUUUCAAUAAUAUACCUACCCAUUUGAGCUGCAAAGUUUGUUGUUUUACUUGUUUGCAUGACAAGUCAGGUGUAAGACGGAAAAACUUGAAGCCUGACAGUUAAUAUUUAUAUGAAAUCACCAGUCAUUUUCAGGGAAAAAUUAUGCAGACACCAGCCUCUUAGGAAAAUUAUGCAGGAAAAUUAUAAUAUUUUCGAUGUUAGUUCCCGUUGUAUGGAAAACAAGAUCUAAGUACAGCUAGAACAGUGCAACUGCGCAAGUUGUUUUUUUUUUCAGCAAGGCUUGAAUGGCUCUCAAGAGAACUAAAAUAUAAAAUUGGAAGAGGGGGAAGAAGGUGCAGCCAACUAACUAACUUGUGAUCAUAUUUAAGCACUUGUCAUGCUACCCUCACAGAAGAUUUAGUUCCUCCUCUGCCUCUUCUCCAUCUACAGAAAACUACUUGUGCUAAUCAAGUUUUAUCUUGUUUCUUCCCCAUCUCUUUCUUCUUGUUGUUCUUCAGACUGAACUUAGUCUGAAGAUUCAGAAAUAAAGUGUGAUUUUCAAAGCUUUGCUAGUUGCAAACGAGACACUAGCUUUGGAGUUUGGAGGUAAGCUGCUGUGCUUUCCUUUUGCCAUAUGCGAUUCAAAAUAUAUGAGUCUGUAGCACCCAAGCUAAUUUUUUUCUUCACAUUGGUAAUGAACAUUGUCAUUCAUGAUGUAGGGAGAUCUUGCUUGUGGAGAAACUCACAAAUGGCGAUAAAGAUGAAGGGAAUAUUCAAAGGCCUGAAGAUAAUCUCUCAAAUGUUCGGUAAUACUCCUAUCUUUCUUUGUUUCCCUAUAUCUCUGCCUGCUUACAUUACUUAAGCUUGCAUUUUGUUGAUUCUGGUUUAUAAAUCCAGAUUCAGAUUCAAGAAAAUGUAGUAAAAGCACAAUAAGAUAGUACUGUGUGUAUAACCGUGAGAAAUCACAGAAAGUGAUCAAUGUACAACAAUAAGUUUAUAACACAUGGUUUCUUUUUCUUUUGCAGUGCAUAAGGAGCAUGAGAUGGAAAUUGGGUACCCUACAGAUGUAAAGCAUGUGGCUCACAUAGGUUUGGGCACCAGUGACACAUCUCCAAGCUGGGUAAACAUACCAAUACUUGACAGCCUUUUCAUCAGAUGAUCAACUACUGCAUUAUGAUUUAUGAAUGUUUUCUGUUUAUGAGUUUUGCUUCAUAUUCUAGUAUUUCUAAUUAUUGGAAAUGUACAUUUCUCACUUUCAGAUGAACGAAUUCACGGGAACAGAAGAUUUAUCAACCGGUUCUCUGAGCACAACUGCACCAUCAAGGCAGACUUCUUGGGCCUCUUUAGGUAUUUAAUGUCCUCUCAUCUUUCUAUGUUUAUCCUUCAAAAAUAAAGUCAAUACAACAUAUAUAAAGGUUAAUCAAACAAAAGAUUCUAAAAUAUGAAGUUCCAUUGGUGCUUUUGAAUAUGCCACUUGAGCCAUGCCUGAUAUAAAACGUCACAAUCAUCCAUAGUAGUCUAAUUGGUCCUGAAUCUUCAGAACUAAUCAUUUAUUACUAUAUAAACGUUGGAAAUCUUCUUGAUCUAUUUUCUAAGGACAAGUACUUCAGUAGUGGCACACCACUUACACCAUUUUCUUUUUAGGUUGCUUGCAUGUUUACAAGGUGCAAUGAACAGAUAUACAGAAAAAUCAUCAAACAUGGUAUCCAAACAUUCAUGAUGACCAAAUAAUAUUUUUUAUGCAGAUUUUGAACAGCCAAGAAGCAUGCUGCCAAUUGAGAUCUUGCCGGAGAAAUCUGGCCAGGAGGCACCCUCCUGCCCUGACAUCCCAAGAGGCCCAAGGAAGGUGAGAAGGAAGAAGACCAGAACAUCAUCACCUACCUCAUCUGCAAGAUCAUCGUCCUCGAGGUCAAGAACCUCGUUCGCAACCGCAUACGACGCAUUCAACGAAUCGCAAAGAGGGUUUCGGGUUGCCUGAAAUUUACAGAUUGUGUUUGAAACUACCAUGAAUUGUACAUUGUAUGUCGGUAUAGGAAGAGAAUUGAUUGUGAAUUGUUUGAUUCUUUCUUUUUCUUUCUUUUCUUUUACAGUCAAGACAUAGUUGGAAAUGCAAAGGAAAAUGGAUUAACUUAAUGUUUGAAGUUGUGUGCAUCUCAAAUUUUAUACUUCUGACUAAUUCUUCAGAUUCUUUUAAUGAUUGGAUGGCAGUCGGCAGAUGUUAGACUUCAGUAGUAUAAUAUUUUUUCCCCACUUCAGAUUGUGGAUUAAAAAAAAAGUUUUCUAACAUUUUUCAAUAACAUAUCAAUAUAAGUAAGCUUGAUUCACAUCAUUUUUUUCUGAAACACAUACAGCUGUGAGGGGGCUAAUAAUGCCAUUGAUCACGACAUGCAAGGACCAAGAACAAUUCGACUAACUUUUUUUCUACGCCAAGUUGCCAAUUGCCAAGACAAACGUGCAAUUGACAUGAUGCAACGUUUCAUCAUGCCUCAGCACUUUGUUCAAGGACUGUAAUAAUGUGAUACACAGCUGAUCUAAUCAUAUAAAAAAAACACUUGGAAAUAUCAUCAAUCUUUAUAUCUCGUGAUUAUGCACUGCACUCUGCUUUCCUUGCAUUUGGGCAAAGCAUAACCUGAGCAUCAAGGGCAAGAACCUUUUGCUACCUAUGCAACCUUACAAAAAAAAAGAAACUUUUUGGGAGUAAAUUAAUCCCAUUUUUACCCUGACAUAACUAUUCAGGUCUUUUGCGUUGAUCAACUUAACCUGACCGUGAGUGCAAUGCUAAGAGCAAAGUCAUGGCCCUGCGUUGACCGACGUAUCACGCUGUGCCACGUGUACUAACUAACCACAUGAGAGUGAUUUGACCCAAACAAUCACUACAUUGGAAAAUGACUUUUUUUUUUCCAUGUACCAUGGACUGACUCACAAGCCAUGAAUAUUCCAGUGUCACCUGGCUAGUCUUGAGCUCUGCUGUGAAUGUCAGGUAGGCAACCAUGGCAUUGCAACAAGCACAAGAGACAGACAAGAACACAAGAUGGAAGUAAAGGUGAGGUGUCAUAUGCUUUGGAAGCUAAUCUCAAGGUGUCCAUGGAAAGCAAAGUACACCACAGCUUGUAAAGCUCCCAGCCAUUGAGGCCUACAAAUACCCGGCUACCUAGCUUGGCCUCUUCUCAUCCACCACAAGAAGUGAAAAGCUUCACUGAGCUUGAUCAAUUACUACUAGUUAAUUACCUAUAGCUAAGUAGUAAAAAAAAAACUAGCUGGUUUUGGUUUUUGUUGCAGUGAUCAAUGGUGAAAGGUACUAGUGGUUACAGCUAUGGCCUUGGGCUUGCCUGCUUUGCUCUUGUGGUUGCCAUGGCUGGAGCUACUCAGCUCAAGGUCGGCGGCGGCAAUGGCUGGAGCGUCCCGGCCGCCAAUGCGGAGUCGUACAACGAUUGGGCCGAGAAGAUGAGGUUCCAGAUCGGAGACACCCUAGGUAAUCAAUUGAUUAAAUUCGAGUUCUUUGCGACAAAUAUUAUUCCAUGCAUUUGUGAUGAAGCUUUUGAGGUACUAGCUCUGUUUAAUGUUACGAGUCGUUUUGACUUUUUUUUUAAAAAAAUUACAACCUCUUUAGCUUCAUCAAGUUUACAGAAAAAUAUAUUAAUAUUUUCAACAUAUAACAAAUAAAAACUAUUAAACAUAUUCAAUGGUAGAGUUAAUAAGACUAAUUUAGUGUUAUAAAUCUAUAUUUUUUCUAUAAAUUUAAUUAAACUUUCAAUAAACUGGACUUUAGAAAAAUCAAAGCGACUUAUAAUAAAGGAAGUAGCGCAUGAUCAUGGCGGAUCAUCAUCUAUGGACAAUGGUUGCAGUGUUCGUGUACCCGAAGGACAAGGACUCGGUGUUGGUGGUGGAGCCGGCCGACUACAACGCGUGCAACACGUCGUCGUUCGACCAGAAGUUCGCCGACGGCAACACGGUCUUCACGCUCGACCGCGCCGGCGCCUUCUUCUUCAUCAGCGGCGUCGACGCCAACUGCCGCGCCGGCGAGAAGCUCAUCGUCAUGGUCCUCGCCAGCCGCAACGGCACCGCCACCGCCACCGCGCCGUCUCCGCCCCCGGCUUCGUCGACCGCGCCGCCGCCGACGUCGCCUGCACCCGCCAGCCCGCCGCCGUCGUCCCCGUCACCUCCGCCCGCUUCACCGCCGUCUCCCAGCUCGUCGGGCGCCGCUGCUCCGACGACGCCGCCGCCCGCGUCGUCGCCUCCCUCCACUCCGACGCCAGCGUCGCCUGCGCCAUCCGCGUCGUCCCCGCCGGCGCCGCCAUCGGCGAACGCGCCGAGCGCGCAGGGGGCGAGGAACCCGAGCGCCACGUCGUCGCCGCCGCCCGCCGCGAACGGCGCCGCGCACGCCGCGGUGGCGGCAUCGGGCCUCGCCGCCGGCAUCAUUGGCUACGCCAUGCUCGCACUCUGAAGUCUGACCAUGCAAUCAGUGCAAAAGUGAAGCUGUUGUAAUAACUUGAAUUAAUUUGGAGGGAGAUGAUUUGUGUACUAUACGUGUGUGUGUAUGUACAUCGUGUGUUUGUAUUAAUUCGUUUUCCAAAGGAUGAAUAAGAACAAAAUGAUAUCGAGCAUUUGUGCCAAAAUUUGAUGUGUUCAAAUCCAAAUAUUAACCCUUGUUUUUUUAUUUGAAAUUCGUCGCCGGCUGAAGUGCAGGCAACACGGCGCGUUUCAGCCGACGGGGGCGGGUACGGGGAUUCAAUCUCCGAUCCCGGAUAAAUCGUUGGGCUGGGCCGGCCCAGUUGUACUUUCCAGCCCGUUUGUGAACCGUUAGAUGGUCGAAUCCAUGACCUCAUGCCUAACAACAAACUCUUCCAGUUUAUGAACCGUCGUUAGAUGGUCGAACCCAUGACCUCAUGCCUAACGACAAACUCUUUUCAGUUUAAAUGUCAAAAAACAAACUCCUUUCAGUUUAUGAACCGUUAGAUCAUGUGGAGAUUCGUGCAGGAGUCUGCAUAUGGCUGGGGUCGACCCACGACAUUAUGCCUAAAGACAAGCUGCAUUAACCAGUGAGCCUCGUGCGGAUUUUUCUGUUGAUUUUAUAGCAGUUACAUAUAGGUUAGUUAUAGUAACAAUAUACUCCCUCCGUUUCGAGAAAUAUUUGACACCGUUGACUUUUUAGCACAUAUUUGACCAUUCGUCUUAUUCAAAAAAUUUAAGUAAUUAUUAAUUCUUUUCUUAUCAUUUGAUUCAUUGUUAAAUAUAUUUUUAUGUAGGCAUAUAAUUUUACAUAUUUCACAAAAGUUUUUGAAUAAGACGAACGGUCAAACAUGUGCUAAAAAAUCAGCGGUGUCAAACAUUUUGAAAUGGAGGGAGUAGUUAAAACGGACAUACACUCCAAUUAUACUACAGCUACAUUUAACUUUGCAUUUGAAAGUUCUUCAUAAAAAAAUUGUUGAAUGUUGUACAGGUACUCCCAAUUAAAAAAUCAUCAAGAGGUCCUUUGAAAAGAGUGAUUUAGGUUGUGUUAGAGAGGAGGGGUUGGGAACGCCGAACACCACCUCUCCAGUAUGCAAAACGAAGCACACAUUAGCAUAUAAUUAACUAUAAGUAUUAAUUAAAAAACUUAAAAAUGAAUUAAUAUGAUUUUUUAAAGAAACUUUUCUAUACAUUUUUAACAGUUUGAAAAGUUUAUGCGCGAAAAAUGAGAGAGGUGAAGUUGGGAACAUUAACUUAAGAACAUAACUUUUCUUUUUGGGGAAUACAGUUAAGAACACAACUUAUAUGGGAAAUAAAUCAGCUCAUGUAAAAAUAGUUUCAAAUUUCUAUCCUUUCAUCCGAAAAUAUAAGCAUUUAUAUAGUUUUUCACGUGGGUUAACGAGAGGAGUGAAAUUAAACGAGAAUGGCCGGUUGAGAUGGAAAAGUUGGUAGAGAAAUUCAAUAACUGAUGACUGUGAAUGAUUGAUACGAUGUAGUAGGUGAAGAUCUUAUAAUCUAGGAUAAAUUUUAAAUGCUACAAACCAUUGUAUCUUGGAACUGAUGCAACGCAAUUGCACGCCAACUAACGAGCUGAUUUUCUAAUAAACAAGUAAAUCAUCCAUCAUCGUUCACCCGCAUUUCAUCUACUUCAAUCUACAUUGUUCCACCCAAAUUCAAACGUAACUUAUGAUCUCUCAAAUCAAACAGGUAUUAUAGUUUCUGGUGUUUCUCUGCUAAUAAAUCAGGAUCAGACUAAAAUGAUCUCACAUCUUUAAAAAAUAAAAUAAAAAAGAGAGGCCUCCUCCUGCUCUCUCCCGACAAAUGACAUUGGCUGUCAGGCAGCCUGUGCCCAAAUCAAGAAUCAUAUUCCGGUAAAAUUAUCCAGCUUAGCCCCGAGUAUUAUUCUGUCCAACUUUCCAAGCUCGAUCGGCAAAGCAUCGAUUCGAAAGGCGACGCAGUUGACGCGAUCGACGGGAUAAACACAGCAUGAAAAGCGAUCGAGAGCCCCCAGCACAUGCCCCUGCAUGCCUGCACGCCCGAGCAAAACGUUAGCUUCAGCAAGGCACCGUGUGGCCUACAGCUUGUAAAGCCUCUCCCCGAUCGAUACGCCUACAAAUACACGCGAGAAACCUGCAACCUGACGAAACCAUCACCAAAAUUCAGGCAUCUAUCGACAGAAGCAAGAUCAGGUUAGUUUGUUCGUUGUGCAUGGCAGCAAUGGCGAGCAGCUGCAGUGUGCUUGUUGUGGCCUGCAGCUUCGCUGUGCUUCACGUCGUCGCCAUCGCCGGCGCGACGCAGUACAAGGUCGGCGGCGACGGCGGAUGGGGCGUGCCCGGCGCCGGCGACGAGCCGUACAACACCUGGGCCGAGAAGACCAGCUUCCAGGUCGGCGACCAGCUUUGUAAGUAUAUUUACAGUUAGCUGCUUUAAGAUUCAGCCGUUAUUAUUUUUCGAGUGCACGGCAGAUACAUACUAUAUACACAUAGUGAGGUGAGAAUCAUCAACUAUAAUGUCAUCAUCAUUACAGUCACUAGUAUAUAGGUUCUACUCUUUUAUUGUCCCACAUGUCGGUGUCUAUAAUAAUAAUGUCAUUAUGAUAGAGAAUAUGAACUCAUAAGGACAGACCCAGCCCUCGGCCCCUAGGUCAUGGCCCGGAGGCCUAUGGCUGAACACCCAUGUACCUUUUUUUUUUUUGCACCAUGAUGAUAAAAAAUUCAGUACACGUGCAACAUUACAGUCACACUUUUGAGUCUAUAGCAUAUGCGCACUGACACAUACCACAACACACGUAACAUCACACUUACACACCAUGAAUGUACCGAUCUUAUUGCGACAUGUUAAUAAGCAUUUUUUUUAAUGUGUAUGCUAGUGUUCGUGUACCCGAAGGACAAGGACUCGGUGUUGGUGGUGGAGCCGGCGGACUACAACGCGUGCAACACGGCGUCGUACGACAGCAAGUUCGCCGACGGCAACACGGCGGUCACGCUCGACCGCGCCGGCGCCUUCUUCUUCAUCAGCGGCGUCGACGCCAACUGCCGCGCCGGCGAGAAGCUCAUCGUCAUGGUCGCCAACGCCACCGGGAGCAGCGCUUCGCCGCCGUCCUCCUCGUCGUCGCCGUCGUCUCCCUCCGGUGGUGGUGGUGGCGGUGGCGCUCCAGCCGGGCAGGCGCCGCCGGGUGCUCCGGCCACGCCGGCGGGGACGAACAGCUCGCCGGCUAACGGCGGGGCGGCCGGCGGCGGCGCGAAGAGUGGCGCUGGGCUCACGGUGGCGGCGAGCGGCCUCGCCGGCUCUCUGAUCGCCGCCAUUGCCUGCGUCGCGAUUGCUAUCUGAAUAUCUGACACUUUGCAAGAGAAGAUGCCGUUUAUUCGUUUAUUCAGAAAGUGAAUUCUUCUGUUCGUUUGAUGUAAAGGCAAUGUACCUUUUAGUUUGUACUACUUGUUAUUUUCCCUUGUAUUGUAUCUUUGUUUUUUCAGACAAACCAUUAUAAACUGAAGACAUGCAAUUCUAACAUGGGAGGACCUAAAAAAACUGCCACAAGUUUUUGGAAUAAAAAACUUUCGGAUAUAAUUAAAGUGUAAUUACGUUGUAAGUACAUUAUAACUACACUAUAACUUAUAUAAAACUUGCAUUUGCAUUUGCCUAUGGUUUGGUUAGUUAGCAUUGAGAUAUCUUACACAUGACACUUGUGAAAAUUUCCAAUAUCUUUGUCCUUGGAUAGCGGCAGAUGUAAAAGAACUAAACUUCUAUAAGAAGUUAAAUAAUGAGAAACUUUACAGAACAUUUUCACAGCAUAUAUGGUCAUCGAGCGCCUAUUCUAGCCCCAGAACAAAGGUAGGAUGCACGAGUUUUAGGUAGCUUAGGUAGGAUGACAAACACGGCUAGCUUAGGUAGGAUGCACGAGUUUUAGGACCUCAGAGAGAAUGAAUCACCUCCUAAUGCUAGCUUAGGAAUGACUAGUUCUAGUACUUCAUAUAAAAUGAAAAGGAAAUGCUAUUCUUCUGUUGACAGAAAAUGCAGUGCCAAAUGGAUCAAAAUUCAACUUUGCAGUAUAUCGCCAGAGGCCACACCCACAUCGUAACAUGUAGAAAGCAUGCGCAGAUAGCAUAAGACAAUCCAACCAUAUUAUAAGGAACCACGAAGGUACACAUAUUGGGUUUGUUAAGCAUGAAAACUGGAAAUUUCCUUGAACCAAAACAUAGCAGCCGAAUUAACUUGACAGUCAACAAUUCAGGACACUGAGCAAAACUAAAUCUCUCUUCAGGAACAUUGGGAGCUAUGAGACUAUCCAAAGAAGAGAUGCUCCAUGGCGACAAGUUGGCUGACAAUACAUCUACAGCCUCCUUCCUCUCCUACCUCCCUUUCUGCGGGUGCUGUCCGUGGGAACCGGGGUCACAUCCUCUGCAAAAAGGAUCAGACAUACAAUCAUCACAAUGUCUAAGGAGGAUUGAAGCAUAAUGAGCCUGCUACAAACACUAUCCACAGCAUAGAUGAAACAAAUAACUAUCUCUAUAUCCUUAGGUUGUAUGAGUGAAACUCUGAAUUUACCAAUGCGACCAAUCUUCAUGCCAGAGCGAGCAAGAGCCCUAAGAGCAGAUUGAGCACCAGGACCAGGUGUCUUUGUCUUGUUGCCUCCAGUGGCACGAAGCUUGAUGUGCAGAGCAGUAAUACCAAGCUCCUGGAAAUGUUCAACAGAAUUUUAAAAAUACUUUUAAAAAGUCACUCAAGAACUGUCCAUCUGUCCAAUUGAGAGAUAAUGUUUCCAUACAAACCUUGCAACGCUGUGCAACAUCUUGAGAAGCAAGCAUAGCUGCAUAUGGUGAUGACUCAUCACGGUCAGCUUUGACCUUCAUGCCACCUGCAAGAAUUCAGGGAAUGGUCAAUUUACCUCAUCAGUAAUUGCAGCUAGAGAACCAAAUGAAAUAAAUAAACACAAAUCAUACCAGUAAUGCGAACAAGAGUUUCCCUUCCAGACAAGUCAGUGACAUGCUGCAGAGGAAAACAUUGGUAAGAAACUGAAUAGGUGGUUAGACUAGAUUGAAGGAUAUAUAUAACUGGAAAAAGAAGUACUUACAAUGAAAGUGUCAUUGAAGGAUGCGAAGAUGUGGGCAACUCCGAACACAUACUCUCCUUCACGGACAGUGGGUCCAAGAGUGACGUUCUCCUCCUUGGGCUCCCUGGUCUUCCUCUUCGACUGGAGGACGAGUAACAGUUAAGCUAUGGAAUGAGAAGGAACCAGCUACAGCUACAUAACAAUUACAUUUCUACAUGCCAAGUUGUGACAAAACUAAUUUAUGCCAUAACCUGCCAUACAAGUAGGUGUGCACAGUACACUAAGAAAUUUUCAUGCCUCUCAUCAAGUAAACACAGAGACCUUCCUACAUCAUCCAAAUGUUCACUACAAAACAUACUUGGAGUAUCUAUCAAAAACAGUGAAACACCCUUGCAACAAUUACAUUUCUAAACAUCAUCAACACAAACCAGACCUUGUUCAACACAAAACUGCGAAUCAAACGCCACACCAAUCAUGUGCUAGGGUCAUACACGACCCAAAAUUAGAACAGCAAAUCAGUGAAACACCCUUGCAACAACUAAACAACCAUUUGGCCAUCACAUCCCAGAAUUGAUACAAACCCUGUAAUAAUAAUCUCCCUAACAUGCCAGAUGCUCUAGUACUAAGUUACAGCUCUACAAAGCCAACUCGCAGACCGUGCGUGCUACACAAACCUAGCAUCAAAGCUGCAAAUCCGGGCAGGAAUUUGACCCGAGAUGGGGAACAGGGGGGGACUUUGGCCUUACCAUGGUGGGACGAGGCGGCGGAGAUCGAGGCGAGCGCCGGUUUCCUCCUGGUCGUUGAGAUCACGAGCUCGCCGCCGCCGGAGACACGAGAGAAGAGGGAAGGGUGGAGCAGCGAGUGAGCUUUAUAUAUGGGCGCGGCGGCGCGGGGGCUAGGGUUUGCUGCGGAAGCAGCGGUGUCCAACUCUCCCGCUGCAAGUGGGACCAGGAGUGUUAUGGGCUGGGCCAAGAUGUUGUGGACGGCAAUUGACGGCCCAGGUUAGCCCAUGCUGUAGGGGCGGAUGGGCCAAACAAGCAGAGAAUAA